CUUGUUGUAGUUUUAGCUUGUAUAUGUGAAAAAACGAGAUUUUCUUUCAUAGAAUAACUCUUUCACAUAAGAAAGUGGAGGCAGGCUUGGGGGGAUACGAUCUAAAAUGAUUCCACAUGAAAGAGGACCGGGCAAUCGCCCUCUUUUUUAAUGAAGAAGCGGGCUAGUCCCCGAAAAUGCCCGUUAAUCAAGCAAGUUGGGGAAAAAAUCUUACCUAUUAGACGGAACACGAAGAGGUGAACUGCCGGAACAGGAGGACUUAAAGCUGAGGAAACAGGAAGGGCAGCUAAGGGAACUUGCUUCGGUAGGAGUGUGCUGAAGUUGGCUUCAAACAAAGAGAAAGAAAGUAGUGUGCUGAAGGAAAGAAGAAAGAGAGAAGGUUAAGAAGAGGAUACUGGCUUCGUAAGUAAAGUAUCUGAAGAUGAGAUAGAUCGGAGAGGUGAGUUACCAGCGAAACUAUUCACUCUGAUGUCCAUUUCCUGCAUUUUCUUUGUGCCGAUAGAGGAUUUAAUAUGUAGAUUCCUUUCCUUAUUCCCUUUCUGGUAACCAUAACACGUCCCUGCUUUUUUCUGUCGUUGACUGCUAGAGCAAGAGGGGACGACCUUUCCUACCUUAUGAUACACUGAACUGCUACGGCGGCUUUAGCUCUACUAUGGCAGAAGGAAUCGCCAACUUUCAUUUCAUAUAGCUGUAAAAGUUAGCAACCCCAUUUCUAAGGGAAAGAGCAAUCUUUUUUUGAAAAGUUUCAUCUACAGUCAAAAGAAAGCAAACCUCGGCAGCACAGAAGAGAGCUACUACUAUUAUUGCAUGCGUGCUCACGUGUAAGAGUGUGCUAAAUAAGGAAACUUCGGUCUAAUCCUCGGGUGUGCUAUCACAAGGAACUCGUCCGGUGUAGGAUUGUAGAUUACCUGUCCUAUUCAGCACACUCCUCCAUUACAGCACAGAGGAUUAGCUCGGGUUAGGAAAACAAGUAGCUGGUCAAAGCAUCGGAAAAGCAGAGGAGUGUGCUGACUUCAAGUAGUAGCUAGUCAACCAACUUCUGCUCAACCCUAGGAACAAGGAAAGUAUCAGCCGAUAACUCUGUUCACUUGGUGUGGGAUUCCUAAAAGUGUACUAUUAUCGCACGCCAAAGAGUGUGCUGAAAAGGGAAUAGUUGGUUAACUACCGAAGCUAGAAACAAAUACCUGCUAAAACCAAGGGAAGCAAGAGUAGGAACUACCCACCCAGGAAUCAGCAUUCUAAACUGCAGCACAAGCACACCAGCGUGUAUCAGGGGUGUGCUAUAAAAGAUCACAGCUAAGGUUGAGUCCUUACCUUCUUAUUCCUUCCGUAGUUAGCAGAACAUACUAGCCUGGCUUAUCCAUUCCUCGUAUUUGAGGAAAGUAGGGUUUGACAUCCCAUUCUCGGAUGCACGAAUUAUGCGUUUAAUCCCACGCAACAAACUCCUCUGUGCUGGGUUGUGAUCUUAAAAAGGAGCUUUACUGUAUAGUGUUACAGUAGGAAUACCUACUAGAUCGAGGAUUCGGAACAGUACUAUCCUGUUUAUAUUGACAUUCUUCUGUUAAGAUUUCCCGUUUGAGAAACCCUUUAAGAUCUGAGUAUCUCGGAAUUGAAAAUAGGACUUUAUUUGCAUCCCUUCCAUUUCAUAGGAAUACAGCUAAGGAUACCAUCAGCUCGCAUACUAUUUACGGGAAACAGAAGUAGGGCAAAGAGGAAAAGAGCAACUCCCUCUAUUAGAACAAUAUUCUCGAAUCGUUGCCCUUUUAUUCAUGAAGAAAGAAAACACAUCGGUCUAUCUAAAGCAACAAAAUUCGUUCUAUCUUUCUUUCUCUCCUAUUAAUAAAACUGGACUUCUCCUCUGCUCCUAUCUUAGCGCGACGGAGAAGCCAGCACUGAGAGAAGACCUCCCUUUCAAAGUCCAUCGCCUGCACUUGAACCGGAUACCUACUAUUUAUUUUAUUGAACUAGACGAUCAGCGGACUUUUAUAUCAUAUCACCAACAACGGGUUUCGCCCACAGUACAGAGAUGAUCUCAAUCGCAUCGGCAUAAAGGUCCGGAUUCCACUUCAAAAGGAUUUACGCGCGAAUUCAACUAUAGACAAAGGUCCGGAUUCCACUUCAAAAGGAUUUACGCGCGAAUUCAACUAUAGACAUAUCUCUUUGGCGACCCAGGGACGGGGAUUCAUCAAUCCCGGGGUUCGAGGGAGACUUUAGAACCCCUAUAUAUGAGUCUCGAAACCAUUAUUUAUACAUUUCUCGAUGACAGAGAUCAUCUUUAAGGAGAAUAAACAUUGGUCCUUUAUUUAAUAACCCCGAUAUUAUCAAAACCAUGAUUUCCUUAUUUCUCGAUGGCAUAGGUUCCAGGGAAGGAAAACAGUCCGGUCCUUUUUCACCCCGAAAUUCGAGAGUAGCCGUAUAAACCAAUACCGGCAGAACCACCCAAACUCGGCUCAAAGCAGGAACAAAGACAUCUAGAAAGCCCACAUCACGUGGGGACUUGGCCUUGGUGGGACAUUCAACCGACAUACACAACCAAAUAAUAAUAGGUUUUAGCCAUGUAUUCCGCUACACCGCCCUAUUGAUCUACGCUUUCGAAGCAACCACCGGUACCAUUUUCACACAACAGAGCCGACUUACUUAUUACAUUUAUAGGACAGGGAACCGGUCUCGGUAGGACUUCCAAAUCCUACCUCAAGCAACCGACAUCUCUUUACUUACUUGACCGCUAGCCAGGGGCUUGAAACCCCUUACAACCUUCCUUGCUUGCCGGGCUUACAUCGCUAUCAUCGCUAGCCAGGGACUGGAAAUCCCUUACAAUCACAUGCCUGCGCUCGUCGUGCCUUUAAUACUUAUUUAUUAACCAAACCCUCCUUGGCCCCAAUUGGUCUAAGACUCACCAACAUCUUACGAUGAGACAUCGGGCUACCUGGCAAGAGUCAAUAAAUUGGUGAACCUAUGAGAGACGCUUCUAAUUCUUUUCUUUCUCCUGACACUCACUAUCCUACCCGAUCCUGCUAACAGGAAAUUUGAUGAAAUAAGGAAACUUAGGCUGUUGUUGAAUCAACUUAGAAUACAACCGGUACCCACGUCGCAACUAAAGCACUCGUAGCAUACGUUCCAUCCACAUCCGGCCAGUUGAAGUGAAGAUCGAGAAAAUGUUCUUCAAAGCUUGCUAAUAACCAAAAAAGAAUUGGACUCGUGUAAGGGACUUCCUUUUCAAGCUAGCAUUUUAGACCAAUGCAAUCGAGUGAAAGUGCUUCCUAUCAUUUGUCUGCUGGAAACCUUGCAUUGAGUGUGCACCUUGGGAAUACUUGAGUUUGGAGGUCUUCAAGCCUUUCUAUGGGAAAGGUUUCCAAUACGUAUUCUGCCGUUGUCGAGCUUAAAAGCGGAUGAUGAUCCCUAAUCAAGAGUUUGGUCCUAGCUUUUCGAUUUCAUUUUGAGUUCUGUCCUCGCAAAGAUAUGAAGGGCGCUUUUCCAGGACGGAUACGGAUACAGGUGACCCCUUUUUCCCCUUUGCUUUCUUUAUUACUUCUCGUACGUGCCCAGUCUCAACGUCACUUCCAAAACCGCCUUUCCCAGAUCUAUGAAAGGUGAAAGGUUGAAGGUCCACAAAAGGUAACAUAAAUGAACAAGUUUAUUUUGUAUUCGAGCUGCUGAGGGCCGGAGCUCGUAUGGAUACAUUACUUCAUUGUUCUAUGAGGCCUUGCACAAAGCCCAUACUCGGAUAAGGAUCGCGAAGUGCAAAGAUCCGGUCUUUGACAACCCAACCGUCGUAAGGACAACAAAACCUAUACUUAUGUGUGUUCGACACUAUAGGCGAGACCAGUUGUCAGAUGAUCGCCGAGUGGCGUUCUGCUUGAUUAGGCGAAUGCGAGUGAGGUAUCUAAUCCCGUUCGCUAGGAGGGAGACUCAGGAAGAGUUCGGGCAGAAAUAGAUGGUGAAAAGCCCUUUAUAUUAUAUAAUAAAGCGCGCUCCUUGCAUGACUCCAUAUCAUUCAUUAUUAAAGCGAAAGCGACAACGUGUCACCCUAACCUUCAAAUCGAUAAACGGGAAUGCGUUACCUAAUAAUAAUGAGCAAUGCUGCUAAGAGCAAAUGGUUCCUAACCUCAUAAAAAAAGAGAUAGUCAUAUCCGACUAUCCGGCAACACGCUUGGAUAAGUAAGGCGAUGAACCGUACCUUUAUCUCUAGGCGCCUAUGAUGUCUUAUUAUGUAGAUCAUGUCUUGCUUGAGAGUUCCAAACCUCGCCCUUCUAAAAAAGUACAAACCCACGUCUAGGGAUAUACGAGCGCCAUUCUUCAGAUGGAUCGCUCUUCGAUAGUUAUUUAUUGUAGCCGGGAUAAGCAGGGGUUCCUCCUUCCGUCCUAGUUUUUUUUUAGUACAAGUAGCUAAGGGGGCUGGGUUGCGUCUUUCUUGUGAAAGAAUACUUGCUGCGCACCUGCUGAAAGGAAGUCAAACGGAGAUUACCGGUUCCGGAGGGACCAACCAUUGUACUUAUAGGGUCAGGUCUAUCUUGCCCUUCCAAAUCACCCAUGUGUAGCUCCACCGCACGAGUCAGACCUUGUACGGGCUUUUCCACAGGCUUGAGGCAGACUCUUUCCUUAUUGGGCUUCAAUCCGUUUGUCUUUGCCUCCUCUACUGAGUCAGUGACAGAAGUGCAGCAGCCAAUAAUACGUAUAUAAGAAGAGGACUGCUUACGGGAUCAAACUAUCAAUCUCAUAAGAGAAGAAAUCUCUAUGCCCCCUUUUUCUUGGUUUUCUCCCAUGCUUUUGUUGGUCAACAACCAACCACAACUUUCUAUAGUUCUUCACUACUCCUAGAGGCUUGACGGAGUGAAGCUGUCUGGAGGGAAUCAUUUUGUUGAAAUCAAUUAAUCCAAUAUGCGACGAAUCUUUUUGUUUGAUGAAAAUAGUCUUAAUUCAAGUUCCACCAUUGAUACAUCUUCUGCUUCCACCAUUGAUACAUCUUUUGCGAGUCAAUGCACUAACUUUUCUAGUGGUCAAGCGUCCGGUACUCAGGAUACUCAUGCUGGUAUUUUUGAGGAUUGUCCGGGCCUUAAUCCUAACGAUGAGCGUGUAGUAGAGCUGCAAUGUGAGAUACGCGAGAAGUGUGAGGCAUUAACGCAAGAUCCCGAAAUGGGCUUGAUUUUGGGCGAAGCUUUACAUGCGGAAAGCGACAAUGUCCCUUUUUUGCAGUCCAUUGCUGAUGAUUUAACCCAAAACGGAGUAUCCGGGGAAGCCUUUCAAGAAGCUCUGAAUAUAGUGGGACAGGCGGCGGCCUCCCCACUGGACCAAUUUGAGAUUGUCCCAUUGAUUCCUAUGCAUAUCGGAAACUUCUAUUUCUCAUUCACAAAUCCAUCUUUGUUCAUGCUGCUAACUCUGAGUUUUUUCCUACUUCUGAUUCAUUUUGUUACUAAAAAGGGAGGAGGAAACUUAGUCCCAAAUGCUUGGCAAUCCUUGGUAGAGCUUCUUUAUGAUUUCGUGCUGAACCUGGUAAAGGAACAAAUAGGUGGUCUUUCCGGGAAUGUGAAACAAAUGUUUUUCCCUUGCAUCUUGGUCACUUUUCUUUUUUUGUUAUUUUGUAAUCUUCAGGGUAUGAUACCUUAUAGCUUCACAGUGACAAGUCAUUUUCUCAUUACUUUGGCUCUCUCAUUUUCGAUUUUUAUUGGCAUUACUAUAGUGGGAUUUCAAAGACAUGGGCUUCAUUUUUUCAGCUUUUUAUUACCCGCAGGAGUCCCACUGCCGUUAGCACCUUUUUUAGUACUCCUUGAGCUAAUUUCUUAUUGUUUUCGCGCAUUAAGCUUAGGAAUACGUUUAUUUGCUAAUAUGAUGGCCGGUCAUAGUUUAGUAAAGAUUUUAAGUGGGUUCGCUUGGACUAUGCUAUGUAUGAAUGAUAUUUUCUAUUUUAUAGGGGCUCUUGGUCCUUUAUUUAUAGUUCUUGCAUUAACCGGUCUGGAAUUAGGUGUAGCUAUAUUACAAGCUUAUGUUUUUACGAUCUUAAUCUGUAUUUACUUGAAUGAUGCUAUAAAUCUCCAUUAAAGUUCUUCUUUCUUUUAUUUAUAUUUAUAAUUGAACAAAAGCGAGGGAUGGAUGUCUGAGCGGUUGAAAGAGUCGGUCUUGAAAACCGAAGUAUUUCUAGGAAUACCGGGGGUUCGAAUCCCUCUCCAUCCGCGAAGUCAUAAGUUCUCUCUUGCCGCCUGAUAAGAACGAAUCGGAUCGACUCGACUGAUAUGAUAGAUGGAAUGGGUACCUUGUGUUAUGAUUUUGUUAGGAACUUUGUCUCCCUUUCGUUAUCUUCUCUUUUUUUCUUGGUCGGCAAGGGUUAGGGCCUUUCUCGCUGGGCGAGCGCAUCCGAUUAGUCCUUUCCUAAGCCACUUCCCGUUCAGUUGCUGAAAAAAAAAUGGGGAUAAGCUAUGCGACGACAGAGAAAUCUGAAUCUACUUUUUGCCAGUUCCACGAAUUCUGCAGAUAACGACGUUCUGCCAGGAGUGCCAGUUCUGGACAUGUUUCCUAAUAUAUCAGUAGACACCAUAAUUAACCACCCCUUCUACUGUUCGGGUACAGUAGCUCUCGCAGAAGAAUUGGUGGAUCCUAUUAUUAUGGAGAGGUGGAUAGAUAGGACGACUAGUUGCUCGAUCAGGACCUUAGCUUUAUUGCGAGCCUAGAAGUCUCUCUUUUUUCGGAACAGCCUUUAAGUAAAAUCCAACCUAAUAUCAUUCAGAGUAAAAGGACUACGGAACCAAAGAGAACCACACUUGCUUCGCUAGGAAUGAAGCAGCACACCAAUGGGCAAAGGGUAUGGGCGACCUAUCUGCUGCGCUAGAGAAAGAAAGAAAGUGCUUCGGGCUGCUUUGCUGCGCUAGAGGAAGGAGACUGAUAAGGAGAGGAGUGAUCCAAGCUCAACUCGAUACUCCACUCAUCUUUCUCGAUUCUAUUGACAUAAUUUGGUUUCUUCUAUAUUAGUGAAAUCAUUACAUGACAGUGGAUCUUGCUUGGUACUUGUCCGAGGGGAGAUCCAUACUCAACUCAUCUUUCUCAAUUCUACUGACAUGAUUACUUGGAAUUGAUUGUCGUGAACUCAAUCUCUCAUAUAGGCAUAGUUGAAUAUCGCGAAGCAAAAACCCAAACUUGAAUAUCGCGAAGCAAAAGGCUACAUCAGACGAUGUACAAGUUUUUCAAAAAUGAUUUGAUCGAUUGGUGUGUUUCGAUCUUGUUGAUUCACUAGGUAAAUCACAGCCUCAUCCUUCUAUAUUACCUGUUGAUCGAUCAAAAAAAGCACCUUACCUCGGAUCAAGAAAAAAGAAGAAACCGAAUCUCGGAAAACGACAAAUCACACAGUUGAACAAGGUGGGAGUAGCUCGUGUGAUCUAGUCGAAGGUCCAUAGGAAACUGAUAAGGAGAGGGGUCUUCCAUCUCACUAUUCUAGAUUCUACCGAAUUAGUUGGAAUUGAAUUCGUCCAAGAUUAAAUGCCAGUUGAAUGUCGACUAGUGUUGAAGGUCCAAGCUGUACUCGACUCAUAAUUUUGCUUUUCUAUACCUUACUCGUGAAAUCGAUGAUGAUUACAUGACAGUUUAAUGUCGCCUUAUUGCUUGAUCCUUAUCUUGUAUCCAAACCAUACUCAACUCAGAAUCUACUGACGAUCGACCACCAACUCAUGAUUACAAAAACCCUCUCUUCGAAAACCCAAUAAUCAUAAACCAACUCGUCGACUUUGGUUGAUCCUUCACUUGGCCAAAGGUCCUAGCCGUACUUCCCUCCACUCAUAAUCACCAACUCUAUCAAAUUUUUAGAAUUGAAAUGUUUGACUAUUACAAAAGUACAUUUUCCAUAGAGUGCAGGAACCCCAUCCCCUCACCCCUCAUCAUCUAGCACACCCUUGGGGUUCACAUACGGUUUUAAAAAGCAAAGCAACUCUUCAUACUCAUGGCGAAGCACGCAACAAGCCGAACCCUCAAUCCCAGUGAGGACUACUCCGUUGGGGGUUACUUCGCAAGGACGCCGCAUGUGCAGUUCCUCAGUCUUCCUUCUCCUCCAUAUGAAGAUUUAUCCCAUACGGUGCUAGCGAAGCAAGUCUUCCGAGUUCAUACUGCAUCUCGAACGAAGGUCACUCACAGUUCCGAAGGUCACUACGGUUUCCGAGUCUUAUUGUUCUUCUUCUUCCACGUAUGACAGAUACCCUCAACCCUCAGGCCCACGGGGGGUUGCUACGCCCAGGGCUACUCCGUUGGCCCUGAAGGGUUACUUCGUUAGGGCUACUUGGAGGAGUUGACCAACCCGAACAUGGUGCCUUGAUCUUCAGCUUUCCAAUAAGAAGAUCAUUGAUGCAGCACACUGAGCUAAAUUCUUAAACUAUCUUUACCGGUGUGCUGCCUCGCAGAGAUUCUCAACCUAGUCCGCGCAUACUCUUUCCGUUUCUGUCUUACAGUCUUUCUUGUUCUUCUUUUCCCUAUAGUUAGAAGAUGAGCCCCUGGGGUGCCCUGCCCUUCUUUUACGGCUGAUGGACAUUCAAUAGAUUUAUCUGCUGUUGCCUGAUCUACGACCCCCUCAAUCUGUCGAAGCAAAUGCUGCACAGAGGGAGAAGUUGCCUGACCGGGCUAUUCCCUUGUUAUCUGUUGUCCAACUGGUUGAAUAGUAAUCUGUGCUGGAUCCCUCUGAAGCUGGUCAUUCCUUGUUUCCAGUUAAUAGUGGAGUCUUACUUACUUGAAUUCCUAUUACUGUUAGCUAUUAGCACUUGCUUGUUAGGUGAGGACUCUCUUAUCUGGUUAACCUUAGUGGUAGCACACUCCAAGUCUAGACAAUCUUCCUCCCAAGAACCUCUCGAUACCAGAAUGGCUACCAGGGCGCUACUAGACCAACUCAGAUCAGAUCGUCGGCAUAAUUAAUUCUUUUUACUUGCCCAGUAGUGGUCUCUGAAGUUUACUACUAGUGGUAGUGCAGAAGACCUCUUUACCUACCCGGCUACUGACAGGAAAGGAUGAUUUUAGAUUCUUUGCUUGCCCAUACGCCGAUCCUGUUAGCUGACUGGUACUACGAAGAUCUAUGCCAUUCAAAGGAGAGAUAUGAAUACACCAACUACAGACAAGAAAGAGACUCUAAGUCCAACCCAUGUCGUGGGCAGGGAGAGACAGGCAGGCAGCUAACACAGAUAUCAGAUAUUAGACUUGGCAACAGACGCUUUGAUAUGUGUUACACAGACGCCCUGUAGACAUUGAAUCGGCUCACUCCGACUUCGAUUGCUAAAAUGUUGACGUGAAUAGUGAAUACGCUUGCUGGUUGUGAUAUGUUCCCUACUAUACUACUAUUGAAGACCUUGACUUUUGAUCUUCCUUCUAGGAGAAUUCAUCAAACCUUGCUUAUCCUUCUGAUGAGCAUUCCUCUAACUAAGUUAGACUGCCUCUUACGAGCAGGUAACCUACCUUCUAAACCAUGCCCACUAUACUUUCUUCUAAGCCAGCUUUUAACUCUUUGUUUUCGUAUCAUCUCAUUGGACUUAUUUCAAACAAACUCGUUACACUCGCACCUGAUUACACGGGAACGAAGAAAACUACAUGGGGAGCACGCUUACACCUGCAAGAACUAAGGGUCCAGACCAAGCACAGACAGAUAGAACCAGACAUCAAAAAUCUUCCUUUGCAGCCUAUCAGAUAUGGAAGUUUUCGACCUGUCUUUCACUGGAUUGAAAAGCCUUGUAUGUUGAUAGGACUAUGUGGGCUGCAUUUUGAAGUUUCUUUCAUCGCAAACUGGCCAUGGGGUAAACCCUCUGAGAUAGGGGGCUGCUCAAUCCCAUGUAUGUUGACAGGGAGAGGGAGCGAACUUUCUUAUCAUAUCAGAGCAAGCCGAAGACCUCUUCCGGGAAAUCGGUUCCACUUCCAAUCUUUUUUUUGAAGAAAGAAAAGUAGCAAGAGAAUGGUUCAAGUUCGGAUCGAGUAACGGUGAUUGAAGGGAUGAGAUCGGAAGCUCCUGAUUCAAAUAGUUAACUGGGCUGUGGUUGUCGAGUCUGCUUUCCCUCUCUAUCAAAGCCCUUGCACCUGCCUUCUCAGUUCCUCGUGCUUAGCGGGACUCCUUUUCUAAUUAGAAGGAGACAGAUUAGGUCAAGUUGCUCCAGGUAUGAAAUCAAUCCCAUGUUGGUCGUAAGAGUGGCAAGCCAUGAGGUAGGUCUUAUGGAAAUAAAUAAGCAUCUUCCUCAAGCAACUCCUUCAUCUGUGGCGGCUGCUCCUCCAAGACAACUGCCCAGCAUAACUAAACUCUUAUCUUUGACUUGACUCUCUUUUGUUCUAUGCCCCUUAGGUAGGAGUCAGAUCUGUUUUGUAGCUUGUUUCACCCUUCUUUGUAGCUUGCCGUUUGGUGUGUUCAUCCCCGCCCUCCCUGAACGGAGCUGUUGCUAAAGCAUAACUAAUAUCUUAGCUGUUUGGAACGUAUAGCUACCCGGUUCUUCCUUUCUUUAGCGGAGGCGUAGGUAACAUAUCUAUCUAUGAGUUGCUGAGAACGUCUCCAAAGCAUAAGGAGUUGUUCUUCAAUUUCAACCAAGAAGCACAGGUUCCCGCAACCCUGACGCCAGAAGAGUUGCAAGACGUGGUCUGGUCGAACAGAUUACGACCGCUGACCUUUACAGAUCAAUUAUUUUCCAUCUUGAAAGAACAGCCGGAAGGUAUGAAGCUCUAGUCCUUCUUUCUAGCCGUAAAUCAAGAACUCGAAAGGUUUAUUACUUUGUUUAAUCGCUUGACUAGCUUCGAAAGAGCAAUCUCCUCUUCUAGUCUUACCACAAAUCAAUGCUUUCAAGAAAGUGCUCAGUUCCUGACAACAUGGUUCCCGGUCGCGCAUCCCCAUGGAGGUGGAUAUUUCACACAUUGGGGUCAUCAGCCGUCGAACACAGUCAAGUUAGCAAAGAUUCGUACGAAGGAAAAGAAGAAAGAUAGAUGGUUUCUAAUGGGAAGGUAGCAGCUGUCAUCAUUAUGAUGAUUCAAUCCAUAUUAAUCCCUAUUUCAGAACUAUGUAUUAGUUAGACGACGUCAACGGAACAAGAACUCCUUCCUUUACAGGCAAGCGGGGUAGCUGCUGUCUCGUUUAGGAACUUGAGUUAGUCGACUAAGAGGUAGAAAGUGGAAAGAAGCGGCCUAAAGGAUUAGCGACGACCCCUCUCGGCUUAAAGUAAAGGAAGCGGCUUGUCCCAUCCAAUGCCCUACUUUUAAGUACUCGGUAUGUUCACUCAAUCAGAAGAAGCUUUCGGAAGUUCAUUGGCCUCUGCGGAGCAUGAAAAGGCCUGUUUUGAAGCUCCGGGGACUUAUUAGCCCGUCAGCCUUACUUCUUAGGAAGAAGAGAAAUGUGCUUGACUUCUUCAUCUUAUAAGAUGACGGCAACAUCCUAGAUAAGAUCUACGAUUCCUGCUUAUGAAUCAUGGCAAACCGGUGGUGAAAACAGUAUUACAGAGUAGGUUGGUUAAAUUAAAGCGGGUUACUUUGAUCUUAUCGUCUAGCCGGGCAUGAGAGCCCAAUAAAAAAGGACCGACGACGAUCCGAGAAGGACGAAUCAAUAAAUCGACUUCCUUUAGAGCAGACAGACUACGCGCUAACAGCUUUAGAAACUUUGCUAUACUAACAAAGCAAGCAUAGCAAAGUCAAAGUUUGAGUUAGACCGGGUAUGAGGCAAAGCCAAAGGCAGAAGUGGUUUAUCCAGGUCGGUUGAAUCCCCGAAAUAAGCACCAAUUGCUACCGUCCAAUCGCUAUCAUUAUCAUGGUUGGAGCAUAGAUAGCAAAGGUAUGGUUAGAGGUCAAAUACACAUAUCUACCAGGUAGGUGAAACGAAUUCCAUACCCAUAUCGGGUAAUGGGCCUCCAAUUACUUCAGCCUAAAACGAAGUCUGAGGUCGGGUCAACAAUCUAAUAGGUUGCCUUCCCCCGUUCGAGAGUCAGAAUCCUAGCCAGGUGAAGAUCCACUGGAUGGCGGGCGGAGUGGCUUUAGAACCGAAAAAGUAAGAAAUUCCAGAGACGGUUGACCGAGCGGAGACAUCAGAGGAAGGAGCACUAAUGGAAGAGGCAUCCAUUAGCUAGGGACACAAGGGCUCUUCUCUGGUAGCGGAGUCUAAGAUCAAGCCAGCUAGAGAGGCAGGAAGAGGAGAGGCAUAACUGAUUGAUUGUUGUUGACUCUUUUUUCCCGGUUCUAAAGCCAAUCACAGAGAAAUGGGGGCAAAAGAGCAAGAAGUAGCACCUACAAUGGACCGGGUUUACCGAGUCUCACUAACAGCAUUUAGCCUAGCAUCACAGCCACCAGCCGAAAAAAAAAGUCCCUGACCUCAAACCGAAGGCAUCCGUGGCAAAGAAAGCAUCUGAGCUGGAGAUUGUGUUCGGUUCAUGUCUUUGUUUUUUAUUUUGAAGGUUGGGUGGGAUUAAUGAGAGUUACGAGGCUUUAAAGAGAUAUAUAGGCACACAAACGUUGAUGCCUUUUUAAAGGCUAUGAAAGUUGGAAGCUGGUCUUUGUUGACUUUUUGUAUCAUUCUUUUCUAGAUGUGAUAAUCAUAACUCUCAUAUAUAUCAACUUUAAGGUUUUUUAUAAGGACAUGGUUAUAAUAUGAAAAGUUUUUGGAGAGAAAUCCCCAUUUUCAGUAAAACAAAAGUUUUGCAUAAACGUAUCCGAAUACACACAUACAUUUUACUUCUCGGAUUAGUUUACCAGUUGAAGACUAUAGAUUGACAAGAUCCAUCAUGAAUCCCAUCCGCUAUCGUUAUUCGUUACGAUUGUCUCCACCACAUCAACCAAAAUUUGUUGUUAUUAGCCUUUGUUCGUCAUUGCCAACGUUCUAAUCAUGUAGUAACUGCUUGAAUGAUCAAGAGGUAAGCAGAGAAAUAGAAAAUAAAAAAUGAGCAGAUUAAAGAGGUGGAUGUGGAAAAGCAAAGCAGAAAAGAGAAAUCGAGAAAAUCUUUUAACUCGCUAGAAGAAUCAUACAUGUAAUUCUACUGAGUAUAAAAAAAUUUGGUGGUUUAAAUGUCUUGAUAGAUGAAAAAGUAAGAUAAUUCAAGAGGAGAAAAAGAACAAUAAUACUAUAACAAAUAAUAACACAGUACGUAGUUAAUUCAAAUAAGUAUGCAUUUUAAUGUGUUUUUUCUUCACACAACUAUAUUUUCUUUAUCUUAAAUUAAUCCAAUCGCUAGCUCUCUAAUGUCGUUUUGUUCUUCUAUCUAAGGGGUUUUAAUUGUGAAAUUCUGUCUUUGUUUUAGAGUUUAUCUUUGUUGUUACUUAUCAGGGUUUGUAGAAAGAAUCCUAUUCAAGUUCCUAUAGAUGCAUGGCGUAAAAAUCUUUGAGGAGGACCUGCGUCUAGAGAAGGUAAAGUUUUCAAUCUUUAUCUUUUUAUGGCGUAAGAUGGUUCACCUUCUCAAGAUAUGCUUUUUUUAUAUCCAAUCAAAACAAUUCAGGUUUUGCUUUAAAUCUCUGGGAAUUCAAGGGAGCUGGGAUGAUGAUAGGUUUAUGUUGGUUGAUAGGUUUGAUUUUUACUGUGAUAAGUAUUUUUGAAUUUUAUAUUGGGUCAUUGCACCAUAAACUGGAGAUCGAAAAAGAAAAUAUACGAAGACAAACGUAAAAGAGAAUGUUUUAUCAAAAAAACUUAUAAAAAGCGAAAUCAAUUCUCUCGACUUUUAAGACAUUUAGCAGACCUAGAAAUCAAGAUGGUGGAUACUUUCGGUAUUUGGUUUUGUUGUUGUUAACUAAUCCAUUGUUCUCUACUCUAAAUUUGUUUAGUACAUAAGUCAUUUUCAUAUCGUUUUUCUUCUGUACAUUGUUCAGUGGUAUGAUAAGUCACUUCCGCAUCAAGAUGGCAAAACAGAUUUUUGAUAAGGCCAUGCAUUUUAUAAAGCUCCAAAGUAGAGAUAUAUUUGUUUAUUGGACACGUCCCAAACUAGAAGUUUUUCCGGUGUGGAGAAGACUAAAAAUACACUAAUUUUGGUGUGGUUUACAUAGACUAGAAUAAAAAGAUGGUAAAUGUCAAUAGUUGUGCCUUCUUCUCAUGUAAGUUAAUCAGCUACUUUAACACUUGUGGUUCUUGAGGAUUUAAGUGCUAAAUACUAAGAAGAGCUUAUGAGAUCAUGUUCUUUACCAUCUCAAUUUCUAUAACUUUUAUGUAAUUUGAGUGAGCUCUGUUUUUUUUUUCUUUCAAUCCGUUGAAAAGUUUCGAAAGAGAUGUGAUGACUAUUUUGAAAGUGUAUAGUAGUCAACUAUAGUGUUAUUGUUGGAAAGCAUGUAUUAUGUUAUGUGUAUUUCUUUAAUUACCUUGGUGCUUAAUUUCUUAAUGUUUACUUUACCAUGGAUUAUACUGAUUGAAGAAUUUUAAAUUGUUUAUCCAAAUUUAUCUUAACCUUCAAUUAUUCCAGAAAAAGUAGUCAAAGAAACAUAGGUCGAAUAAUUAAAUGAAAAGAUAUUUUGAAAAUUCUUAUAACAAAUAUAAUGCUGGAAACAAAGUUGAUAGAGUUAUUUAAGGAUAAGUUUUAAGGGCUGCAAGCUCUUCAUCCAUAUUUUUCUGGUUAUUAUCGAUGAGUUAAAUUUUUAUUUGUGGGAGUAUUGAAAACGUAUAUUCGAAGGGAAAAAAUGAUUUUGUGAGCUAAAUUUGUUGCCGUCUACAGCAUCCCAGCGUACUGUGUGAGCCGACAUGUAGAAUUUACAAUUUAAAACUGUUAUUUUAAUAAGUAGUUCUCUUACGUUCAAUAUAUUUUUAAAUAUAAAAAUAAAAUAAAUCAUCUAAGAGCCAAUUUCACGAAAGAAAAACAACAAAAAGUUUAUCUUAAAAGAGAAUUAAUUUCAUUCUCUAUUUUAGAUGAGUGUUAGAGUAUAUAUGUAUAUAGCGUCAUACAUCUAGACUAAGUUAAAUAUUGGUGUUAUUUGGUAGGGCUUAAGAUAUAGUGUUUAACAUUUAGAUGAAGUUAAUUAUAUAGGUUUGGGUUUAUAAAGUAGGAACUAGGGUUUAGUGUUAUAAAUUCAGAUGAAUUUGAAUAACUAAUUUGGGUUUAUAAGGUAGGGUUAGGGUUUAAGGAAUAACUGAUGGAAGCACAUACAAUAAUGUAAACUUAUAUCUUUAGUUCAUAUCUAACUAAAAAUAUUUGAACAAUUUGAAACCUCAUUCGAUUAUAUUUAAAAUUAUUUAUGACUUAAAGUUCAUUGUAAUUGUGUUUAUUUGGUAUAGUGUUUAACAUUUAGAUAAAGUUAAAUAUAGGUUCGGAUUUAUAAGGUAUUAGGUAGGAUUUAGUAUUAUUCAUGUAGACGAAUUGAAAUAACUAAUCUGGGUUUAUAAGGUACAGGUUAGGGUUUAAGGUUUAGAAGUCUCAUGAAUAUUAAAAAGGGGUGCUAAGUAAUUUGCAAGGAUUAGGCACUUAUGGGGCUUGGAGUUAUUCCUCUUCUCCUCCGUUGGGAAUAAGUUUUUUUAGUGAAAGUUGUCCAGAAAACGAGAGGGAAGAACUCAACUAUUUCUCAAUUUGAAGAAGCUUCCGGUGGAUCCUUUUUUUGUUCUUGAGACCUUUGAAGUUAAUCAGUAGGGGUCCUAGGCGCUAGAAUGUCUAGAUUGAAAAAGUAGCAUAUAUAAGCUUUUUUAUUUCAAGAGAGUAAAGUUUACCCUGUUUUAGUGUACCAAAAGAUAAGAGACUGUGUUUUUGUGUGUAAGAAAUCUCAAGAGACAAGCUAAAGUAGUCGAAACUUUGUGUAAAACCAAUUAAGAGAGUUACAAGUUCUUUAUAAGAUUUUUUGAUGAAUUUAUAAGCUCAUUGUUGCUGAAUUUUUUAAAUUUUUUUAGUUACUUAUUAUUUUGAAGUUAGAUUUUGAUAUUGUCAAAAGUAUUUAUGGGUCCGGCGCAUAGGCAGACACAAAGAAGAUUAAAGGAGGUCAGCUGGUCUUUUUAGAAUUCUACAUUUGCAUUGUAACCCUUUAAAAUUCAUGAUAUUAUUUAUAUAUAUUUUUUUAUUUUUACUCUUUUAAAAUUACAAAUUCAUAUGUAAACCUUCUAAGUUUUAUUGUAUUUUUCUUCUACUUUGUGGUUUGACACUAUUUCUAACAUGUUUUUUACUUUUUUUGUUUGAUUCACCCAUAAACAUUGAACCAUAUUUUAUCUAUUUUUUAAAUGAAGUUUUUUGAGUUUUAAAUUUUUUGGUUACUUAUUAUUUCGAAGUUAUAUUUUGAUACUUUAUAAAUUAUUUAUGGGUCCGCCGCAUAGGCAGACCCAAAAAAGAUUAAAGCAGGUCAACUGGUCUCUCUAGAAUUUUAUAUUCGCAUUGUAACCCAUUAAAAUUUAUGAUAUUAUUUAUAUUUCUAUUGUUUUUACCUUUAAAAUCACUAAUUCUUAUGUAAACAUUUAAAGAUUUAUCGUGUUUUUCUUCUACUUUGUGUUUUGAUACUAUUUCUUUGUUUUCAACUUUUUUGUUUGAUUCACCCAUAAAUAUUGAACCAAAUUUUGGUGUUUUUAAAAGAAAUGAAGAUUUUUUUAGUUUUUUAAUUACUUAUUAUUCAAGUUAUAAUUUGAUCCUAUAAAAAGUAUUUUGGAUCCUUGACUUGAAAUGUAAAAUUAACGGGUACAAUGUGAUAGUUAAUAUCCUAAACAUUAUAUGACACAUGCCUUUGAUACGGGUAAAUAGAUAUAAAUAUAGGUGUUGUUAUAUCCAUAUAAUAUAUAUUUUUUAAUUUCGUAAAUGUCUCUAACUUAUCACUCUAAAUUAUGAUUGAUUCAAGAAGAUACUCAUUUUAAAUUUUUUUGGUCGAAUUUCAAAAAUUUUGGUAUGCUUGAUCUUUAAAAUUUAAAUUUAAUUUUAAAAAAACAAAUUUUGGUCGCGCAAGGCGCGGGUGGCUCACUUAGUCUCAUAUUAUUCCUUCACGAAUCUGGACUUAUUACAUUUUCGUUUAUAAAAGGAACGUUAAUACCCGGUUCAUUCCAGUUUACAGACUCAAUCAUAGUUAUUCUAAACCAUACUCUAAUAAAAACCAAAUUAGUCAAACUGACCCAAAUCAGAAACAAAACGAACCAUAAAUAAAUCGAAAUGCACAUCACUAGCAACUUUUCUAUAAAAGUGAAAGUGGGUGGACAGACACUUGGGUAGAAAACCCAAGAGAUGAGUGGCUUCCACGUCAUCCUUUACAGUGAUCCUCGCACGCAUGUAUAACACUUAUAUCAGUCAAAGUCAUUAUUUUAAUCAAUGGACCAUUUCCAACUUAACUUUAACUUUAAUGAUGCCAGCUUUGUGUCACACCACUUACUAAUAAACGUAGAAAUAUAUCCAAAAAUGAACUAAAACACUACUCUGGAAAUAUUAAAUAUAGAAAACCAAAGAAUUGGAACAGUUCAUCGGGAAGGGUUUUGGGACCCUAGAGAAUCCAUGGCUAUCACUCUCACUAAUUUCACUGUAAGUACACUAUUUCUUUACUUUCUCUAUGGUUUGUUGAUGAUGAAAAAUUUAUCAAUCUUUGUCUCAGUUUCUCUAUAUGGAUGCAAACCUGAAACGUUUAGGCGACAUAUAUCCUUCCUUGAACUUCAUGGGUUUAUAGGAGUUUGCGUAUGUAUAUAGAUACAUGAAUGCUCAAUUUUGGAUUGUUGUUCCUUAAGAAUGAUUACAGUUUUAGGGUUUGGAGCAAAUGUAGUUACUCUUCUUCUGAUUCUGAUUCUCACCAUAACGAGAAGAAAUGGUAGAUGUAACAGAAGGGUAAGAGUAAGCCUAAUUUUCUACUUUGGUUUUGGUAAAAAAAAAGAACUGAUUCGUCCUCAUUUGAUUUUCUUUAUUAGAAAAGCUACAUUGAGAAGUGUUUGUUGUAUGUAACACCUGCACUUGGAGCUUGUUUGUCAUGUGUGGACUUGGUGUUACUUGUGAGAACAAACCGUAGGAGAGAAGUCAUUCUCUGUUUUGUCCCCUUGUCUGGUUUCGUAAUGUGGGUAAGCUUCUUGUUACCAAACACGAACAGAACUCUGUCUUUGUCUUUCUCUUUUGUUUCUGCUUUGAAGGUUUUUUUUACCUUGUAGAUUGCCGUCAUCCUCUCAUUGAAGUUUGCUUGUUGUGCGUGCCACGUUUUCACUAGCCAGAUUCUAUGUUUCUGGUGGAUCUUUAGAUUCCUAACAGAUGCCCUUCAUCUUAACAUGAUUUUCACAUUACAGGUAAUUAAGUUGUCUUUAUGAAUCUGUCACAUUCUCCAUAUAAGUAGAGUUGGUUAACCGAAUUUGGAGCGUGUACAGGAGAUUUGCCUCAUCAUGUUGGACAUUGCUUUUGGUAUCUCUAUUAAUGUCCUCAGGAUAAAGCAGGCACAUCCCAAAAUCAUGUAUAUGCUUUAAUAUGGUUCUCUUAUUUAAUAUUUUUUUCCUUUUCAUUUCUUGUUUAAUUCCUUAUUCUCCUUGUAGUCCUUUGGAAGAUCCACUUAUUGAAGACGACGAUGAUCAAAAGCGCAUUGUACGACGUCUCUUCCUUGUAACUAACUAGUUUAAAGAGUAGUUAAAGACCAAUAGAUUUGUUCAUUCUUUGAAGGAGAAAAAUGGAAGCUGGUGGGACUUAUUCACUUUUGGGUACAUUGGUUCAAUAAUGAAACAUGGCUCGGUGAAGCAGCUAGAAUUGGAAAAUCUACUUACACUACCACCUGAAAUGGAUCCUUUUACAUGUUGUGAGAAUUUAUUGAGAUGUUGGCAACUUCAAGAGUGUAAUAAUUACUCAACUCCAUCACUAAUUUGGUCAAUAUAUGGUGUAUAUGGAUGGCCAUAUUUUCGUCUUGGACUGUUAAAGGUACGUUGCUUAUUUGACUUUCUUAUAUAAUCUUUGUUAAUAUUGCUACUACAAAACAUGAAUUUUGCAGGUGUUCAAUGAUUGCAUUGGAUUUGCUGGACCCUUACUUCUCAACAGACUUAUCAAGUAUCUUGAAAAAGGUUGAGAAUCUUUUUAAAGAUUUAGUAAAUAUGAUUACUAAUGGAAUCAUUGACACUGUUUAUAAACUAAACAGGUUCAGGAAGUUCUGUUGGCUAUACACUUGCUAUCUCCUUGGGCUUCAUAUCUAUCUUUAAGUAAAUAUAGUGCAUAGUCAUCAUAUUUCUACAUUUUUUUGUCAUCUCAAAUGUGUUCCAAGUGUAGCAAUAGUUACUAGGCACUUGUGAUGUAUGCUUUUUUGUCUUGUAGGUCUUUUCUUGAUACACAAUACACGUUUCGUCUUUCAAAGCUGAAACUCAAGCUACGGUCUAGUAUAAUGAGUGUCAUCUACAGGAAGGUAAAACAUGUGAAAAGUGAAAACUUUUAUUGUGAGUGGUAGUAAUUGGUUCCAUAAUUUCUUGAAAGUGAACUAUUAUCACAAGAAUUUUGUAUAUAUACAGUAUGGUUUUGGAAAUUUGUGCUUUGCUUCAGCGAGUAUUCGGUUAAAGAUAUCGAUAUCUCCUUGCCGUUACUACAAACGGAGACGCACCUUUUGAGUAUACGAUAUAUAACUUCAUACAUAGUAUCAAACGUUUUGGUUCUUUUGGUAAAGAGCUGUUUUUGUUUAUGAAAUUAUAUUGUAUGCAGUGUUUGUGGGUGAACACAGCAAACCGGUCAGGAUUUUCUGAAGGCGAGAUUCAAACAUUUAUGUCGGUAGAUGCUGACCGCAUUGUUAACUUGUGCAACAGUUUGCAUGACUUGUGGAGGUAAGAACAUUUGCCUGUAAACAAUGAAAGUGCUUCCAAUAUUGAGUAACAAUAAAUUGGCCACUCUUACAAUUUUUCAUUCAAAUAUAUGUCUCAGCCUGCCUUUGCAAAUUGGGAUAGCUUUGUAUCUUUUGUAUACUCAAGUCAAGUUUGCUUUUCUUUCUGGACUUGCAAUCACCAUCUUGCUGAUACCAGGUACCCAGUUUACAUUAUCGUAACUACAAUAUAGAAUGCCCAUUUUUUUCUUUUGAAUAUCUGGAAGUGUAAGCCCAAAGGCCAUACAUCUCCUAGAGGCGAGACCCACACCAUUUUAGAUUCAUCUCCUUUGAAAAAGAAAUCCCUCCCAACGUGCCUCGAACCUAUCACCUCCACGGAGAUUUAGUAUUGGGCCAAUAGCUCGUUGGUGAUGCCAGUUUUUCUCAUUUUCCCUUUUUUUUUGGCAGUGAAUAAAUGGAUAUCGGUGCUGAUUGCAUCUGCAACAGAGAAAAUGAUGAAGCUUAAAGAUGAGAGGUGUGAGAAAACGUUUAGUAAGUGUUGAUCAUAAGAGGGAUGUUAGUAGUAAUUUCUCACAUUGUAAAAAGUUUUGUUAUCUAUCAGGAUUAGAAAAACAGGAGAGCUUUUAACAAACAUACGCACACUUAAAAUGUAUGGAUGGGAUAACUGGUUUGCUGAUUGGUUGAAGGAAACAAGAGCCACCGAAGUGACUCACUUAGCGGUUAGGUCUUCGUAUCCUUCCUUUUGCUGUUUUGUCCAAGUACUUUGUAUUAACGUUUAAGUCUUCGUUUGGCUUUUCUAGACUCGGAAGUAUUUAGAUGCUUGGUGUGUUUUCUUUUGGGCAACAACACCAACUCUUUUUUCUCUUUGCACUUUUGGUCUCUUUGCUCUGAUGGGUCAUCAACUUGAUGCAGCAACGGUACUUUUUGAAUCUGCUCUAUAACAUUUUCUGAUUCAAAUAUGUAAAAUUUUCUUGACAAUCCUGUUUUUUUUUUUCCAGGUGUUUACUUGUCUUGCUUUGUUUAAUAGCUUAAUCUCUCCAUUAAACUCGUUUCCAUGGGUCAUCAACGGUCUCAUUGAUGUAAGAUUAUCUUUCGAUCAUAUUAAGAAGCAUUUUUAUCUACCAUUUUAGUUAUAUAUCAUUUUUGUUACCUUGUUGCAGGCCUUUAUAUCCACCAGGCGUGUGAGCAAGUUCUUGUGUUGUUUGGAGCAUAGUAGAGAUUUUUCUAUAGAUUCUGGAUUUACAUCUGAAGACUUAGCUGUAUGUGUGGAAGAUGCAUCUUGUACUUGGUCAAGUAACGUAGAAGAGGAUUAUAACUUGACAAUAAAACAAGUAAGCCUAAGAGUGCCAAAGGGAUCUUUUGUUGCAGUUAUCGGGGAGGUAUACGAAUCGUCCCCACCGUUAGAGCUGCAUAGUUCGAUUAAAUUAUGAUUAGGUGUUUCUUAAACUCUUUUUGUUUGCUUAAUUUUCAGGUUGGUUCAGGUAAAACAUCGUUGUUGAAUUCACUUUUAGGCGAAAUGCGGUGUGUUCAUGGAUCUAUACUAUUAAAUGGCUCUGUGGCAUAUGUACCACAGGUUUGUAAACUGGUUAAAUACUUUCUUUUUGGUUUCCACUAUGAGAAGUCUUACAUGUACCUCACUCACCUUCAAGGUCCCAUGGCUUUUGUCUGGAACUGUACGUGAAAACAUUUUAUUCGGGAAGCCUUUUGACUCCAAAAGGUUUAGUAAGUUUGCUUCAUCAACUCUUAAAGUUAUGAUCUAGUGUAACUGAUAGACAAAGCUAGUGGUGACUUUGUUAAACUAGGUAUUUCGAGACAUUGAGUGCUUGUGCACUAGAUGUGGAUAUUUCACUUAUGGUCGGAGGAGACAUGGCGUGUAUAGGUGAUAAAGGACUAAACUUAUCCGGAGGACAGAGAGCUCGGUUUGCUUUGGCCAGGUUUGCUAUAUAUCUCCUAUGCUCUUUCACCAUCCAUAGACUUGAGUGUUGUGUUUCUGAUGAUUUUGUGUGUGCUUUAUCAAUAGGGCUGUUUAUCAUGGUUCAGACAUGUACCUUCUUGAUGAUGUACUGAGUGCAGUGGAUUCACAAGUAGGAUGUUGGAUAUUGCAAAGAGCACUUCUGGGUCCUCUGUUGAACAAAAAGACUCGUGUUAUGUGCACUCACAACAUUCAGGUCUCAAAUCUCUCUACACGUUAAAUAUUUAUCUAUCUCAAUUUAAUUUUUUCUCAUACCGUCAAGCUGUUUCUACUAUGACAGGCGAUAUCUUGUGCAGAUAUGAUUGUUGUGAUGGACAAAGGAAAAGUGAAUUGGUCAGGAAGUGUUACUGAUAUGCCCAAAUCCAUUUCUCCAACAUUUUCUUUAACCAAUGAAUUUGAUAUGUCAUCACCAAAUCACUUGACCAAAAGAAAAGAGACUCUAUCUAUCAAGGAAGAUGGUGUAGAUGAAAUUAGUGAAGCUGCGGCGGAUAUCGUCAAAUUAGAGGAACGAAAAGAGGGUCGAGUUGAAAUGAUGGUUUAUAGGUAAACAAAAUUUGCUUAACCAUGUCUUUUUUUUGUUGCCUAUAUGUAUAAGUAAGUGAUUGUUAUCUGUUUAUGCAGGAACUAUGCUGUGUUUUCUGGUUGGUUCAUUACUAUUGUAAUAUUGGUUUCAGCGGUUUUAAUGCAAGGGUCUCGUAAUGGAAAUGAUUUGUGGCUAUCAUAUUGGGUUGACAAGACAGGAAAAGGAGUAUCGCAUUACUCAACCUCGUUUUAUUUGGUAUUAAACUCGCGCAUAAAACCACGAAACGUAACUCUUAUGUCUCUGUGUUUUUCUAGUUUAAUAAUAACUACUAAUCUUGCAGAUGGUUCUCUGUAUCUUUUGCAUCAUUAACUCAAUAUUAACCUUGGUGAGGGCAUUCUCAUUUGCAUUUGGAGGAUUAAAAGCAGCAGUGCAUGUUCAUAAUGCAUUAAUCAGUAAGCUUAUAAAUGCACCUACACAGUUCUUUGAUCAGACACCAAGUGGAAGAAUACUUAAUAGGUUAGACACAAGGAAACUCUUUGAAUCAUGUGUCUUGUUCUUCAUCUUAACUUCUUUUUUUGGUUUUACUCUGUUCAGGUUUUCCUCUGAUCUAUAUACCAUCGACGACUCUCUCCCGUUUAUUCUCAACAUUCUUCUAGCAAAUUUUGUUGGCUUGUUAGGGAUUAUUGUAGUAUUGUCUUAUGUUCAGGUUUGUCUGAAACUCUUCUCUCUUUUUGCUAAGUAUUAACUCUUCUGUUUUGUUGGAGAAGUUACAUUAAUGUAUAAUAUGUAUACAGGUUCUAUUCCUGCUUCUGCUUCUGCCAUUUUGGUACAUAUACAGCAAGCUUCAGGUACAUAUACAACUUCUUGUAGCCAAUCUGAUUUCAUAUUUGGUGUCCCUUAGAGAAGAAGAAGAGUUCAAAUUUUCUACUAACUGAAAAUUGCUUCAGGUCUUCUACAGGUCUACUUCAAGGGAACUACGAAGGUUGGACAGUGUUUCACGAUCACCGAUAUAUGCAUCGUUCACGGAGACACUUGAUGGGUCAUCAACUAUCAGGGCUUUUAAGUCUGAGGUAGUUUUGGUUCUGCUUCUAAAUGUCAGGUUUUGCUUCUCCAUUAAUGACAAAACUGUAUGCUAAUUCCGGUUUGCAUGACAGGAGCAUUUUGUAGGUAGAUUUAUUGAGCAUUUGACGCUAUACCAGCGGACUUCUUACUCAGAGAUAAUCGCAAGCUUGUGGCUCUCCUUGCGUCUUCAGGUACACUAAUACAUCUUUGCUUACAUUUUGUAGAACAUUUUUCAUUCACCUUUUGAGAAUUGGUAACAAUGUUUAGUUUCAUGUGUCUGCAAUAAAUAUGGAAAUCUCGAAAAAUCGCUGAUAAGUUGAGUAAAAUGGUGCAGUUGUUAGGAUCAAUGAUUGUCUUAUUUGUCGCUGUAAUGGCUGUCCUCGGCUCCGGGGGGAACUUUCCAAUCAGUUUUGGUACACCUGGACUGGUAAGAAACUGCAGUUUUCAUAAAUAUAUAGGAAAGUGAAAAGCAUACUAUUUAUAAUUUGGAUCACAGGUGGGAUUAGCGCUCUCAUAUGCAGCUCCAUUGGUUUCUCUGUUAGGAAGCUUGUUAACAAGUUUUACUGAAACAGAAAAAGAAAUGGUUUCUGUUGAAAGGGUUCUCCAGGUAAUGAUUCUGAUUCUUUUUUUGGUUUGUCAACCGAAAUUAAUUGCAGCUCAAAAGAGCCAUUCCUGAGGAAUGUUGUUUACAUAUAUGAUAUGAUGUGGUUCGGUACAAAUUCGUCGUGCCAAAUUAUCCACUUCUACAUUCGCACUACGAGAAAUCAAAGAUAAAGAUAAUGAUUCUGAUUCAUUAAGUAAUUUUUGUAUGUUAGUGUUACUAAUUACAUGAACCAUGCUCUCCUGUGUUAUUAGUACAUGGAUGUGCCUCAAGAAGAAGUUUCAGGUCCUCAAUCUCUCAGCGAUAAGUGGCCUGUUCACGGAUUAGUUGAGUUUCACAAUGUGACAAUGAGAUACAUCUCAACUCUGCCUCCGGCCCUCACCCAAAUUUCUUUUACAAUCCAAGGAGGAAUGCAUGUACGUGUAUCGCCGAGCACUCUACAACAGACUUGACUUUUUCUGUUUUUAUCUUUUCUCCCAACAUAUACAAUUUAUAUGAAGUUAUCGGGAAGAGACUAUCCGCUAGAGAGAGCACUCUACAACAGAAUUGACUUUUUCUGUCUCAUGAUUGUUUUGUUUUCAUUUAUCAGGUAGGAGUAAUUGGAAGAACUGGUGCCGGGAAGUCCUCGAUCUUGAAUGCGCUUUUCCGGCUUACUCCUGUUUGUAGUGGAGAGAUAUUGGUGGAUGGAAAAAACAUAAGCCAUCUUCCGAUAAGAGAACUCCGUUCUUGCCUCGCUGUUGUUCCUCAGAGCCCUUUUCUGUUUCAAGGAUCACUGAGGUGAGAACUUAACUCCUUCAAUUCACUAACCAAAGGUGUUGCCUGCAGUUUCAUAAUGAAAAAAAGUUGUGGUUCUCGUAGGGAUAACCUUGAUCCUCUUGGGUUGAGUGAGGAUUGGAGAAUCUGGGAGAUCCUAGACAAGUGUAAAGUUAAGGCAGCGGUAGAAAGUGUAGGAGGGUUAGAUUCAUAUGUAAAGGAAUCUGGUUGUUCCUUUUCUGUUGGACAGAGACAGCUUUUGUGCCUUGCUCGUGCUUUGCUCAAGUCAUCUAAGAUCCUAUGCCUUGAUGAAUGCACCGCCAACAUCGAUGUUCACACAGCUUCCCUACUCCACAACACGAUAUCGAGUGAAUGCAAAGGCGUAACCGUCAUUACCAUUGCUCACCGCAUUUCUACGGUUGUUGAUUUAGACAGCAUCCUAAUUCUUGAUCGUGGAAUUCUUGUUGAACAAGGAAAACCACAACAUCUUUUGCAAGAUGACUCCUCAACUUUUUCAAGCUUUGUCAGAGCUUCUCAGUGAAAUGUUGUUAGAAUCUGAUCACUUGUAACUUCUGAUCUCUGCUAUAAUUAUCUUGUCAUGGAAAUUAAGAAAAACUAGUUUCAACUGUAGUAGCUCAUUUAUAUGCUCAGUUUUCCAUAAUAAAUGAGUCUUCAUGGACUUGCCUAAUCCAAAUUCAUAAAUAUCUAUCUAAUUCGAUGGUGAUUGAGAACUGAGAAGUAAACAAUGGUACUCUUAUUGUCUGUUUUUCUUCCAAGAAGUUAGUUCAGAAGGAAUUGAUUCUUCAUUGCAACUUAAAACAGCUUUAGCCAUGAGUUUCCCAAGCUAUGCAUGAUAGAGUAAAGUAAUUGGCCAAAAAUAUGUUAAAUAGAGAAGCAAUUAUCUCUCAACAACACAAGAACAAAAUGAAAUUGAGAGAUUCCGGGAGCUUCAGAACCAGUUCAAAAUUCAACAACAUACUAGUUUUGUAACCCGAACCAGUUUAAAAGAAGAACAUUUUGAGUCAAGUUCAACCAUGGUUAUUUAUUUCAUUUUUUUUUCAAGGUAACAACAUUCUACUAAUAACAACAUUAAGAAAAUUUUAAUUUACAUAUACGUUCAGAUUACACUUUUACUUUAUCAACUAUUCUAUCUGCAUCUUUACUUUAACUAUCGGCACUAGAUUAUACCAUUCAGCAAUCUUCAAACGCUUUCCUAACAUUGGCGUGACAUUUUAACUAAGGACAACAAAGGUGGAGAAUACAUUAGUUUGAAGCAAGCGUAAAAGUUUACUAAGAAUCUUCAUCAAAUACACAUGACAUAAGCUUCUCUUUCUACUUUUUGCCUACAAAUUAACUUGAUAAUAUUAAAUAUUUUGUUUUGUUUGGUCAUCGCUGCUACUAAAGAAGAGAGAUUGCAUGCCUAGACGAUCAAGCUUUGCGGACAAUAGAACGUCUCUCUCGCUGGUACUCAACUUCACCUCUCUGGUGCAUUAUCAACAAAGCUCUCCUCACCUGCCAUUUUAACAUGCACAUUACCUCAAAAAUCCCAUUCACAUUACUGAAAAUUAAACAACAAAGAUGUUAGCUUAGGUACCAUUGAAUCGUUCAUUCCCAUUCUAGCCAGAUCCUCUAUCAGUCUUCUCUCUGAUAAUCGAGCUCCGAUCCCCAUUCUUCUCUUUAUCUGUGUUUCCGCUUGCUGUUUUUUCACACCAAUACCAAAUUUAGUUAUUACAUCUAGAGAUACGAUGAUUCUUUCUUCCCCACAAGCAACUAACCUUGAUUUCAUUGGCCAUCUCGCCUGUUAUGUUUAUCUGUUGAUUUAUCCCUGAUCUUGCUGCAUCCAUUGUCGAGGUAUCAAAAAGUUUAAAAGCUUUGUCUACAUCAUCUGGUGUGGCCUCGUGUGACCUGACAUAUUUAACAAUGUCAAUGGACGGCACAUCCCAUCAGGUUUCAGGAAUCAGGAAUCUCUAUGUUAAUAAGAUUACUUACAGUCUCAUUUUUGCAAGUGACUCACUCAGUCUGACAAUAGCUUCGAGUUGUCUCACUGUGAUAGGUAUCGGAGCAGCCUCUCCUGUUUCAUGUGCACGUCUCUUCAUAUCCUGUUUAGCCGAAAAUUUUAUACUGACACCAACUUUGUUUUUUAACCAUCUUAUUGUCAAAUCUAAUGUAAAUGACAAUUACCAUUCUGAUUGUGACAUAUUUCCGCUGCAGGUUCUCAGCAGCGUCUUUUGAGAGACGGGGAUGACACCUUGCUCGACAGUAUUGUAUAUACCUAACAUAAAAAGAGCAUUAUAUUUUAGAGUCAUGAUUUUGUACAGAAAACUGCGAGAACACAUUGUUUUCUCGACGAAUGAAAACACACCUUUUGAGCCAAUUAUCUUCUUUAGAAUCUGUGUUUUCAUCCGAAAAUUUGUUUGCAGAUGCAUGAACCCUUAUAAUAUGGCUGGCUAUUUCCUGUGAAAAGAUUAUAAACAUUAAUCAUGUCUACAUAAUAAGCAAGCAACGAAGCAAACUUUCCAAUAACAGUGACCUCCAUCAUUAAUCUCUGUUUUCCCUUUUAACUACAUAAAAUUUCUGAAAGAAUUGUUCCUUUCCUUGCUUACCUUGUCUUGGGAAUACUUCCUGAUGUCCUUGACAAUGAAGAUAAGAUCAAAUCUAGAAAGAAUUGUUGUCUGCAGAUCGAUAUUGUCCUGAGCAGUCUGCAAAUCCAAAGAAAAAAAAACACACCCAUCUCUUAAGAAUAUUGCAAACAAGAAUCGGGAAAACCAUGAUAUUGCCAAAGGAGAGUACCAGAUUUCAAACCUUAAGGUCAUCAUAUCGACCAGAUGGCGGGUUAGCAGCAGCAAGCACCGAGGUUCUAGAAUUAAGGACAGUUGUUAUCCCAGCUUUUGCAAUGGAGAUUGUCUGCUGCUCCAUUGCCUCAUGAAUAGCAACCCUAUAAAGAAAAAAAAAACAUUCCAUCAAUUCUACUCAUAGAGAAAAAUUAGAUUCGUCAACACUAUGAUUCAGAUUUGAAUUACCUAUCUUCCGGUCUCAUCUUGUCAAAUUCAUCAAUACACACAACACCUCCAUCAGCCAAAACCAUAGCACCACCUUCAAGAUAGAACUCUCGCUGCAAUGAACAUAUGUAUAAAUAACUGAGAAUCUGUCAUAGCAACUACUUUUAAACAAAUCAUAGAAAAACACUUGAAGAUAGGACAUACAGUGCUGCUAUCUCGAAUCACCGAAGCUGUGAGCCCAGCAGCCGAUGAACCCUUUCCAGAUGUAUAAACAGCAAUUGGAGCCGUCUUCUCCACAAACUUAAGAAACUAGAGAGAAAAAAAAUAAGCAAUUAAGCUUUAAACAUGUAAGCUACAGGUGUUGGAAAUAACACAGACAUUUUGUAAGGAUUGUAAUCUAACACUUGAACAGAAGGAUGUAAGACGAAUAUCAAGCAAAUAAGAGAGACGUAAGAAAAUAUAAAAAGAAUAACACACUUAUUAUAAACCAUUGAUACUGAGACCACAUUACAAACCUGUGAUUUUGCAGUUGAUGGGUCUCCCAAAAGCAAAACAUUAAUAUCACCUCUUAGUUUCACUCCAUCGGGCAGGCUCUGAAUCAAAGAUAGAAAUGUAUAUAAAUAUAUCAAAAACGUAUACAAAGUGCACAGAAAAUAAAAACUGCUAUCACAGUUUCCUACCUUCCUGGAUCCUCCAAAGAGAAGACACGCAGCUGCUCUCUUCACAUCCUCAUGGCCAAAUAUAGAAGGAGCGAUCUUGGUGCAAAUGUUCUUGUAUACAUCUUGACUAUCAGCAAACUUUUUGAAUUCUUCCUCCUAAAAGUAAUAUUAUGGAAGACAAAACUGAUAAAUGGAAUUGUACAACUAGGCUUCCAAGCAGGCCUAAAUGUUUCAUAGUAAACUAGUAGCACAGAGAAUAUUUCCAGAAAACACCAUCACAUUCAUUUGGGAGUUACACAAAGAAUUUCAUAGAGCCAACAGCUACCUAAGGCAUUUGGUUUCCAGUAACAAUAAUUCAGCCAUGUUAACUUCAAUAGUUCAUUGUGAAACCAUGGAUGACAUAGGCUAUCAAAUGAGAAAACAAAAAGAACCAAAUGAUGCGAUACUAACUUCGUCAGGAGUGAAGUUGGCAGGGCCACGGGAACUGGCCUCAUUUGUGUCUUCCAGUCCAACAACUCGGAUAUAAGGCUGGCGAAUUGCAACUGCUCCUUUAUGCCUACAUCAGAAAGUAGGAAAAGAUGUCCAUCAUUGUUGUGGUGUAACUCUCCCAGAAAACAAUCUACACUCUCAUUUGACAUAAAACUACAAAGCUUACGAGUUAGAUGAUGACGAAGCUUGGAAAAUGCUGUAGAUACCCAUUACUGUCAGUCUGGUUCCAGGUACAAUUGUUUGUACAAGAUGCCGAUCAACUGAGAGAAGCAUAUUUCUUGGAAGCUCUCCAGUAGGAACAUCCUUCAAAACUCAGAAGCAUUUAAUAUAUACAAGUGCAAAAAAAGCGAAAACAUUACAAUGUAAAUCUAUACCUCCGGAUUCUCCUGUAGCUUUAAGGUCUGUUGAUCAACAUACUGGCUCCUAUCAGGAACCACCAUCCAAGGAUCAAGAGGGCAAGGCUCCUCUCCAGGCUAAACAAAUUCCAAUUUGGUCUAAUCAACACCAAGGAUAACUACAAACUCAAAUCACAAACGAAUCAAAAGAACUCACCUGUGGAAUAUUAUCACAUGAUCGAGGAACAAUUGCCCCACCAAGACCCGGACGACAUGGAACUUCCCUUGUCUUUUUACAAUUCUUACAUACCAAAAACACAUAAGUCGCCUUUGCUUUCACUCUCGAAGCUGCAAUACUAAUCCCAGAGAUUUUCACCAACUUUGAGAUGUACUGUGCCUAUCAAGAGUAAAGAGUACAUUAUAGACAUACCCCAAGUAAUCUCAUUGAUACUAAAAACAAAAAAACAGACAUACCCCAAGUAAUCUCAUUGAUACUGGAUCCUCUCUUGAAGUGAGCAAAAUCUGCACAUCUCUAGUCAGAGGUUCCUCCAUUACCCCUCCCUCAUUAGCCUCCCUCAUUUUCAAUCCAGUCAACACUUCACCAGCUGCUUUCUCAAACUACAAUUCAAAGAUUGACUCACUCAAUACAAAGCUUAUAUGAACCCUAAUUUUUUUUGAAGUCAUACCACAGGGAGAUAAUCGGCAGGAGCAGAUCGGAUUAAGGAGGGGAGAUCGGAAUCAAAGGAGAGGAGAUCUUCGAGGUGGACAACAAGUCGCUUAGGGUUAUCGAGGAGAGCUUCUCUGUAGGGGAAACAAUUCUGUUCGAUCUCGAAGUUUCGAAUGAAUUCCUUAAAUUUGGUUAAGACGGCGUGGGGACUGAUGGUUGCGGCGUCUCCGGCCUCCGGGAACUGCGGCUGGUCGCUGUAGUAAACUGCUCCUUCGUCCCAUCCUGACAUCGUUGCUUCGUCUCCGUUACGAAUUUCUCUAUCUCUUUCUCUCUUAUCAAAAAGUUCUAAACGAAGAGAGAGAGUGGGGGCAAGGGCUUUAUGUCGACUAUGAGUUUUGGCGGGAACAAUGUGGCGGGAAACUGAUGGGCCGAACCCAAGACCUAUGGACGGGUAAAUGGAUUUCGUUGGUUAUUGGGUCUUUCUUUCUUUUUCUUUUUAGCUAAGGUUACAUUUUUUAUCCAUUUUUUCUAAUUUAUUAUAAAAAACCAAACAGAUAAAAAUAUAAUUAUGGACUACAUCUAGGAAUCUUAAAUUUAUGAAUUGCACAUUUUAGAAUUUCAUAUUUUUAAGCUACUUAAUAUCGUUGUAAGCAUUUUCAAUUCCAUCGUAAUUUUCUUCAAUGUCACUUAAAAUUUAAGGCUAUAUUAAUAUAUAUGUUUAAAAGAAUAGUUUUUAGUUUUAUAACAUUAAUAAUUUGAAAAUUAAGUAACUAUAAAAAAGAAAAGAAAAAUCAACCAUAUAUAUCCUUCUCAUUUACGUUAAUUACAGAAAUGUCAUUAACAUGAUAAAUGUUUUUGAGAAUAUUAGGUAAUUGGACACUUUUUUGAAACUCAAUUACGCAAUAAAGCACUUUAGAAAGAGUAAACACUUUUUAAAGUUUUUUUACUACUACACCAUCAACCCAACCUAAGCAAUCCAAACUUACCAUAAUUUACAACCAUUACUUUUUCUCUCUUUUCAUUCAUUUUUUUCUCUACUCUUUACAAAAUUAAACACACAAAACACUUAAAAUAUCUUAAUGAAAAAAGGAAAUGGUUUGAGACAUUAUCUCUCUUCUCUCUCAUCAAAAACACCAAAAAGUAGAUCUAGAUUUUUCUUUUUUCUUUCUCUUCUUAGAUCUUAAAAGUUGGAAAUUUUCAAGAUUUUUAUUCAGUUUCUCAUUCUUUAAUCAACCUCAUAAGGUUAAAAUUUUCAUUUUUAAUUGCUAGGUUUCUUCUUCUCUUAGUGUAUCCAUCAUUGUCUUGGUCAAAUUUUUGUCUUUUUACAAAUCUUAGAUUUGGCCACCAAAUAUUUGUGGAAAUUCCUCAAAGAGAGAGAGAGAGUUGAAUUAAAGAACCCAAACAUAUAUUCUUACUAUAAAUUUGUAACUUAAAGGUAGUUUGAUGCUAUUUUCAUUAAAACACAUGAGCAAAUAAUGAAAAAAUGGAAAAAAUACAAAACAAAUCAAAGAAGAGUGAUAGGCGAUAAUUUGAAAUGACCACAUGGUCAGAGUUUGGUGGAUGUGUGUUGACGGUCGAUAAUUCAAAAUGAUUGUGUUUUGUUAAUACUAUUCAUAAAACCAGUGUUACGUUAUGUAAAAGAUGUUGAUAAAAUGUGAUGAAACAAGUUUUGUUGGUCAUAUCAACAAAAGUUUAUUUAUGAAAAUGUUUAUAUUUAUUUAUCCACGAUUACAUAUUAACAAAACAUAAAUACGAGUGUAUAUCGUAAGAUUGUGUAUGAACACAUCGAUCUCAAUAAUAUUUUACGUUUUCAGGUUAAGAAGCGUGCUUUAGAUUAUCAUGGAUCAAAAGUGGUGGUUAUAGAUUAUGUACAUAUAAAACUUAGGUUUUAGGGUUUAGGCUUUAAAGUCAAGGGCUAGGGUUUAAUGUCUAGGGUUUAAGAUUUAGUAUCUAGUGUUUACAUUUUAGGAUUUAGGCUUUAUUGUUUAGGAUUUCGCGUUUAGUUUAGAUGAUUUAGGGUUUUGGGUUGAAGAAUCAAAGUUGUCUACAAUGAUUUAGGGUUUAUGGUUACAUGUUUCUCAUUGGAGAUUAUAUAUUCCAUUGUUGUCCAUAUGGAUUGGAUAAUAUGGAUUUUCUAUCUCAAUUUGUUUAUAUUUAGGGGAUUUAUGUUUAAUAUUUAUGGACAACAACAAGAAGUUUUAAAGUGAAGAUCUUAGAAUUUAGGGUUUAGGGUUUAGGGUAUACGUGAUAUGGUAUAUGUAUAUUGUUAAGGGUUUAGUCUUUAUGGUUUAACAGGUUUAGGGUUUAAUAUCAAGGGUUUAGAGUUUAGGGUUUAGGGUUUAGGGUUUAGGGGUUUAGGGUUUAGGAUUUAGGAUUUAGGAUUUAGGAUUUAAGAUUUAGGGUUUAGGGUUUCGGGUAUAAAUUUAGGGGUUAGGGUUUAAUGUUUAGAGUUUAGUAUCUAGUGUUUAGGGUUUUAGAUUUAGUGUUAAGGAACUAUGAUUGUUUACAAUGAUUAUAGAGUUUAUUGUAGAUGGUAUAAGGUUUAGGGUUAAUUGACCAUGGUCAUAUACAAUUAUUUUUGGGUUUAGGGUUAUAUGCUUCUUGUUAGAUUAUAUAUUUCCAUUUUGAUCAUAUGAAUUAAAUCAUAUGAAUUUUUUAUGUUCUCAAUUGGUUUAUGUUUAGGGGAUUUAUGCUUAAUAUUUAUAAGCAAUAAUAAGAAGGUUUAAAAUUUAGGGUUUAUAUGGUAAAUGGUAUAUGAUAUAUUUCUAUGGUUAAGGGCUUAGUGUCUAUGGUUUAAAGUUUAGGGUUUAUGGUUUAGGUGUUUAAGGUUUAGAGUUUAGGGUUUAGCGUUUAGGGUUUAAAGUUUAGGGUUUAGGGUUUAGGGUUUAGGGAUAAGAGGUUUAAGCUUAAUAUUUAUGGGCAACAUUAAGAAGGUUUGGGAUUUAGGGUUUAUGGUAUAUGGUAUAUGGUAUAGGGUAUACGUAUAUGGUUAAGGGCUUAGUGUUUAUGGGUUAAAGUUUAGGGUUUAGGGUUUAGAUAUAGAAGUUAGGGUUUAAUGUAUAGAGUUUAAUAUCUAAUGUUUAGGGUUUAGAAUUUAGUGUUAAGGAACUAUGAUUGUUUAUAAUGAUUUUAGAGUUUAUGGUUAUAUGGUUCUCAUUAAAGAUUAUAUAUUUCAUUGUUGUCCAAAUGGAUUAAAUCAUAUGGAUUUUUUGUUUUCUGAAUCUGUUUAUGUUUUGAUGAUACAAUAAAUAAUAGUAUGAAUAAAUAUAGUAAUAUGGAUUUCAUGAAGGAAAAAAUGUUAUUAUUAUAUAUUUUAUAAAAAAUGAUUUUUAAUCAAAUAGAGAAUGUCUUAAAUUAAAUAAAAAUUAAAUAACAAAAGGAAGAGAGAGAAGAAAUUGACAAGAAAGAUAAGAAAGUGAUAGAUAGAGAAAAUAUGUUUUAUUUAUUUAAAUUUGACGGUCAAGAUUAAAAGAGAUUAACUUUACCUUUCAAUUCGAUGGACGAGAUGAUUCCGUCAAAACCAUUUCUUAACCAUGCUACUUGAUUUAAGGUGAAGAGAAUAAGGGGUAAACUGGUAUUGAUUUUUUUAAAAUAGUGAAAAAACUCCAAAAAAGUGUCUAUUCUCUUCAAUGUGCCCUAAAUGCACUAAAAACUUGGAAAAUGCCCCAAUCAUGAAAGAAGCCCAAUUUUUUCUGACGUAAUAUGUGGCGACACAGUUCAUAAACCGCUCGAUAACACUGCUCACAUGCGACCGAAACACUAUUCAUCAGAUGAUAUAGUAAAACAUCAUAUGAUUUAAGCAUUUAUCUAUUUGUUUUAUAUGCUAAAAAAUAUGAUAUCGCGAUAAGUUUACUUUUAAACAAAUCUUUUAUCGACCUAGAAUUGAAAAUUAAUAUAUUUUUAUUUAUGUAAAUAUCAGUUCAAUUUAAAGAAUUAGUUUAUUUCUUACAUAAUUAAUAUAAUAGCAGUUAAAACAACAUGUUAUAUAAAAUAAUAACAUGCUAACAUAUUUAAUAUCUAGAUAAUAUUUGUAUGAACGUGCCAUCUCAAUCCACGUUUUCAUUCACGCCACCUCUUUUUUUGUCAACUCACCAAUACUGAUUUUAAUAUCUUUGUUUCGAUUUGAUUUUAUGUUUCCAUUAUUAUUCUUAUAGUUUUGUAUCGUCAGAAAUUAAAUAAAAGAGAAACAAAAGAAAGAAAAAAAGAAAAGAGAGAAAAGGGGUAAAAGAGUCAAAAAGAGGAUGAUAAAAAGAGGAUAAACAAAAAAGAGGAUGAUAGUGACAUGUGCACAGUGAUCAAGUGGUCAACCUAAUUAAUGAGUCGUUCAUGUAUAUCUAUUGAUAUUACCCUAAAAUUUAAAGAUGUGAUUCAACUAAAUAAAAUAAGUUUAUUACAAAAAUAUAAACUUUUUAUUACCUUCUAAAUUCACAAAACCACGUAGUCAAUUUCAAGUAUAAAGCAAGGUUUUGACAAUUUUUAGAAUAAGACAAUUUUUUUUACAAAGAUUUAACCACUUACAUCCAAUACUAAACGAUGAUUUUGUUACUAUUGUGGUGAUUAAAAUGCUAAACACAUAAAGACGCUCAUAACCUCCAUGUACGUUAAAGACAUCAAAUCUAAAUAUUUUUCCAAAUUUGAUGUUGUGUUGUCAAAACCAAGCUGGAUGCUCCUCUUAACAUCAAAGAGAUCAUGUAUGAUAUAGACAUACUAAAUUAAACAAGUAUGAUUAUUAUACUAUGAACUUGAAAUGUGAAUUGAUUUAAGAAUUUACACCCACAACCUCAUAUCUAUCCCAUAACUAGAAUGGUAAUGUACUAAUCCCGAUAAUUUAGCAAACUUGAAUUAAAUCUUCCUAGCCAUCUCUUCUACUCUCAAAUCACUAAUAAGGUUCAAAUUACCCUAGAACUACUCUCUCAUAUAAGAGAUCAAUUGCAGUAUUUAAGGAUCGAAUUCACAAAGUUCUUUUGUUCAAACAAUAAGUUGAAUGUCGAGAUUAAGCUAGAAGGUGAUGAUUGAAAUAGUAAUAAAACAAAGUAAGAUAACAGCAGGUUGAUUGUGUUGUAAAAAAUUAGGAAAAGAGGUAGGAACAGAGUAUUCUCAAGAAACUAUUGGUUAGUAGAUCUAAUGAAAGCUAGGUUGUUAUCGAACCAUUCUUAAACUCAAACCCUAAUUAUGGAAUAACCGGUGGCUUUAGUACCCCGCGCAUUGACCCCAGGCAAGAAAGAAGGGCAAGAGAAGAAGAAGAGAGAAUGGUGCGUGAAAUGAAAGGAAGGGCCGAGUAUUUAUAAUCCGCGGAAGCUAGAGUAGAGCCCAAGUCUUAAAACGUGGAGCCGAAUCCAUUCGGGCAAAGCCGACUUGGUGACCAAGUUUUGUCCUGAGCAAUGCACGCCAACUUUAGCCAACUUGGUGAGCAAGUUUUGUCCCAAAGCCAACUUGGUGACCAAGUUUUGUCCCACUCCUCAUAUCCGAACCUUGAGCCUAUAAAUAGAACCUUACCCCCCCCCCCUUAGUUACACCUUAGAAGCUUUCGCACCAAAACUCUGCCCAAACCGAGAGGGAGAGAGAGAAAUCAUCCGAACCCUUAACCCGAGAGAGAGAGAGAGAUCGUCCGAACCUUAAAACCCGAGAGAGAGAGAGAGAGUCUGAGCAAGAGAUCGUCGAGCCUUAGGAUAGUCCGAAAGAGAGAUCCCGAGUAGAAACCAUCGGUCGAGUUAGGAAGAUUCAUCGGUGAUUGUGAGUUCCGGUUUUUGUUUUGCAUGUUUGAUUUUCCUUCUUGCAUGUUCUCGAUUCUCCCUUCUCUUAGUUUUGUUGUUGUUAUGGUUGAGUUUGUUGAGGUUGUUAACCUAAUAGCUAGGAUAGUUGAGACCGAAGCACCUUGCCCUAUAGGAGUGGUUGUGUUAGAAUAGCACCAUUCACUUUAGAGGGAUGGUUGCAUUGUCAAGACACUACUCGCUAGUAUUCGGGAGACAUUUAGAGAGAACUUUAUGAACAUGUGCGUUGAAAACGAACCGCAUGUUUCAUAGUGUUGAUUGGAAGAUCGUAGUGUGUGGAGCUUGAAGAGUAUCUAAGUUAACUCCAUAAGCAUGCUACGGUCAAGUGGGAUGUAUCUGACCUUUCCUUGUGAUUCUGUUCGUUCGUGGGGUGUGCUUGACGAGAUGCAAGUGACCUCAAGGGGUUCAAAGGACCUAUAGAGACUGGGUUAGCUACCCAAGGCCCGGUGUCGCUUACACGAUGGUGUAGCCAAGGUGAUGUUCCAGUUAUAUGCAUUUGUGGUUAUAACUAGGGUGUUCACGAUGUGUUGAGGAAGGCAGUGCAUUCGGGUCCUAAUUAAAACUUUAAGAAACGUUAUCUUCUUGUUGUGUUGUGUGUUGCUUACUUCCUUCUUUGUGUACUCUGAUUAUUUAUGUUAUGCAUGUGGGAUUAUGGGUGGGGAUUAAACUAAUGUUUCCUUAGGGAACCCGAGCUCAUUGAGUAAUGCUAGAUUACUCAUGACUUUACUUGUUUUGCAUGAAACCUUAGAGGGGAUUAGAGGGAGUGGUGAACACUAGGGAACCCGGAGUAGUUUUUCAAUGUCCUUUUGUAAAACUUAAAAUAUGUAUUUUCGUAUCGUGUACUUUUGGACCUCAUGCCUUGGCCACAAAAACGAUGUUUAUGUUGUGGUUUUUCCUUGUAUUUUCGUAACUCUAAAAUAAUGAAAUCGGUAUUUAUUUUAGAGUAUACGGGUUUCAAACUGAUAAGACUUUGUCCGAGUCGACACAACAUUUGGGUGAAGUGAGGGUUGGCAAGCCUAACACUACAAAAAAAUUUGAAUAUUCUUACGGAAAAAUUGCGACCAUUUUUUCGUCAGAAAAUUGUAACCAUUUUCUUACAAAAAUGUGACGUAUUUAUUUAGUCAUAAAAACGUUACUAUUUCGUUAUAAUAUUAUGUCUUAAUUGAAAGUAACUAACGUUUGUCACUAAUUAUAUUAAAUUUGUUACGAAUUAUAUAGUCAUAAAUAUAAAUACGGAUUUGCGACCAAAUAUGGUAACUAAAUUAUACAAUAAUUGUGACUAAACUUAUGUCACGUAUAGUUACGAGAGUUUUGUAACUAUCAUGUCACAAUUUGUCACUGUUUUAGUGACUUUUGCGUUUGGUCAUAGAUUGUGACAUAAUUAUUACCAAUUUUAUCACAAAAAUAAAAACAUGUGAACUAAAAGUCAAAUAAAAAAACAGCUUCAAUUUUGGAAAGAAAAAAAUCUGAUAAUACAUAAAAUUUUGAAAAGAGUAUAAAAAGUUAUAUAAGAAAACAGUUUCAAUUUCUUUGUUAUUUUUUCUUUUUAUUUCCAAUGCUUUGUUUUAAAAAAAAAAAUCCCACGAUCUCUCUUUUGCAAUGCAUGAUCUCCAAAUUAACUUCCCAGUUUUAUUAAUUAUUUUCAUCAAUUUCACUUUCUUUAAAUCACCAUAUAUAUCCCACAAUCGAUUUAUCUCAAUUGUUCUUCCAUUCAUCCCUUCUGGAAAAAAAAACUGUAAAUACUUUUACGGAAUCGUCAUUCAACACCACGAAUUCAUCUUCAUUGUUCGCUAAAUCCAACAUUCCACGACUCCGAUCGUCUUCUUCCUCCUUUCGUAAGGUGGUUUCAGUAACCCAAAUCACCACAAAAUCUAAUAUUUUAAGAGAAAAUCUUUGUUUUGAUUUUUUUGAUGUAUUUAGUUGCAGGCACUACUGUUUGCAACAUGAAGUCAAAAUCCCCUUCUUUUUAUAUCUCCAGAAAUAUGAACAGUUAAUGCUAAUUAAAAGGUGUGAUUCUGCUUCUUCUAAUGUGGAUCUUUUUGUCUAAUUUAGAUACAUUAUAUAAUAUCUACCCUAUUUACAUCCUAUUCUCUGUCAGCUAUCCACCUCUACGUCCACACUUUUGUUUUGUUGGAGCGGCAUCAAUCGUUGAUUAUAUGUGAUCUUCAUUUAAGGACAAAAGUUGGAAUAUCAUCAUAUGCUUCGAUCAUGUCAAAGAACCCAAAUUAAAGAAGCACAAUCAAAUGAUCAACUGCUUGAAGGAGACACCAAAAGUUUCGUCAUCAAAGAAGAAGAUAAUUGAGUGACAAAGAAGAAGUCAGGUGAUGAGAAGCAAGAGAUGUUCAAAGCAUCAAAAGGCCAACUCACGGUUUCAAUAAAACAUUACGAAAAGUAAUGGUUUUUGUGGGGGGUUGACAUUAUUUGAAUUCAUUUUCACCCUUUUUAUUUGUUCAAAGUUUAGGAUCUAAUAUGUAGUAUACAAAAGCAAAGAAUCUUGAUCAUCAAUAUAUAGACCUAUUUUACGUUCUAUUUUUUUAAUUACAAAACUCCAAUAAGAAAGGAGUAAAUGAAUAACGCCAUGUCAAGUUGUUUUAAUUUCUGGAUAUCACUAAAUUUAGUUUUAUAGAUAAUUUUAAUAUGUUAAAAUGGCCAUGUAACGGGACAGAGCAUGACAUUGUGUGACUAUAAUCGAGUCACUAAUUGUGUUGGAUUUGUGAUUGUAUUUUGGUCGCAUAAUAUAACGGGACAAUGACUUAAAAAUAUGAGUAGUAAUAAUCUGUGACAAGUAUGUUACGAUUUUAUCGCCACUAGUUGUGGCAUAAUUGUGACAGUAUCGUCCGCCACGAAAUGUGUCCAUUUUUGCGACUAUAUUAACGUCGUCACAAUUAGUAACGAAUUGUUACUAUUGUUAAUCGUCACAUUUGUUUGUGACUUUUUUGAGACCUUCAUGGAUUUGUGACGAUUUUAUUGUGACAUUUUAAAUUUCGUUUCAGUUUCGUCAUAAAAAAAUUAUUGUGACCAAAUAUUUUUUUAUUGUGACGUUAAUCAUCGUAUCAAUAUUCAGUUUUUAUUGUAGUGUAAGUGGAUCCCAAAUGGGGAAAUGGGUAACCUUGAGUGGGUAAAGGGUCGGAAUGUGUUUUUGAACCUCAGCUACUCUAUGGGAAUUCAUUUCCAUUGUGGCGUCUCCGAGCCGUGCCGACUGGCCGAGUUCUAGCGCGGACCGGGGGCGUUAGAAUGGGUGGUAUCAGAGCAUGGUUUUAGGGCUUUUGGGAUCCGUUUUUUUUUUCAAACGUUUUAUCGAGUAAAUAGUCGCAAAAGGCACUUAGGAUAAUCCGAGUCGUUCACCACUAUUAGGAUAGGGGGGAAAUAUUAGAUACCUAAUAUCGUUGUUGGAUUGGAUGCAGAUGUCAAGGCAGGUGUCGGACGAGAACUAGUCGAGAGAUGUGAUGUCUAGUCGUGGAAACUUUGCGCAGUAUCCGGAGUCGGAUAACUAGAUACCGAGUGAGAGUGGUGAGAUAAAUGGAGAUUAUAUUCACUUGGAGCCGUAUGGAUUACCUGAAUGGGAAACCCCCGAUUCCACGCCCAGGCACUCGUCGCCCGUAUCGAUGUUCUUCGAUACAUCAAAUGAGAGUUACUUUCGUUCUCGAUCACAUAACCCCGUACAAUCCCCAUCGAUCGAGCAAAACCAUGGAAACCCUAUCCCUGAAACCAAGAACCAAGGAGCCCCGAAAUGCAGCAAACCUUAGACAUUAUUCAGAGUCAAUUGGGUCAUAUGAUUGAAACACAACAACAUCAACAACAAAUUCAAGAAAGCCAGCGAGAGGAAUCAACAUCCGCAAAGUUCCUGAAGCUCGUGAUGAUGAUGAGAGACUUAGGAAUUCGCGUGUUUAAAGGAGAACAUAACACGGUCGUGGCAGACAAGUGGCUACGAGACCUUGAGAUGAAUUUUGAGAUUUCUCGAUGUCCUGACAAUUUCAAGAGACAGAUCGCGGUUAACUUCUUGGACAAGGAUGCACGAAUUUGGCGGGAGAGCGUAACUGCCAGAAACCAAGGCCAAAUGAUAUCAUGGGAAGCUUUUAGAAGAGAAUUCGAAAAGAAGUACUUUCCACCGGAGGCCCGUGAUCGAUUGGAGCAGCAAUUCAUGAAGUUAGCACAAGAGACAAGGAGUGUCUGAGCAUACGAACAAGCUUUCACGCGACUAAGGAGGUACUUAUAUAACGGACAAGAUGAUGAAGCAUUGAUGGUUCGCAGGUUCUUGAGAGGACUCAGGCUAGAGAUAUGGGGACGACUACAAGCGGUCAAAUAUGACAGUGUCAAUGAGCUAACCGAACGGGCAGAUAAUGUGGAGGAGGGUAUUGAGAUGGAGAAGAGUGUAACCAACAAGGAAAAUGAUUGAUCGGGAGGGAGGAAGACUAAUAACGCGUAGGCCAAAAACAACGCUCCUAAAUUCACACCAAAUCAGGAGAGAGACAAUGAUCGAGGAAGAGCAAGAGCGAACUUCACAAGGUGUUUCAUGUGUCUCAAUUAAAAAGACAUGUACCCAAACCCGAUGCUGUAAUUUCAGAAUCGAUACCCGAAUUGAAGACCAACCUCACAUAUCCGGAGGGGCCACUCGAGAUCGGAGAACGGCGCAUUCGAAAGUUUAAGAAGCGGUUAAUUCCUCAAGUUCAAGUAAUUUGGGAAAACAAAACCGACGGUUAAUUACAUUGGAGGGUGAAAAAAAGUUCCGGGCAAAAUAUCCUCAACUGUUCGACGUUGAAGAAGAAGAUGACAAUGAAGCCAGUCCAUCCAAUACUCAGGGAAUUUGGGACAAAUUCCUAUAAGGAGGGCAAAUGUAGUACCCCGCGCAUUGACCCCGGGCAAGAAAGAAGGGCAAGAGAAGAAGAAGAGAGAAUGGUGCGCGAAAUGAAAGGAAGGACGGGUAUUUAUAAUCUGCGGAAGCUAGAGUAGAGCCCAAUUCUUAAAACUUGGAGCCAAAUCCAUUCGGGCAAAGCCGACUUGGUGACCAAGUUUUGUCCUGAGCCAUGCACGCCAACUUCGAGCCCACGCCUUAGCCAACUUGGAGCCGAAUCCACCUGAGCGAGCCAACUUGGUGACCAAGUUUCGUCCCAAAGCCGACUUGGUGACCAAGUUUCGUCCCACUCCUCACAUCCGAACUUUGAGCCUAUAAAUAGAACCUUACCCCCCUUUAGUUAAACCUUAGAAGCUUUCGCACCAAAACUCUGCCCAAACCGAGAGAGAGAGAGAGAUUGUCUGAACCCUUAACCCGAGAGAGAGAUUGUCCAAACCUUAAAACCCGAGAGAGAGAGAGAGUCCAAGAUAGAGAUCGCCAAGCCUUAGGAUAGUCCAAGAGAGAGAUCCCGAGUAGAAACCAUCGGUCGAGUUAGGAAGAUUCAUCAGGGAUUGUGAGUUCCGGUUUUUGUUUUGCAUAUUUGAUUUUCCUUUUUGCAUGUUCUCGAUUCUCCCUUCUCUUAGUUUUGUUGUUGUUAUGGUUGAGUUUGUUGAGGUUGUUAACCGAAUAGCUAGGAUAGUUGAGACCGAAGCACCUUGCCCUAUAGGAGUGGUUGUGUUAGAAUAACACCAUUCACUUGAGAAGGAUGGUUGCGUUGUCAAGACACUACUCGCUAGUAUUCAGGAGACAUUUAGAGAGAACUUUAUGAGCAUGUGUGUUGAAAACGAACCGCAUAUUUCAUAGUGUUGAUUGGAAGAUCAUAGUGUGUGGAGCGUGGAGAGUAUCCAAUUUAACUCCAUAAGCAUGCUACGGUCAAGUGGGAUGUAUCUGACCUUGCCAUGUGAGUCCGUUCUUUCGUGGGGAGUGCUUGACGAGAUGCAAGUGACCUCAAGGGGUUCGAAGGACCCAGAGAGACUGGGUUAGGUACCCAAGGCCCGGUGUCGCUUACACGACAGUGUAGCCAAGGUGAUGUUCCGGUUAUAUGCCUUUGUGGUUAUAACUCGGGUGUUCACGAUAUGUUGAGGAAGGCAGUGCAUUCGGGCCCUAAUUAAAACUUUAAGAAACGUUAUCUCCUUGUUGUGUUGUGUGUUGCUUACUUCCUUCUUUGUGUACUCUGAUUAUUUAUGUUAUGCAUGUGGGAUUAUGGGUGGGGAUUAGACUAACGUUUCCUUGGGAAACCCGAGCUCAUUGAGUAAUGCUAGAUUACUCAUGACUCUACUUGUUUUGCAGGUAACCUUAGAGGGGAUUAGAGGGAAUGGUGAACACUAGGGAACCCGGAGUAGUUUUUCAGUGUCCUUUUGUAAAACUUAAAGUAUGUAAUUUUGUAUCGUGUACUUUUGGGCCUCAUGCCUUGGCCAUAAAAACGAUGUUUAUGUUGUGGUUUUUUCUUGUAUUUUCGUAACUCUAAGAUAAUGAAAUCGGUAUUUAUUUUAAAGUAUACGGGUUUCAAACUGAUAAGAAUUUGUCUGAGUUGACACAACAAUUGGGUGAAGUGAGGGUUGGCAAGCCUAAAUGGAUCCCAAAUGGGGAAAUGGGUAACCUUCAGUGGGCUAAGGGUCGGAAUGUGUUUAAAUAUGCAUUUUUAAUGAGUUCGUUUGUUCACCUUAGUAGAUAGGCCGAUUCUUAUUACACACCUAAAAACCAGACUCAUCAAAUAAUAGAUCCAACUACAUAUACUUAUGGUGGGCAUAUCUAUUGUCUGGAUUCAAGAUCUAGUUAGUUACUCUAGAUCUAGCAUUAAGCAUAAUUAAAGAUGAAGAAUUCUACAGAUAACCUAGCAAAGGGGGCAAUCUACUAAACUAUAUGAAUCCCUAAUGAGAAACCCUAUUCCUAACAAGCAGAUUACUCAGACAUAUUGAUUGAAGGAAACAACAUAAUUGAGUAUGAAAACAUAAACACGGCAAAUAGAUUUAAGGGAAAGAAGGGAUCUCUUCACUGUAUUAGGAACUGAAUCAAUCUCUGAAAACACUCGAUGAAUAGCUUAUGUCUCUCAGUAACAGGGUUUGCAAAAAGCUUGAUAAAAAACUUGAUAAUGAAAACUUAGGUCUAAACAAUGUAUAUACACCCUCUAAAAACGUCUAGGGACUAAUAAUGUAAAUAGAAAAGUUUUCUAGGGCAAAUUUCCUCUUCUGUAAACUUGAAAGCGUCUAGGACUUUGCUGGGCCGAAACUGGUGUCGAUCGACACUAGGAGUGUGUCGAUCGACACUCCUCUUGAUUCGUGAAACCAAAGUCGUCCUUACCUUACUUUUUCUUAGCUUUUGCUCCAAAAUGUCUCCUUAUCUCCAUUGUUGUCCCACUGCAUAGAAUACCUGAAAAGACACUAAAAAGACUCGAGAAAUAACAUAAAGACUCAAGAUCCUAUACCUAAAACAUAGAUAAAAUCAGUUAAAAUAAGGAUAUAUCAAUCACCACAAUCUACAUAUUCAAUUUAUAGGAAGUUCAACAUUUGUAGUAGGAUCCUCACUCUCACCUUCUUUAUCUUUCUCAUUUGACUUAUCUUGAUUCUCUAUUUCCAUGUUGUCCUCAGCUGGUUCAAAAGUACCCAAAUAUUCUUGCUCCACAUCCGUCUGGUCAUUCUGCUUUCUCUUUUUGGGACGAUCCAUUUACUUCACCUGAAAAGUUCAAUCAAACAUAAAUAAUGAAGAAGCCAGUCAUUAGCCAUUUAAAUAUCAUGAAGUAGAACAAGGUCAAUUUUCUCUCUCUACAAAGGCAAUUUAUUAGAGGUUAGGUCUCGGCCGAAAGGGCCUUUGCCUGGGAACUCGAAGUUUGUCCGACUGGUAGCCAGUUCCCACCUUUCCGUCCACACUGGUUCUCACACUUGUUCUCAUCCACAUGUGGAAGUCCGAUCUACUAUUGGGAAUCCCUCUUCGAUUGCUGUUUUUGAUUCUCUUCCGGUUGAGACGCUGGGAACCUCUUCCCCUAUUCCUAGAAUUGUUGAAUUUCCCUUUAGUGACGAAUCUUUAAAGACUCCUUUACUUGCCGUUAUCCCCUUCGACGACAAGCUCUCUUCGAUAAAACAUUAUGUUUCUGGCGAAAGCUCCUCCGAUUUGGCAACAAUGUCUGAGAACUCCUCCACUAUCGUCAGAGAGUCUGAUUUGGUCCCUAAUUCUCGUUUGGUCGAGGCAAAGGGCUAUUCCACCCUAUCACCUAACGUGGGGGCGUCAAUGCCUAUCGAUACCUCUGGCCUGAGCCACGCUGUACCUUCGUCCAUACCCUCUGAGCCUACCACAAUAUCUGAGAAUUCCUCUGCUGCGGUGGAUACAACUCUCCUGAAAAAUCCUGCUAACACUGGAUCAAGCUUUCCCACUAAUUUUGGUGCCACUGCCACUCCUCUUCCGGUUAACAAUCCUCCUCACACUUCCGCUACCCUUCCAUGGGCGAAGAAAUUUAAGGCCUCGUUGCUAAACCUUAAGCAAAUGUCCAGCCCAACCUUUCUCGAUGAUGGUACCCCUGUUGUUGUUGCGCCACCCUCUGUAUUACUGAAGACAGCAGAGAUGUGGAAAGGCCAUCUUAUAGCCCAAUUUUGGGGCCUUUGUCCACCGGAUUCAAAUAUCUUCAAUGAUCUUAAUCUUAUACGAUGAAUUUAUGGCGCCAUCACGGUUCGUAUUAUCUCGGAAACAGCUUCUUUGAUCUACAUCUCGUCUUUGGCAACGCGAGAAUGGGUAGUGGAUGUGGGGUCCUUGUACAGUGUACCCUUGGUAUCCAGAAGGCCCUCUAGAACUCGAAGAAUUACAAACGGCUCCUACUUGUACAAUUCUCAAGAACGACCUUCCGUAGUUGUGUUUACUUGAUGGAAUAAUUGUUAUAGCAACUGGAAUUGGCGAGCCCCUGCAUAGAGAGCCUUUCUUCACAUUUACUCGACCUCGUGGUCGAGUACCUCAGUCUAGGCCACUCGAUGACACCACUCGACCACGAGGUCGAGUAACACCUUGCCAUACCACUCGAUCAUCACACGAACUGUCACUCGAUCAUAACACUCGAUCACAACACUCGACCCCGAUCGAUUAGAUUCCUGGCCCAUCCCUUAUCGGUUUACUUUGUUUUGUAUAAAUAAGUCUUCAAGAAUUUUGUCCCAAAACAUUUAGGUUUUGCUUCACUUUUGAUUUCUAUUUACCUAGUUUAUUCUAUCAUUGCGCCGUUUGCUCUACACACUUGUAAUUCGAGAUUUUCCAUGUUAUUCGGAUUCUACAUUUGAUUUUGUUUAGCACCUAGUUUCUCUACUCUUUAUCUCUUUAUAUAUGCAGUCUACUUGUUUAUUGGCAAUUAUGUUUUUGAGCAUGUAAUCUGAAUAGUGACUUAGAAUUUUUAAGGAUAGGAUAGAAUGGUUGGUUGAUCUGUAGUCUAUAGGAUGGUUAAGUUUUAGAAUUGAUUGAAACCCUUCUGGAUUAGUUGUGUUUAAGGCUUAUUUCUCUCUGAUAAAUUGGAAUUCGAUCCAAAGCACUCCCGCACCCAGAAGGUGUUCGAUAAAUGCUUGAUCCACUAGAUCUAGAGGUUUUCGUCUCUAUCCCAAGGGAUUGGCCGUUUAGAGCGUUUAUUGACUGUAAUAGGUUGAAUCGUAUUGCCUGCAUAGUUAGAUUCUGUUAAUGGGAAUUAGUUUGUGCUAGCUUUGCUUGAGGGUUUCUAUCACGAUAGUGAAUUAAUAUGUUGUUGAACUUGUUAUGUAGGGAUAGCUUGAUUGCGCUUUGUUAACCAUAUGAGCAGGCUAAGGAGACCACUCCAUUUGAUUACCUCAUCCUUAAGAAUUUCUCGUCCAUUUGAUUUCUUUAUUUCAUUGCUAUUGUUUAACCAUUUUUUUUUGUGUUGCUUAGUUUUCACAUUUUCUACCUAUUAUUACCAACUUACUCGACCACACCCAAUGUGUGGCAGUAGAUUGUGCGGUCGAUUAUAGUUGUUAUAAUUUCUGUUUGUUAUUCGAACAGUUACUGGACCUGUCCCUGCUACUGGCUUCAACCAGUCGUGGUCGAGUGUUUUGUGUAAUUCUGUUAGAAUUUCUAUUUUCUACAUGUUCACUUAGGACUGCUAAAAACUCCAAAACCUGCUAUUGCUUGGCUUGACUUAGUGGCUUCCGAUCACAUCUCAUCUGUUUGCAUCACACCUAAAGUGGAUUUACACCUAAAAUACUACAACGACACGAUAGUGUUUAAGGAUUAAUUGAUCUUAAAAACCUAUUAUCAAUUUUGUGUCGUUGCCAUUUGGGUGCUUGUUUGCUAUAUUGGAGAUUUCAGAAUAUUUAAGAUCCAGUUCUUUUUCGUUUUUAUUCAACGUUACUAACUCUGUGUUUUUUUGUUUGUCUGAUUUGAUCCAGGUUUUGCGAAUCACUAGCUUUACUCAACUUCCUCUGGACCGUGCUAACGUAUGGUUGUUGCUCAGUGCAUGCAAACUCGAUCGCAAGGGCAUCAGAACCUCCUUUUUAACGAUAACAUGAACCGUAUUGCUCUUGAAUUAAGGGAACAAUUAAACACAAACGCUAUGGCUGAUGACCAGAACCCAGAAUUACCAACCAACAUUGGUGCAGGCGAUGCACCAUGCAACCACAAUCACCGUAAUGGCAUGGUUCAUGGCAACAAGUUUCACGACCUCCCAUGAAGGAUCCACUCGACCACCUAGACGAGUUUGAUAGGCUCUGCAGCCUAACAAAGAUCAAUGGAGGCAAUGAGGAUGGCUUCAAGCUUAGAUUGUUUCCAUUUUCUCUAGGAGACAAAGCUCAUCAGUGGGAAAAGUCGAUUCCUCAAGGCUCAAAUGAUUGCAAGAAAGCCUUCUUUGCUAAAUUCUUCUCAAACUCAAGGACUACAAGACUCCGGUAUGAGAUUUUUGGUUUCACCCAGAAAAAUGCUGAGACUUUCUGUGAAGCAUGGGAGCGCUUCAAGGGAUAUCAGACGCAACGUCCUCAUCAUGGUUUCUCUAAGGCAUCACACCUAAGUACUCUCUACAGAGGCGUUCUUCCUAAGAUCAGGAUGCUCCUUGAUACAACAUCCAACGGAAAUUUCCUGAACAAAGGCGUUCUUCCUAAGAUCAGGAUGCUCCUUGAGAACUUAGCUUAGUCUGAUGGCAACUAUAAUGAAGCACCGCAUGGAUAUGAAAGCUAGAAAUGACAAGCUGGAUAAGCUAAUCAUUGUGCAAUAGAAGCAAGUCCAUUUUCUCAGUGAAGAUGAGACAUUUCAAGUCCAGGAUGGGGAGACUCUCCAAUAAGAAGAAGUUAGUUAUGUGCAAAAUCAGGGAGGCUACAACAAAGGUUUCAACAACUUCAAGUAGAACAAUCCUAAUAUGUUUUACAGAAGUAGCAAUGUUGCAAACUCGCAGGAACAAGUCUACCCUCCAUAGCAGCGAAUCAACCCAAACCAUUUGUUCCAUACAACUAGGGUCAAGGGUUUAUUCCUAAGGAACUAUAACAGGGAAGCUAUCAACCGCAACUUCCACCACCUGGGCUCACAAAGCAGCAACAACAACAUGCUUCCACAAUUCGAGACUCAGACUUGAAGAACAUGCUCUAGCAGAUUUUCCAAGGACAAGCAACAUGAGCAAUGGAUUUGGCCAAAAAGAUGGCCAAAAUACACAACAAGGUUGAUUGCACUUUGAAUGAUCUCAACAUCAAGAUUGAAGCACUAACGUCUAAGGUCAGAUACAUGGAAGGCCAAACUGGGUCGACCUGUGCUCCCAAAGUUACAGGACUUCCAAGGAAGUCAAUACAAACCCUAAAGAGUAUGCGAUCGUUCACGCCAUCACUAUCUGCCAAGAUCGAGAGCUACCCAUUCGUCAUGCCUCUAACUCAAUCACUGAGGAAAACGAAGCUCAGGAAGGGCAGGUUUCUAAUCGGAUUGAAGUCUUAGUUAUUGAACUUGACCAUUCAGCUGGAUCUCGCCAUCAAAUUCUGUCUACCUUAGAAGAGAAAGUAGCCAUCAUUGAGAGAAUGGUAAAACGAUCCAAGCCAACUCCAUUACCUCCACUUGUUCUUCCAAGGAAGUUCAGGAAAGCUUGGAUAGAGAAGUAUGAAUCUCUUGUAUAGGAACAACUCAAUGGGAUCAAAGCAGUGAUGUCAUUAAUAUAAGUUUUCGAGCUGAUUCAAUACCCUCACAAAGACGUGAGAAAUUUAAUACUAGAAAGGAUCAAGAGGUAUCACGAUUCAGAUGAUGAAUAUGAUGCCACUCUGUUUCAAGCUGCUCGUGAAAAAAUUGUUCAAGAAAAGUUGGAAGAUUCUGGAUCCUUCACUCUGCCAUGCUCUAUCAUGCAUUUAGCUUUCAACAAUUAUCUAUGUGAUCUUGGAGUUUCAGUCAGCUUAAUGCCACUCUCUAUGGUAAAGAAGCUUGGAUUCCUUCAGUAUAUGCCUUGUGACAUAACCUUGAUUUGCUGAUAGGAGUUCAAGGAGACCUUGACACACUAAGUCAAAUUCAAGGAGGAGAUUAACCUCGACUCAACUUUGAUGUCCCUUCAGUUUGGUUUGAAGUAGACUAUCUACCAGAUGAGGAAGCAGCCUACUUAGAGGAAAAAUGAAUUGAGGACUCAGUUGCGCAGCUAUCAAUGGAGGAUACUGAGAAUGAUGAUAAGCUCGAUGAAGAAAAGGACUUCUUAAGUCCUUUCUGUCACACUUUCCCUGCCUAAUAAGUGUGAGUACUCAAGCUAGAGAUUUAAAACAAACUCACUUGGGAGGAAAUCCUAUGUCUAUCAAUGUAUAUAUCUUUUAUUUUUUCCUUGUUGUCUUUGAUGCAUUUUGUUAGUAUUUUCAGGAGAUAAGUAUAAAGAGUUAAGUGAAGUGGGUUUUACCUCUGAGUGUGCAACAGAACACUCGACCACAUCCUGCAAGGAGCAAGUGUAUCUGUGUAAUCGAGUAUAAAGAGGGUUUCACUCUCAAGAUUUUGAAGUUUCAACAUGUCACUUUAUCACCCGAAGCCACAUGCUAAUGAGGAAAUGUGGUCGAGUAUAUGUGAUGAUUUUGGACCUAAUGUUUUUAAAAAUCAUCACUAUACUUGACCAACAGAAGCCAUAUGGUGACUAGAGGAUGAAUUUGAGUAUGAUGUUGUUUUGAUCCAAAAAUUCAACAUUAUACUCGACCAACAAAAUCUAUAGAGACUUACAGAGGCUUAAUCAAGUUUACAGGGGAUUGCGGAAUGUUCUGAGACUUUUCUAGUCAACAGGGAACCGUGUUUAAAGACAAGAAAACAGACGUGGGGUUCACCACCAAAACUUAAUGUUCCCCAUGCCUCCCACCAAAAGAUAAGAAAUCCAUCUCUUUUGCUUCUCCACCAGAUGUCAGACGGGCCGCCCUGCGCCCAAACGGGCCGGCCUGCGCCCAAACGGGCCAUCCGCAAUGUGCCCGAUUCUCUUCUGAUUCGCGACGGACCUGCCGGCCGACGACCGCGGUCUUGAAAAACGAGCCCUAACCCGCCCCGCAAAGCCCAGCGGUUAGACAGGCCGGCCCGCAGGCAUAUAUGAAAAAGGGAGUCAAAUAUAUGCCAAGAGAAUUGUCACCUUGACAUCUAUGGAAAGAAAAUUGUCAAAACAUAUAGUUAGGGCCAUCACAAUUCUCUGCGUUUACAUGUCCAACUUCAUUUGAACCACGAGCAUUUUGAUCUAUACUUAAAAGGCAGCAUGUGUUAAAACAUUGUACAGACCACAAUAGUUAACUAGAUGUCAACUCCAAGACAAAUUCACGUUUGUGUUACUGGUAAAAAUAAAAUGCCUCGAAUACUGAUGAUAAAAAUAUUUCAACUUCAUCACUUGGUUGGUAUAAAACUAGCCACAUACCAGGUUCAUGUGAGUUCUCUGUGAUUUCUUCUAUAUGAUAGUAGGUUUUUACGGUCAAUUAAUCCUAAAAUACUAUCCUGUCGUUGUAGUAUUUUAGGUGUCAAUCCAAAAGGGUGUGAUGCAGACAGAUGAGAUAUGAUCAGAAGUUGUUAAAUCAAGCCAAGCAGAAUUUGAUUGGUUAUCUAACAGUCCUAGUGUUGAUGCAAAAAACAGUAAAAAGUCACAGAAAUGACUGAUAUACUCGAUUGCAGGGUCAACUGCCAGAAGGGACCCUGUUAGAGGUGUCAGACGGGCCGGCCCGCGCCCAUCUUGCCCGCCCCGCAGUGGGCUUUCUUUUUCCGGCCGCGGCGGUCGGCCCGUUUAGGACCGCGGGCAAAAAUAUCAGUGUCCAAGCCCGGCCUGCAAAGCCAGCGGAUAUACGGGUCUGCCCGCGGGCAUUUCUAUUCACUUGUUUAAAAGAUGAAUCAUUGAAUACAAUAAUGUCUAAAGAAUUUUGAUUCAAACCUUUUAUUCAUGUAUAACAAUGUACAAACUAAUAUGGUACAAUGCCUUUUAUGAGUUACCUUUUACAAGUUCUGAAUUGUGAAUCAUUGAUUAAAACAUCUAGUUACAUACUUACAUUUGACAUCUCCUUUAACUCAAACGAUGACAUUUAUUUAAACUGAAACCAAACAUAAGUACUUAAACAUAGCUACAGUUAACUGAAACACUUUUUCAUUUACUUAAACUGAAACCAAACAUAAGUACUUAAGUAUAUAAGACUGAAACAAAACAUAACUACAUAACCAACUAAACAAAAAUACUGAAGUGAAACUAAACUAAUGCUAAAAAGAGAACCUGCAACUCAUAUUCAAAUCUGAAAUUCAAACUCAAUACGUAGAACAAAUAUCAAUCCUCAAACCAAACAUAAGUACAUAACUAGCUAAACUCAAUUCAAAACUGAAACUAAACUCAAGCUAAGAAUAGAACGUGCAACUCAUAUUUAAAUCAAAACUGAAUGCAAACUCAAUUAAAGACAUAAGUGAAACAGAACCAAACUGAAACAUAAAUUUUAAACAUAAGUCUGAAUAAAAGAACUUAAGUCGAAGAGAAAAACCUACAACAUCUCAAAGACAAACAGAAAUCUGAAGUAAAGUUUCAAACUCUAACAGAACCUUAACUUAAACUCAAAUCCAAAUAUCCCAAAAGGAACAAUGUCGUGUCUCAUCUUGCAACUCAUUUGUAAACCUUAAUCUGAAUUUAAACUCAUAUUCAAAUCUUAAAAUCAAUGUAGACUUAAUGAAAGAUACGUAGAACAAAGGAUCAUAAAAACAGAACCAAACUAAAACAAAAGUCAAGACUGAAACAUAAUUGUAACAAGUUAAACUCAAAUGUGAAACAGAAAAUGAACUUAACAAAAUAAAUAAAAAGUAUAUAGAGGGAUAGUCAUGGGACUUCCUCCCAAGUGAGCUUGUUUAGAGUCUCUAGCUUGACUCCUCACACUAAUCAAGUGGAGAAAAUGUGACAGAGGGAACUUGAGAAGUCCUCCUCUUCACUGAUAUCAUCAUCAUACUCAGCAUCCUCCCUUGACAGUUGCACAGCUGAGUACUCAAUUCUUCUUUCCUCAUAGUAGGCUGCUUCCUCCUUUGGAGGAUAGUCUUUCUCUUCUGACCAAUCUCAGGUGAUCUCCUUUCUUGAAAUCGUGUCAUGGUUGAGCUGGGGCUGAACCUCCUUUUGCAUUCGACUUAGUUUGUCUCUAAGCUUUUCAACAGUGUAGCUCAGCUUCUGAAUAGUUCUGUUCUGCAGAUCAGUCUUCCUUUUGAGUUCCAGCCAAUCAAGUGAGGAGGGUAUACUCGAUCAAGUAGUCGAGUUCGAUGGCGGAGUUUGAACCAAAAUUUGCUCCUUCGCUCUUUUGAUCUCAAGGCCUUCACUUGGAACCGCUCUCUGGACCUCUAAGGUUUUUCCUUCUAUUGGUGGCCUUGUCGGAAAUUUGUUGAUGUCAAACUGUAACUUGACAUGCCUCCCAAGGUUGAGAUCAAUCUUACCAUAUCUAACAUCUAUUAUUGCUCCCACUGAGGCUAAGAAAGGUCUUCCUAAGAUCAGUGGAUCCUUAGACUCUUCAUCCAUUUCAAGCACGACAAAAUCAGUGGGUACCUCAACUCCAUCUAUCAUUACUGGCACGUUCUCUAGAAUGCUGAAAGGUCUCCUUGAAGUUCUAUCAGCAAGGAUCAAGGUGAUGUCACAUGGAUUGUACUGAACGAAUCCCAGCUUCCUUGCCACAGAGAGUGGAAUUAAACUGACUGAGGCUCCUAGAUCACAUAGACAAUUGUUGAAAGUCAAUUGCCUAAUGGAACAUGGCAGAGUGAAAGAUCCAGGAUCUUCCAGCUUCUCUUGAAUAAUCCUCUCACCAGCGGCUUGAUGCAUAAUGACAUCGUCUUCGUCAUCUGAAUCCUGAUAUAUGUUGAGCCUUUCCAGUAUCAGGUUUCUCACAUCUUUGUGAGGGUCUGAAAUCAACUUGAGGACUUCUACUAAGGGCAUCACAACUUCCAUCUCAUCAAGUUGUUUUUCUGCUAGAGAUUCAUAUCUGCUUUUCCAAGCUUUCCUCAACGUCCAUGGAAGAGCAAGUGAGGGUGAUGGAGCUGGCUUGAAUCGUUUUACCAUCCUCUCGAUUAUAGCAGUCUUCUCCUCCAAGUCAGACUGAGCCUGAUAGAAAGAUUGAGAUGAAUAGUCGAUCUCAGCAACAGAGACUUCAAUCUAAGUGGAAGCCUCCCCUUCUUGAAUUACACUGUCCUCAGUGUUUGAUGUAGAGACAUGUUGAGUUGGCAGCUUUCGCUCAUGUCUGAUAGUGAUUGCGUGUGCAGUGGCGUACUCCUUAGGGUUUUUGAUUGCUUUUCCUGGAAGCUGGCCUGGGUUGUUUGUAACAGGUGGUGAAGUAGUGAUGCCGUCCAGAUACCGUACCCUUGUGUUCAAUGAUUCCAACCUGCUACUCAGUUCAUUGAACUGUCUGUCAACUUUGUUGUUUAAGUCAGCUAGCUUCUUAGCAGAUUCCAUUACCCCUGCGGCUUGACCUUGCAUGAUCUGUUGGAGCAUAUUCUUGAUGUCUGAUUCCUGGGGUGUAGAGGGCUGAUGUUGUUGUGGUGUGAAACCAGGUGGUGGCUGUUGCUGUUGAUACCCUCCUUGGAACUGUUGCUUAGGAACGAACCCUUGACUUUGGUUGUAAGUAACAAACGGUUUGGGUUGGUUCUGCUGCAGCUGCUGUUGAGGGUAAACUUGGUCCUGAGGAUUGGCGACAUUUGUGCUUCUGUAUGACAGAUUUGGGUUGGGUCUGUAAUUGUUGUACCCUUUGUUGUAGCCGCCUUGGUUCUGAACAUAACUGAUUUCAGCGCCCUGAUCAUUCUCCCCCUCUUGGAUUUGGAAUUCUUCGUCUUCAGAGGCGAAGUGAACAUGCUUCUGCUGCACUUUGAGGAGUUUGUCAAUUUUGUCAUGGAGAGCUUUAAUCUCUCGGCGGUGCUUGUCAUCAGAUUCAGUACUGGUGCGGAUGCUUCUGUCAUAAUCCUCGUUGUAAUUGCAAUCCGACUGAGCCAAGUUUUCAACUAGCUCCCAUCCGUCUUCGACAUCCUUGUUCAGGAAAUUCCCAUUGGAGGCGGUGUCAAGGAGCAUGCGUAUCUUAGGCAGGACGCCUCUGUAAAGUGUGCUGAGAAGAGAUGCUUCCUUAAAUCCGUGAUGGGGGCAUUUGGUUUGAUAACCCUUAAACCGCUCCCAAGCUUCACAGAAGCUUUCAUUUUGCUUCUGAGUGAAUCCGGAUAUCUCGUUCCAGAGUCUUGCAGUCCUGAAGUUGGAGAAGAAUUUUGCCAAGAAGGUCCUUUUGCAGUCAUCCCAGGUCGUGAUUGAUCCCUGGGGUAGCGUCUUUUCCCACAUAUGGGCUUUAUCUCCAAGUGAAAAUGGAAACAAGCGAAGCUUGAAACCAUCUUCACUAACUCCAUUGAUUUUAGUAAGGCCACAGAGCCUUUCAAACUCGUCAAGAUGAUCUAGCGGAUCCUCCAUUGGCAGGCCAUGAAACUUGUUCCCCUGAACCAUUGCAAUGAGACCGCUUUUGAUCUCAAAGUUGUUGUUCUGUAUUGGAGAUGGAACAAUUCCAUGACGCUGGUUGUGGUUGUGAGGGAAGUCACCAGCACCAAUGUUGGUAGGUUGCUCUUGCUCAUCUACAACGUCAGCCAUUGUGUCGGUUUCUGUCUGUUCUCUUAGUUGGCGAGCAAUACGGUAGAUGUUAUCGUUGAAUAGGAGAUUCUGAUUUCCUUGUGACCGUGUAUGCAUGCAACAGAUAGCAGCCGGGCUAUAACAGACGAAUCAGAGAUGCGUCUGGAAAGCGGGUUGCAAGGUACCUGAAACACAAAGACAGAAAAGGCACAAUGUUAGUAACUUGUGUAACAAAAACGAACCUGAUCUUAAUGUUUCUAAUGAUCUCAAAUAUAGCAAACAAACAUCAAACUGGCAACGGCGCGAAAUUGAUAGUAGGAUUUUUGUCAAUUAAUCCCUAAAACAUUAUCUUGUCGUUGUAGUAUUUUAGGAUGUCAAUCUAAUCCGGUGUGAUGCAAAAAGAUGAGAUAUGAUCAGAAAGCUCUAAGUCAAGCCAAGCAGAUGGUUGGUUGGUUCUAACAGUCCUAGUAUGCAAUAACAGAAAUGAAAUGAAACUAAAAGCAGGAAUGGCAAUAGCAGGCAAGUGAAUGACAAAGCAGAAAUGAUAACAGGCAAUCAAAUGGAUAAACGAUUCAUAAGGAUGGGGUAAUCGAAUAGUAUGGUCUAAUUAAUCUAUUCAGGCGGUUGACAAAACUUCACAGAAGCUAUCCCUAGACAACAAGUUCAACAACAGAUUAAUUCACUCCCGUGAUAGAAAUCCUCAAGCAAAGCUAAACACUGACCUAAAUCCCUUUAGCGAUCUCUAACUAAGCAGGCAUUAUCGAAUCAACAUGUUAAAGUCAAUACCCUCUCUAAAGCCAAUCCCUUGGGGUAGAGUCAGAUAUCUCUGGAAUUAAUAGGAUCCAACGCCCAUUAAACGUCUUCUAAGCGCUGGACGUCUGGACUCAUACUCCACAUUAGCCAGUGAAAUAAGCAAUAAGCGCAACUAAUCCAGAAGGGAUUCUAGUUUUCUAAACUCAACCACCUAAAACGACCAAGUAAACCACAACUAUUCUAUCCCAUCCUCAGAAAUACAGUUCACUACUCAGACAUAAUCAAAGACAAUAACAAAGCAACAAUUGAAAACAUGAUAACAGAAAUGACGAAAGACUUAAACGAAAACUGAAUAUCAAAUACUUGAAAACGAAACUACAAAGUCGCAGAAAAAACACUGCAGCUAUCAAAGUUGCGAAAAUGUAAAAGCGAGAUAAAAACGGAUAAUAGCGGAUAAUAGCCGACGCCCUAGGGAAAACCCUAAGAGGCAGUUUAUAUAAGCGAGAAAUAAAACAAAUAAGGAAACUAAAUAUAUAGCGAAUCUUCACGUCAUGAUCCUGCGACCGAAUAUGUCAUUGGCAUCUAACGGGCAGAAAUGAGCUUCCUAGUGAUCGAAUAUGUCAUUGAUCAAACUGGGCUUCAGGGGCUCCGUCUUGCGAAAUGUAGUGAAGUCGAGAUUGAAUGGUCCAACGACCUUGUGAUCGAGUGCGAUCGAGUGGAUGUCAUGAGGGUGUGAUCGAGUGGUUUCUUCGGCUUCUCUUCUCUUCUUUGUUCUCAGCUUGUCUGGUUGAGUGCAGAAUGAGCAGAUAGGCUUCCUGGUGAUAGAGUGGUGAUCGAGUGGUUCUGAUGGGGUGAUUCCUCCGGCUUCGCGAUUGAGUGAAACUGAGCUGCUUGCUUCUCCGGGGUUGCGAUAGAGUGAUUUGCCCUGGCAGGGCUCCGAGGCUGCGGAUAGAGUACUUUUUUCUGAAGGCGUCAUUGGGCAUUCUGACUUCAUGUUCUGUAUAAUUAACUUAAUUAAUACUAAGUAUAAUUAACUAACCUCCUAAUUAACUUAAUUAAUAUGCGGAUAAACUCGGACGAUCUUAUCCAUACGGAAUAGAUAGGCAUGAACGAACUUAUCCAUAUUCGUUCCUAUCUACUUCUCGUAGAACCGUAACCAUGACGGGUUCACCCAACGCAUCAACACAUUAAUCUCAGUCACCCAAGUCUCCGUUCCACUCGACUCACCCAUCCGGUUCCCCGACCACUUGCUCAUGAAUAUCUCCAAAACUGCCAGACCGUUGGUCCGACAAACAAUACUCUUCCCAUAAGGACUUUUUCCGACCGUUCCGAUUGUACGGCUUGCUAAAUCAUCGAGUAAAAUUCCUCGGCCUAGUCCUAGUCCUGGCCAGGGGUAUUACAAUAUCUAUCCCGACCUUUGAAAUCAUAUAGCCGCUUAUAGAAUACUUUCUCCUCAGGCUAUGACAAAGAAAAAGGUGCAGGUGGAAGAUAGAUUAUUUUACCUCUUUUAAUAGGAUGUAAAUCUUUUCUAACGCAAAAAAGUUGUAAAUCUUUGCGAGUCUUUAACCCAUUCUUUGGUUUCCCACAGUGCAACAAUGCUUGCACACACAAUUCUCUUAACAUGUAUGACAUUGAAACUGUGUUUAACUGCCAGAUCUUGAAAAAUAAAAUAAAAGUAAAUAUAGAUAAAUGCUAAACUUUGUAAGCAUCCCAGUUACAACAAUACUAUUCAAAGAGAUCACUAUAGAAACAUUCAAUAAGGCAACUUGAAAAAGAUAGACCUUUUCUUCAACCUUGAUGGUCUUCCUCGUCGUUUUCUUCCUCUUCCUCUUCCUCUUCAUCUCAUUCACUUUCUUCACUUUCAUCACAUGAGGCUGUCUCAAUUACAGUUUCAGUCCUAGCUCUCUUCUUCUCUGUCUCUUUCCUAUUCCCAAAAUCAAUUUUGAAUUUUUUUUAAGAGGACAUAUAUAUUAUGACUAGUUAAUAUUUUAACCUUACUCUCAUGUUCAAAUUUUCAAUCAAACCAUGUUUUCUUCCCCUGAUAACUGUGAUUUGGUGGUAGACCAUUGCGAUGACACAUAUCAACAUGCUUUCUACCUUUACAUAAUCACAUAUUGUCAAUUUUUCCUACGUAAAGGACAACCCAUCUUACCUUUUACUUUGCAUACUACAAGAUUUCCAUAUAGAGGGAAAUCAUUGAUAGUCCAUAGGAGCAUUGCUUUAGGGUUGAAAGUACUCUUACUGUAGGCAUCAUAUGUUAACUUUCCGUUGCUCCACAACUGGAUAAGAUCCUCUUUCAGGGGUUAUAACUAAAUAUCAAUGAUAUUACCAGGUUAAUGCAGCCAGAAAUCAACAAGGUAAGCAUUAGCAGCAUUAUGUUUUCUUUUUUCAUACACAGGUCUCGAGUAAUAUUAUAAUUAACUAGUUAUAUGUUCUUUUUUAAUGCAGCAAAAGUAGGGUAUUUGGCAUUUACUUGCUUCCGAGUCACAUAAUCUACAGGGUGAAAAAAAUUUCCGUCUUAUUACUAAAAUGGCACCUUAGGUCAUUGGCUUGUUGCUCAGACCUAAACAUUCUCUUUAGACGUGGUAUAAUUGGAAAGUACCUUAGAAUUUUUCUGUGAAACAUUUUUCUUUAUUUGACCAGUGUGCAUGUUUAUCUUCCAUCUUCUAUCUAGAAGCUAUGCAUUUAGGACAUGCGUCAAGCUUCUUCAGCCUUUUCAUGAAUAGAUAAUGAUUAUUAAUAAAAGCAUGAAUAUCUUUUAAUAACCUAUAUCAAAAGAUUUCAGGAACUUCUUCACAUCAUACAUUGAUGUAUAUAGAACAUUAUCUUCUAGUAAAAUGUUUGGUAAAGUCUCCUGAAGAUCAUUGAAGCUUUUGUCUGACCACCCAUUUUGUGUCUUUAUUUUAUACAGUGACACAAUUGUAGAAAGCUUGCUAUGGUUUGCACAACUUGGGUAUAAAGGAGUUUCACAUUGAUAAGUCUGCAUUUUACUUGUCUUAGGCAUCCAUUUCCCAUCACUUUAGCAUCCUAUCACCACUGUUUCAUACCAUUUCGCAACAUUUGUCAUCACAUUGCAUGUUAAGGAUAGUUUUGCAUGCAUAUUACAUAUUUGUGUUGUUUUCAGGUGAAUUGGAGCUGAUGGUGAACUAAUUGGAAGAAGUGGACCUGAACCGAUCAACAUACUCGACCAUGAGCUCGAGUAGUGUCAUCAUGGACUUUUUGAAGUACUCGCCACAACCUCUACAGCUGAUCACUCGACCACGACACUCUAUCCACCACUCGACCCUUAGGUCGAGUAGAAGACUCACCACUUCUCACAACCACUCGACCCCGAGGUCGAGUAGCAGCCAUCACCAUUUCUCACCAUCACUCGAUCCAGUGGCCGAGCAUCACCAUCAUCAAUCACUCGAUCGCACACUCGACCUCGUGGUCGAGUCCCCUCAUCAUCACUCACUCGAUCCAUCACUCUGCCACCAAGUUGAGUUCCACCAUCAUCCACCACUCGACAUCAUACUCGACUGCCAGCUUCAGAGUCUUCUUGAUUCCGCAAUCAACAAGACACUCGAGCAUAAGGAAGAGAUGAAGACUUUGGCUCGUCACUCGACCCACUACUUGAUCACCUGGGUCGAGUACCAUUCUUAAUCUGUUCCAAUACUGUGUCGUUUUGAGUAUUAGGGUUUCAGAAUAUUUUGCUAUAAGUAGCAUGUACUUUAUUUUUUCAAAAACAAGUUUUUAUUCCGCACACAGUUUGUGUGUUAUUUGCUUUUGUAAUCCGAAUUUCUUUUAAUCUAUUCAGUAUUCGCUUUUUGUUUAUUUUACUAAGUUGUUCAUCCUGUUAUCAUCAUGUUAUUACUCUUUUGCUAUGAUGUUUUCAUUCAUGUCAUCAUUUAUGGUCUCUAUAAUGAUGUCUGAGUAGUGACUAGGUUUCUGAGGAUGGGUUAUAGUAGUUUAGAAUCCUCGGUCUGUUAGGUGGUUGAGUUUGAUUUACAGAUCCCUUCUGGAUUAGUUGUUCUUAAUGCAUAUUGCUUUCUGAUCAACUGGAAUUUGAGCCCAGAUAUUUCUGCACCCAAAAGGUAUUCGACGAAAUGUUUGAACCACUAAUUCCAGAGAUUUGUGGCUCUGUACCAAGGUAUUGGUUACAGGGAGCGUUUUGGCUUUAACUUGAUGAUUCCUAAUGCCUCUUAGGUUAGCUCUCGUCAAUGGUGAUUGAGUCUCAGACUAGUUUAACUUGAGGGAGUCUGUUGCGGUGGCACUUAGAUUUGGUUAUCGAACUUAUUAUCUAGGGAUAGUUUAUUGAUCAUCUCAAUCACUUCUAGAUUGAGGAAACUAACUACUCGAUUACCCCAUCCUCGGGAAUUUCUUAUCCAAUUGAUUUAUUUGCUUACACUGCUAUUGUUCUCUUGUUCUUAUUACUCGUUGCUUAGUUUUUGCAUUUCAUACUUGUUAUCACUCAUAUACCCGAUCACACCCAGUUGUCUAGUAAGAGAUUGUGCAGUCGAGUAUCUUUGUUACAGUUUCUGCUUGUUACUCGACCUGUCACUCAACCACACCUAGUGCUUGGCAACAAGCAGUGUUGGUCGAGUGUUUUCUUUAUCCUACUAGAUUUUCUGUUUCCUGCAUGUUCACUUAGGAGUACUAGAAACUCAAAAACCUGUUAUUGCUUGGCUUGACUCUGUGACCUCUGAUGGCAUCUUGAUUGUUAGCAUCACACCCAUUUGGAUUGACAACCUUCAGUAGUACAACAACAUGAUAGUGUUUUAGGAUUAAUUGAUGUUAAAAACCUAUUAUCAAACAUCAUCUAGCUUUGCAAGGAACUCAUCUUCCAUCUUGUCCUCUACCUCACCAUCAAGGUUUAUGAGUUUGUAAUCCAUUUUCUUGCUAUUUUGUUACGAAUUUGAGUUUGAUUUUUUCUGUAGAGUUGUUUAUCUUGCUUAGAUCUACAUCAUACUCAGUUUACAAUGAUUUCUGGGUUUUGUCCUUUUUCUAAAUUUUGUAUGAUGAUGUUCUUGAGUGUUCUUGAGUAGUGUUCUCUAGAGUUCUUGAAUAUGGGUUAGGUUUAGGUGGACUCCUCUGUUUAUUUAGUUAGCUAAGGUUAUAAUUGCAUGAUUCCCUUCACGAUUAGGAGUUCUUAGUGUUAUUUCCUUUCUGAUCAACUGGAGAUUGAUUUUAGACUUUUCACGCCCAAAAGGUGUUUGAUGAAAUGUGUGAACCAACUUAUUCCAGAGAUUUGCAUACUCUACCCCAAGAGAUUGGAUGUUUAGAAUGCUUAUUGACUUUAAUAGAUUGUUGCUUAAUGUUUGCUUUGUUAUGUUUCAUCAAUGAGAAUUGUGAUUAGGAAGUGGUAAAGUUAUGAGGAUCAUUGUCACGAGAGUGGAUUGAUCUGGGUUAAUCUAUUGUCUAGGGAUAGCUUGAUUGAGUUUGUUAGUUAGCUGAACCAAUUACUCCAUUCUAAAGAGCUACGUUUUGAUUAGAUUGAUUUAAACUUCGUGCUAUUACUCUUUGCUUGUUGUGUUUAGUUAUCUUGCUCGACUUAUUUACUUGACCAAAUUUAGUAUUAUGCUCGGCCGAGUGCCUUACUUUCUGUUUAAUAUAGUUUCAUUUUGAAUCUGAUUUGCAUGAUAACAUGUUGCUUGGUUUAGUGGAAAUAAACCAAACCUAUUCACACUUGGCUUGACUUAGUAUUCUCUCAUUGCAUCAUGAUUGUUAGCGAGACACUCAUUUGGAUUGACACCUUAAAUACUACAAUGACAUGAUAGUAUAAAGGAAUUGAUCUUUUGGAAACACAGUAAAAACCAGACUAUCAAUUUGACGUUAUUGCCAUAUGGGUGUUUACUUGUUACAUUUAGGAUUUCUGAGUUAUUAAGAUCAAGUUCUAUUUCAUCUUUCUCGAAACUCACUUCUCUUUUCAUUUGCUUGUUUUUAUCUUGUAAGUACUGUCAUACUCCACUAGCACUUCGAGUGUAAGGAUCGAGGAACUUCACCCAAUGUAUGCAAACUCCAUUCUUAAGGUUUUGACAAUCUUCUGCGGUAUAGAGACAACAUCGACAUGAUUCAGCGUAACUGAGAGAACAACAAGCCACAUCAGAUCUGGUUGUGAUGGCGACUGAAGACAAUACUAAUGAGUUGCCAGGCAACAUUGGUGUAGGAGAUGCACCCAUAAACCAUCAUCGAAGAGCUGAUAUUGUCCCACCUCCUAUUCAGAUUAACGACUUUGAAAUUAAGAGUGGUCUGAUGUCCAUGAUACAAGGUAACAAGUUUCAUGGUCUGCCUAUAGAGGACCCAUAAGAUCAUCUUGAAAGCUUUGAUAUAGUGUGUAGUUUAAUCAAGAUCAAUGGGUUCGUGAAGACAGCUUCAAGCUCAAGCUAUUCCCUUUCUCACUUGGAGAUAAAGCUCAUGUUUGGGAAAAGACUUUGCAUGUUGAAUCCAUAUGCACAUGGGAUGACUGUUAGAAAGUUUUCCUAGCUAAGUUCUUCUCUAACUCAAAAACAGUUAGAUUGAGGAAUGAGAUCUCGGGUUUCACACAGAAGCAAUCUGAAUCCUUCUCUGAAGUAUGGGAACACUACAAGGGAUACACUACUCAAUGCCCUCAUACUUCACCUAUUCGAAACAUGACGGCUAUGCUUCAACAAAACCUAAAAAGUCAAACUACUAGUUCUUUGGUCUUGGAAAAACAUAUUAUUGAGAUAAACACUGAUUAGGUUCAAAUUACCCUAAGAACUAUUAUCUCAAAUAUUUAAGGAUCGAAUUUCACAAAGUUUUUUUGUUCACACAAUGAAUUAAAUAUCGAGAUUAAGCUAGUAGGGAAUGAUUGAAAAUAAAGGAGAACAAAGUAAAAAGACAGCAGAUUAAUUGGUUGUAAACGAUUAAAUAAAGAGUUAGGAACAUGGUAUUCUCAGGAAACUAUUGGUUAGUAGAUCUAAUGAAAGCUAGGUUGUUAUCGAACCAUUCUUAAACUCAAACUCUAAUUAUGCAAUAACCGGUGGUGUUCCGCCAAACUCCCUAUGCUUAUAGCUAAGAAUAACCGGAGAAGCCGAGAGAUCUUUAACCUAAACAUGCAUUCUAAACGAGUUCAAUUGUUCACCUUACUAGAUAGACCGAUUCUUAUUACACACCUAUAAACCAGGUUAAUCAAAUAAUAAAUCCAAUUACAGAUACCUAUGGUGGGCAUAUCUAUUGUCUGGCUUCAAGAUCUAGUUAAUUUCUGUAGAUCUACCAUUAAGUAUAAUCAAAGAUGAAGAAUUCUACAGAUAACCUAGAAAAGGAGGCAAUAUACUAAACCAUAUGAAUCCCCAAUGAGAAACCCUAUUCCUAACAAGCAAACUACUCAGACAUAUUGAAUGAAACAAACAACAUAAUUGAGUAACAAAGUAUAAACACAGCAAAUAAGAUAAGAGUAAGAAAGGAUCUCUUCACUCUAUUGAAAACUGAAUAAAUCUCUGAAAUAUUGAAAACUGAAUGAAUCUCUGAAAACAAAUGAUGAAUAGCUUAUGUCUCUGAAGAUAGGGAUUGCAAAGAACUUGAUAAAAGGAACUUAGGUCUAAACAACGACCUCUAAAACUAUAUAUAAAUCCUAUAAAACGUCCAUGGACUAAUAAUGCAAAUAGGGAAGUCUUUUGGGGCAAAUUUCCACUUUUGUAAACUUGAAAGCAUAAUGGACUUUGCUAGGCCGAAACUGGUGUCGAUCGUCACCAGAAGUGUGUUGAUCGACACUCUGCCUGAAUCUGGAAUCCGAAAUCGUCAUUAGCUUCCUUUUCCUUAACUUUUGCUCCAAAAUGUCUCCUCAUCUCCAUUGUCGUCCCACUGCAUAGAAUACCUGAAAAGACACUAAAAGACUCGAGAAAUAACAUAAACACUAAAAAUCCUAUACCUAAAACGUAGCUAAAAUCAGUAAAAAUAGAGUUAUAUCAACUCCCCCAGACUUAGGUUUUGUUUGCCCUCAAGCAAAACACAAAAGCCGAACCCGUGGAAGAGGUUUUGAAAACAAAGGAACUUCAACAUUCUCUAGCCUAUUGCCAUGAUCAUCCAAACUAAAUCCACAUGCCUAACAAGUCUAAUCAAAUCUUAACCAACAUGUAUUUCUCUCCAAGCUUACAGAACUUUCUAGAUUCCAUACCUAAGUUCCACAACUAUAUCCACCAGGCUUUCAUCGAUGGGUCUCAUCAAACAAGCUAACAUUCAAGAUCCUUCUAGACUCAUUCCUGAACUAUACCAUGAUAAAUCGACCAUUCUCGCAUACUGGAUCAACACCUUCGACAGUUUUCCAACCUUUGUAAUUGAUCAUUCCAAAUAAUGUAUAAUAAUGGGGUCAUAGGAAACAUUCCUACCCCGAUACACUAUCCGAAAAUCAUGUCAAUCUCUCAUUUUCUUUUUAUUUUUAUAAGGGGAGAGGAACACAUUCUUUCUAUCACAUUGGUCUCAAUAUCAAGUAUGAACAAGGAGUCAAGAUCUAUCAAUACUAACCGUUUGAAGAGGUAAAAGGAAGAGCAGUUAGAUUAGCUCCGGCCUUAGUGGUUGUGUUGGAAACUAGGAUAUCCUCAAGUCUGUUGGUAUGCCAUCUAGAUUUUCCAAUAGUCGAAUUGAGUCGAACCUGCAGCACUCAUCAAUCAGGCAAUAGUUCAUAACUAAACUAAACAAAACGUUUUUUUUUUUUAAGAGUAAGAAAAUGAGUCAAUAAACUCAAAAACAAAAAUGAUAAGAAUAAAAAAUAAAAGCAAUAUUGGUAAGAACCUCCCCCACACUUAAACGACACUGUCCCCAGUGGCAUUCAAAUCCGAAGAAGGCGGAAAAAAUAAAUCAAAAAUAAAAGAAAAGAAAAGAAAAGAAAAGAAUAAUCAAACCAGUGGGUUACCUCCCACUAAGUGCUUGUUUUGAGUCAAUAGCUUGACUUGGCAGAGUUCAGGAUGUGGGUAGAUUGGUGGAGGAUUGUUGUUGCCUCCGCCCCCUCCAUGGCGGUGUGUAAACUGAACCGGUCUAGGCAGCUGCAUGUGUCGAUCGACACUCAAUGGUGUGUCGAUCGACACUCUUCUCGUCACCUGCAAGAACAACAAGAGAAACAAGCAUUCGAGAAACUCUAGGCUUGUUAACAUGUGAAGCAGACUUCAUAGAAUCUAAGGAAUUAAUUGAAGGUAAAGCAGGAGAAGAGAUAGAAGAGAACUUAUCACAGAGGGCCUCAAGUGGUGUGGGCUGAAGAGGAUGUGCAGAAUCCUCUGUCUGUGAAUCUCGAGGGUGUCGAUCGACAGGAGGGAUGGUGUCGAUCGACACUGAUGCUCUGCAACUCUCAUUGGCGAGCUGAGCUGAUGGGAGUGUUAUGUGUGGCUCUGUUUUGGGAUUCUGAGCAGUCAGAGGAGGUGUGUCUGUGCUCUAAACGUAGUUAGUAAGUGCCUCCCCCAAACUUAAACGACAUUGUCCCCAGUGCAUUCAAAUCUGAAGUAAGCAAGGAAAUAUAAGAAAAAUGUAAAUAAAAAGAAAAGAAAACAAAACUCAUACUAGUGGGUUGUCUCCCACUAAGCGCUUCUUUAUAGUCAAUAGCUUGACUUUGUCGAAGUGCAGAUGUCAAGUGGAUUAGAUAGUGGCAGUGAUUCCAGCUUGAAACGUAGCUAUUGUAGAUAAUUCUGCUUAAACAAGUGAUGGGGGUCGAUCUACACUAGUGGUGGUGUCGAUCGACACCACCACUAGCAGUCUGAAAUCUGUUCCUAGACAAUAACAGUCUUCCUUAUGUCUCCCUGAUUUUGUGGAGCCUUGCAGUGCUCCUCCUAAAUCUGGUGCAUAUACUGUUGAGGCAUUGGACAAGGAAUUUUAUGCGUGUAGACUUGUUCAACAACAGGUGGAAAGUCAAGGCUGAUUGGUGCAGUCUGCGUCCAAUGUCGAUCUUUAUACUUUUUUGAGGCAUCCGUUAGUUAACUGGACGCAUACUGCACCAAUCAGCCUUGACUUUCCAAAAGUAAAAGGGGGACUUGCAUCCGUUAGGUAAGCAAUGCAAUCGAAUUUAUACUUUUUUGGGACUCUACGAACCAUUCUCCGUGGGUCCCACCCGCUACGUAGGGAAACUCCAUCUAGUCGUAACGAGGCUUGAUACAUGAUAAAAAUGCGAAAACAACGUCUAAACAAAUAAUUUAAUUCCCGUAAUAUCGUAUGGAUCACAAAAAAGCCCAAAAAAUUAUAUAAAGGUCUAAAUUUGGAGUAAAAAAAUUUAAAAAUAUACUUACCAUUGCCUUGCUUCUUUCGUCGGAGGGCUCUCAUUGUGAUUUCCGAAAAGCUAUCACGUACCAAAUUUUCCCUCACGGUUUAAAAGUUAUAGAGUCAAAACGUUUUAACUAAAAAAAAAACAAAAAGGGAUGAAAAAAACACGAAGACUUUUCAGGACCCACCCGCUACGUACGGAUACUCCAUCUAGUUUAAAUGAGGCUUGAUACAUUAAAAAAAUGCGAAAACAACGUCCGAACAAAUAAUUUUGUUUCUUAAUAUAGCACGGAUCACGAAAAGACCCGGAAAAGUAUCUAAAGGUCAAAAUUUGGAGUAAAAAAAAGAAGGGUACUUACCAUUGUCUUGCUUCUUUCGUCGGAGGGCUCUCAUUGUGCUUUCCGAAAAGCUAUCACAUGCCAACUUUGGCCUCACGGUUUAAAAGUUAUGAGUCAAAAAGUUUUAACAUAAAAAAAAAGGGAUGCAACACGAGGACUUCUCAGGAGGUCACCCAUCCUAGUAUUACUCUCGCCAAAGCACGUUUAACUGUGGAGUUCUGAUGGGAUCCGUUGCAUUCGUUUUGGUAUGAUCACAUCCGUUAGUACAUGCUAUGCAAUCGUAUUUAUACUUUUUUGGCCACUCUAGGAACCAUUCGCUGUGGGUCCCACCCGCUACGUAGCGAUACUCCAUCUAGUUUUAACGAGGCUUGGUACAUGAUAAAAAUGCGAAAAAACGUCCGAACAAAUAAUUUUGUUUCGUAAUAUAACACAGAUCACGAAAAGACCCGAAAUAGUACCUAAAGGUCAAAAUUUGGAGUCAAAAACAAACAAUGGUACUUAUCAUUGCCUUGCUUCUUUCGUCGGAUGGCUCUCAUUGUGAUUUCCGAAAAGUUAUGACAUGCCAAGUUUGGCCUUAUGGUUUAAAAGUUAUAAAGUCAAAAAGUUUUAACUAAAAAAAAAACAAAAGGGAUGCAACACGAAAACUUCUCAUGAGGUCACCCUCUAAUACUACUCUCGUCCAAGCACGCUUAACUGCAGUGUUCUGAUGGGAUCCGGUGCAUUAGUGCUGGUAUGAUCGCAUCUGUUAGUACAUGCAAUGCAAUCGUAUUUAUACUUUUUUGGCCACUCUAGGAAGCAUUCUCCAUGGGUCUCACCCGCUAUAUACGGAUACUCCAUCUAGUUUAACGAGGCUUGAUACGUAAUAAAAAUGCGAAAACAACGUCCGAACAAAUAAUUUUGUUUCAUAAUGUAUGGAUCACGAAAAAGCUCGAAAACGUACCUAAAGGUCAAAAUUUGGAGUCGAAAAAAAAAUGGUACUUACCAUUGCUUUGCUUCUUCGGAGGGCUCUCAUUGUGAUUUUCGAAAAGGUAUCAUAUACCAAUUUUUACCUCACGGUUUAAAAGUUAUAAAGUCAAAAGGUUUUAACUAAAAAAAAACAAAAGGGAUGCAACACGAGAACUUCUCGGAAGGUCACCCUUCUAGUACUACUCUCGACCAAUCACGCUUAACUACAGUGUUCUGAUAGGAUCCGGUGCAUCUUGAUGAAAUUUAGUUAUUUUUAUCAUCACAAAAAUAUUAGAAAAAGUAUAAUAAUGUUACAUUUACAAAAUUUCAUCAUUAAUUCGUAUUAUUAAUAAAAAUGGAUUUUAUAGUUAAUUUUUAGUACAAAAUGAUAAUUAAAUCUUUGUUUGGUAUCUUUUUUUACUAUUUAAAUAUUUUUUUGUUAUUUUAUACCUUAUUUUGCAUUGAGCUUUGAAAUUUUAACAAAUACUAAAAUACUUUAAAAACAUUUAGUAAACAAAUAGAGUUAGUUAGCAUUUAAUAGUUUUUAAACAAAUAAAAUAACCUAAUACAAUAUUUCUAAUAAUAAAACAUAUGUUACAUUUAAAAAAAAACGCGGUUUUGUUAAACAAAUGUUUUUGUUUGCUAUUGUAAUAUAUACUUAAAAAAUAUUGAAAAAUGAUAAUGUAUAAUAUAUGUUGUGUAGGCAGAAUUUUAAAAGUUUAUUUAAAUAUUAUAAUCAUUUUCCCUGUAUAUUCCAUAAAUAUCAGAUUUUUCAUCAUUUAAUUAAUUUCUUAGUUUUGGAAAAAUUUAGAUUAAUAUCUUAAUGAAUUAUUUCUAUUUUCAAUUCAAGAUUAAAACAAAAUCAACGGUCAAGAUUUUUGUCUUUUUAGAAUAUCAAUAAACUGUUGAGAUUAUAAAGUGAAACCGGGUCAAAAUUCGCAUCAAAAAGAUGUGUGUGUUUUGAAACUGUUUUUUCCAUGAAAUAAGUUUUUUUAACCCACUUGUAUUUUUGUGAUUACUUCAAACUUUUUGCCCAUCUCACUAAACAAACUGCACAAAUAAUAGUAUAUAUAUAUAUAUAUAUAUAUAUAUAUAUGCUUUAUACAAAUCUCUGCUUUUCUAAUCCAAAUCAAUUCAAGAUGCAUAAAUCGUUUGAUCAAAUUUAAAUGAUAAGACGCUAUAUAUGAUAAUGAAAAAAUGAUAAAACCAAACUGUUUAUCAUCGUAUCAAAAACCAAUGAAUGAGACAUUCAAAACUUUAAUAACCAAACCUACCUACAUGUAUAAGGCUCACCUUUUGAUCCUCAUCGGGUUUCUGCAAAUUGACAAAACAAAGACUAAAAUCCAAAAUCAAAAAUUUUAAAAAGAAUUACUCAUAUUCUACAAAUAUAGAGAGGUGGAAAAUCUUAACAUAUUACUUUGCAUAAAAGAUUCUACUAUAUUAUUUGGGAAGUACAUUUUAAAUGUAACCUCAAUUUUUGUAAUUAAUUACAUGAAAUGCCAUUAGAAAAAAUUAAUCAAAAACAAAAUCUUUUAAUGACGUCAUUAAGGUUACCAAAAUCAUUUAACGACAAUAUUCAUUUCUUAAUUAUAUGGCUUAUCAGAUCUAAAGACGGGUCAUCAAAGAUUUCCUAAACUGAAGCAAAAUAUACCGAAUAUUCAAAUAUCUAUCUGUUACCAAAUUAGAAACAAAUAAGUUAAUAAGUCAAUAACUAUUUGGAGGGACGGGUUUUUGAAUCAACAUUAAUAAAAAAGUAAAAUAUAAUUAAUCCACCGUUUCAAUACGGGUAAAAUCUUUAAUUUAUUAUUUUGUAAGACCACUAAUAUUAAACAUAUCAAAUCAAUCUAAUUUAUAAAAGGUUAUAUAAAACAAAAAAUGUUAUGUGGUAUGUAUAAUGUUACUAUAUAUAAAAUUAAACUAUAAAAUAUAAAUGUAUUAGGGAAUGAUACAAUUUGCAAAACUUUUAUAUAUAAUAAAUAAUUCUUAAAAUUUUUAAAAAUACUACUUUAAAAACAAAUCACAAGACGGGUAAAGAAAUUACAGAACGGGUUUUAUUUUGGAAUUGAGUUAUAUGGUGGAUGUAUUUGAAUCAAUAUUUAUAAAAUUUUAAGAUAUUAUUAAUAUGCUGUUUUAAUAAGGGUUAAAACUUCAGUUUUUAACAAUUGUCUCAAUAAAGAAAUUACAUAACAGGUUUUAUUUUGGAAUUGGGUUAUAUGGUGGAUGUAUUUGAAUCAAUAUUUAUAAAAUUUUAAAAUAUUAUUAAUAUACUGUUUUAAUAAGGGUUAAAACUUCAGUUUUUUAACAAUUGUCUCAUGGAUUCGUGGUAUAGCGUUACUUAAUAACAAUUAUAAACUGUAAAAUAGAAAUAUUUUAUAAAAAUAAAAUUUGUAAGUUUUAAUAUAUAUUACCUUUAAAAAAUAAAUCGUUUCGCGUGGGGGCAGCCUAAGCCUGAUAGAGGCAGAAGAAUUCCAACAAUUUCUCCCGCUCCUCAAAAGUGAGUUGCUCCUCACGUACGCAUGUUCUAAUAGUCGAGUUGCUGUUGCUAAAGCACCUAUGGUUCCAUCCCUGGUAACUUCAACCGGUAUACUGCGGGUUAAAAUCUAGUAAAUAAUUAGAAAGGAAGACAUACUUUAACAAAAUCAUUUGUGAAUCUACAUCAUCAUCUUCCACACUACCUGCAUGAAUAUUAACAAAAAAGUAUGUCAGAGAAUAUAUGAAAUUAAAAUUUUUAUAAAAUAUAAACAAUAUAAAAAUAAAUUACAGAUUUAAAACGAAAUUAAGGUUUGUAGUAGAAUGCGCUAUUUCACCUAGUGGAAUGCAUGGUCUUAUAUAGUACUGAAGAAGGAAGGCUCAUUUCAGGGUUUUGAAAAGGAAUAUUCUGUUUAGUUUGUAGAAAAAAAUUUUGAUUUAAAUUAUUAUAAAUUUUUGAAACUUGAUGAAUUAUAGAAAUAAUUAAUGAGUUUCUUAAACAUAAAGAUUUAAAAUCCCUAAAUUGAUGUGAAGUAAUUUUUCAAAUGUGUUGUAAUUAUUUUUCAAAAUAUGCUUAGGAUUUUUCAAAUUUAAACAAUACAUAAUAUUAGGAAUGUUAACUAAUAGAAUCAAUAAGUUCAAGAUUUGUUAAUGAUUUUUUUGAUGGGCUGAGGGGAGACAAUUGUCAACCCCAUUUUAUUAAAAGAACUACAAAGAAUUACAUCAAAACUGCUCUAGGGAACGAUGUCCCGUUAGCAUCCUCAACCAAAAAUAAAAGAACGUCCUCAGGACAUAUCUCAAAACAAUGAAAUCCUAGGGGUAAGAAGAAAGCAUAGUUUGCUAACCCGUCAGCUAGACGGUUAGCUUCCCUAUACACGUGUGACACUCGGACUAGCCAGUCCCUUGUGAAAAAGCCUUGGCACAACCGUACCAGGAAGGACAGCGGAUGAGCCUUGCUGAUCCCUGUGCUUAGAAACCCCACCACCAAUUCUGAAUCCAAAUUUAACUCCACCCGUCGAAAGCCCUUAUCCCAAGCAAUGAGCAACCCAUAGUAGGCACCCCAUAACUCAGCUAACGGCGCAUCACAAGACCCGAUAUUAAGUGCAAACCCACCGAGCCAUUCCCCCUGCAGAUUAAGGAUUGCCCCACUUGCCGCAGCUAAUCCCUGGUGUCCCCUCGACGCUCCAUCUGUCGUCAGUUUGACCCACCUGUCGCUUGGUGCCUUCCAUCUUAUCAUCCUUUCUACCCGAGCUCUCUUCACAUGGUUAUUUAACGUUCCCACAUGAGCUUUCCGAACCUCCUCUGCUAUAUCCUUGAUGAACUUCAAUCUAUCCCGACAUAACUUGCGUUCCCCAAAUACAUCGCCACAUCGCCACUUCCAAGCCCACCAUAUCCCCAUACUAAAGAGCGUAGGCCAAUCUCCCUUCGCCGGAUCCAGAUUUGUAAACAACCAUUCAAAUUGACUGAAAAACUCGUUCUGCCUUCUUUGUGGCAGCAGCCUUUGCCAAAUAGGUGUCAUCGCCGGACAGUCCCUCAACACAUGUAAGAUCGAUUCAUCAGCUCCAUUACAAACCGAACAAGUUGCAAUGUCACUUAAGUGUCUCCUCACACGCUCCACAUUAGUCAUAAUAACCAUAUGACUCACCAACCAGAUGAAAACUCGUACCCUCUCCGGCGCUACCAGCUUCCAAAUUUGCUUUAAAAAACUCCCUAUGAGUGGCCUCUCCUCAGCCUCAGGUUUCAGCAGCUCAUAAGCGGACCGAACCGUGAAGUCCCCAUUUUGCGUUCCCUUCCAAGAUAACUCAUCACUUGUCCCUGGGAAAUCAUGCACCACAAUAGAAAAUAAUUUUCGCAAGAUAUUCUCCAGCAGGUACAGAGUUAGAGCUCCCAUGUCCCACCCCGAGCCUGCAAUCUAGUAAUCUGCUGCUACCUUAGGAGCGCAUCCGCCGAUAUUGAUUCUUUGGCCACCGCCGAGAGUUGUUCCUGCAACAGCCAACGAUCCGACCAAAAACUUAUAGUUUUCCCAUCUCCAGGGACCCAUCUGACUCCCUUAGCCACCACUUCUCUAAGUCCAACUGUAACACUUCGCCACGUGGAGCUCCAGCUACUUUUAGGUUUCAGCCAGUUUGAAUUUUGCAUUUCUCCCACCUUGUACUUCUUGCUAAGGACUCUUGCCCAAAGUGUCUCCUUAUCAUGGAGAAGACGCCACCCUACUUUAGCAACCAACGCCUACUUCAUCUUUGGGUUGACAUAUCUUAUUCCAGGCUAAGAGGUGCUUCUUCUUCUUCUCCAAAGUACUCCCCCAAAGAAAAUUAUGUGACAAACAAUCCAAGCUAUCUAAAGUAGCAACAGGAAGUAUUAUUGCACUCAUUACAUGGACCGGUAUGGUUGACAAAACCGCUUUUGUAAGCGUUAUUCUCCAUGCCAGACUCAAAGACCGACUCUUCCAUCCCGCCAAGCUAGACGAAACGUGUUCCAAGACUUCCCCAGAAGUCUCUUUGUUCAUUCUCUUCUGUAAGAUAGGCAUUCCCAAAUACUUCCCCAACUCUCUAGUACAGCCAAUCCCACUCUCUCCACUUAUCAACCUUUCCAUAUCCCUACUCACAUUAUUGGAGAAAACGAUCUUUGACUUCUCCAGGCUGACGUUUUGCCCUGAAGCCUCACAAAACUGUUCCAACACUCGUCGUAUGAUAAGAAUUUGGGCUACAGACGCUUCUGCACAUAGAAUCAAAGUCGUAUGCAAAACAAAUGUGUGAUAGUUUCUACCCACCACACGAGAGUGCCAUCGGUUUCCAGUCCCAUGUUCCCACUGAUGCCUCUAUCAAGUGACAAAGCCUCUCAAGGCAAAGAACGAACAAAUAUGGUGACAAAGGAUCCCCUUGUCUCAAACCCCUAGCAGGAACAAAAGAAUCAGUUUUCCCUCCAUUCCAUAACACACUCAUCGAUGGGUCUGUUACCCCAGCCAUUAUUCUGUGAGUCCAGACCUCCGACAGUCCAGUAGCCACCAAAGUUUCCUGCAGAAAAUUCCAUCGAAUUCGGUCAUAGGCCUUUUCAAGAUCCAAUUUUAACAACAUCCACCCUUUCCUUCCUUUCUUCCUCCGCAUAGAGUGAACCGCUUCUUGCACUAACACAAUAUUAUCAAUGCUUAAUCGCCCUGGGAUAAAAUUCGCUUGAGCCGGCCCAAUCAGCUUCAAAAUAACCUUCUUUAGCCGGUUAACUAUCAUCUUAGUAAUAAUCUUAAACAAGACAUUACAUAGACUCAUUGGUCUAAACUGUGUAAUCCGCUCUGGCUUAGCCACUUUGGCUAUCAACACAAGCAAAGCAUCAUUAGUAGCCGCUGAUAGCACCCCAGUUUCAAAGAAAUCCAGUACAAAGCGUAUCACCGACGGUCCCACAGUCUCCUAACAUUGCUGAUAAAAAACAGGCUGAAAACCAUACGGGCCUGAUGCCUUAAAACGUCCCAUACCUUUUACUGCAACGACGACUUCCUCAGAAGUAAAAGGUUUGAGCAACGCAGCCUUUUCCCCGUCCGUUAGUGUUGCAAACCCGCCUAUUGGCAACAUGUUCCAUACUGCGCUAACAUCCUCCAAAGAGUAUAGCCUCGUAUAGUAGUUCAACGCCAUUGUUUCCAACUCCACCUUAUCCGUCAUCCAUCUGUUAUCGCCAUCUUUCGGCGAUUCUAUUCGAUUCCUUUUUCUGCGGAUAAUUGUGGAAGUGUUGUAUUUUUGUCUCCCAACUCAAUAUACUUUUCUCUUGACUUCUGAAACCACAGCGUCUCCUCUUGUUCCAGAACCAAGUCCAAGUCUUUCAAUAAUAUCUCUUCUUGAGCAAGCAACUCAUCGGAGUGCAUCACAUCCAACAAAUCCUGUACUGCCUUAAUGUCAGCCACCAACUUCUCUUUUUUGACAUGAAUGUCUCCAAAGACCUCCCUGUUCCAUUUCUUUAACUUUCGUUGCAGCCCAAGUAACGCCUCUGUCGUCGACAAAGCUGUAUCCCAAGACGCUGUCAACAACUCUUUGAAUCCCCCAUGACUCAACCAGGUUGCCUCAAAUCUGAAUGCUCGUCAUCGUGGAUCUAACUUCUGAUACGGCUCCAACUGAACAUAUAGUGGAGCAUGAUCCGAGGACAUGAAAGGUAAGUGAGAGACCACAGCCUCUUGCCACUUUUGCCUAGCAUGGGCACAGCCCAAAACUCUAUCUAGCCGUUUAGCCACCAUCGUGCUCUCUUGUCUACCCCUCCUCCAUGUAAACUUAUUACCUCUGAAUCCGAAAUCAAUCAAAGACAACUAAUUGAUCCAGUCUCCAAAAGCUAAAAAAUCUGGUGAAAGCCUCCCAUUUCCACCCAUUCUCUCAUCCACUCUCAAGAUGGUGAUAAAGUCUCCUCCAAUUAUCAACAGCCCUACCAAACCAGAUACAACUUCCUUCAACUCUCCCCAUAAACCACUCCGCCGACUCAUAGAUGGCGCCGCAUAAACCACUAUUAGAUUCAUCGGAUCCCCAUUACAGACCACCUUAGCGUGGAUAUAUUAGCUUGUUGACACCACAAUAUCCACUUCCCCCACACUCGACUUCCAUAGCACCCACAAGCCCCCACUCUGACCUGUUGCAUCCACCCUAUAUGCAUUCUCAAACCCCAGCUUCUGACAAAUUCUACCUGCUUUUUCACCCCCCCCCCCCCCCCCGCGUGAGUCUCAAAAAGCGCUAGUACCUCCGUAUCAAAUUUCUUUAGCAUAUACCGUAUCGAUCUUCUAAAGAUGGAUUUAUUCGCCCCCCAACAAUUCCAAAGCAUACAAUUCAUGAUGACUUCACAUAAACUCAUAAGAACUACCGGGGAGUACCAUUACUUCCCUCCGCUACUGAUACUAUGGCUGCAUGCCCCUUCUUUCGGGCCAAGAUCCAUCGACGCACUUCCACUAGCUGGUGAUCUGACCUCCUCUCCAUCUCUCUGAUUCCCAACUGGCAGCUGUGCAUUUCCUAAAUUCCUGCUACUCCCAUUAGAAAACGCACCUCCAGGUCUGCCUACAUUCUCAUGCUCCACCCGCAGCCUCUUCCUAGGUGACACUUCUGUUUGCUCUCCUCUGAUCGUUCCAAACACCAAACCUCUGGUAGCGAUCGUAUUCCUUCCCCCUUUACCUUUCCGUCCCCCUCCUUUCAUUGGUUUAUAGUGACCAGCUCUCCUAUCUGUUAUUACCCCAAGCCUUCCUUUUCCUUCCACUAACUUCCCAUCAGGCCCACCUAACCUCACAACGCUGGUUAACGCAGCCCCAUCCCCCUCAUUCUCUUUAUUUUCUUCCCCUGAGCUAUCUGGCACCAGCAUCCCUUGUUCCUCUUCUCUCUUUCCACACUCUUUCCUGAUCUCUUCUCCGCCGAUCCCCCUGCUGGAAACGUCAUUCCCUUUCCUUGGACUGGCCCCCGCCUGGACAGUAUACGUACCUCCGUAAACCCAUCACUGGGUUGGUCCCCACCACUUGGACUAGCACCACUCUCAGUACUGGUGACCUGCACCACCGGACCCGGACUCCUCUUAGGACAAGCUCCAGCCAAAUGCCCAAAAACUCCACACAAAGAGCAGAUAACAUUCAAACCCUCAUAAGAAGCAUAGUAGCAUUCCCCAUUCACCACCACUGUGCCUUUCAAAGGUUGCUUCAGGUUGACCUUAACACAGACCCGCGCAAAAUGUGCUCUCUCCUUCCUCAGAAUAGUUAAAUUCACCUUAAUCGGUUUCCCUAAGCCCUCUACUAUCGCGGUCAAAAUUGUCUCAUGGUAGUAAUUGACAGGCAGGUUUGAGAUGCGAACCCACACCAAAGUGGUCACGAUCUCGUCACGGAUUGGAUUGAAGUCCGGCGACCACGCCCGAAUCAUUAAUAUACUGCCUAGUACCCUCCACGGAUCCCCAAUAGCCGCUGCUAAAUAAUCCUCCUCCAAAUCAAAUUUCACCAUGAAGAAGCUUCUAGGGAGAUUCAACACUGACAUCCCCCCAUUUGGCUUCCAUAGCUCUCUCAAUCGCCGAUUUAGGUCUGCAAUCGUGAUGUGGCGUCCUAAGACUUUGACAACCAGACACUGUAGGUACAAAUCGUUCAUCGCGUCGAGGACUUCCUGUCCAAUCGUGAUGAUCGCUUCACCUUCUGCCCCAGUCAGAAACUCGACAUUCAUCCUCGAAGCCACAAACUCUGCACUCAAUCUCGUCUCAGGAAUUGGAAUUCCUCCACAGUAGCAACUUUGAACCUUAUCGACCCACUACGGCGACCCCGUUAAACCCCCUCCCGGCGGCCGGCCGUUCUCCUCCAUGUGCUCAUCGAGAUCUCCUGGAUUCACGACCCUAGCGGCGCUAGGGUUUUCUAUCGACAUCGCCUUUUCAAUCUUUUCGAUUGAAUUAUGGAAACAGCUUUCUAAAAAAGAUUUUAAGAUUUGUUAAUGAUUGAGUUAUAACUACAGAGCUAAUUCGGUAGAGUCUUAAAGAAAAUACUGUUAUUUUCUUUCUUUAUUUAAUCAAUUUUUACACCAACUUUCCUAAUUAAAACCAUUUGUUUCUUUUUAAAAUCAAUUUCUUUGAAUGAUUGUUUAACGAUUUGAUUUAAAACCAAAGUUUAUGAUAAUUAAUUAUUUUAUGAUUGUAAUAUUUAAAAAUAUUUCCUAAAUAUCUCAAAGAAAUCAUAAAUGCUAAAUCAGUUUUGAUAAUAUUUAUCUAUUUUAAUUAUACAAAAAUAUUUAAGAAAUAUAAUAAUAUUAUAUUAUUACUGUAAUCAUCGUUUGUUAUCUCUUUAUUACUAUUUAAAUAUUAGUUGUUAUUUUAUAAUUUAUUUACUAUUUAGUUUUGAAACUUUGACAAAUACUAAAAAACUAAAUGAAAACUUCGUGAACAAAUUGAAUUAGUUAGCAUUUAAGGUUUUUUGAAAAAACAAUAAGAAUAAUCCGGUACAAUAUUUCUAAUUAAAAACAUAUGUUACAUUUAAAAAACAACAUAUCUGGUUUUUGUUAAGUAAAGUUUUUGUUUGAUAUUUUAAUAUCUACAUAAAAAAUAUUUAUUGAAAGGUGAUAAUGUGAUUGGAUAAGUAAUAUUUUAAAAUAUAAUAAGUAUUAUAAAUCCCUAUAGUAUAGGAGUAUAAUUAGUUUUCUAAUUUGAAACCCACGUAAUUAUGAAUGGUAUUGAAUAAGAAAAUAAAUUAAUUAAAAAAAAAAGAAAGCUUUUUCUUCCCAAAAUCUGGCUGUAUAAUUUGAUUUUUACUGAAAAAGUCAAUGGCUACUAUGAAAUGUAAUGGAUGACUAAGAUUAGAAGUUAUGACCCAUUAUUUUAAAAUCCGGGUCAAAAGGAUCCGCGCGUUUUGAAACGAGUUUUUUUCAUUACAGAAAUUUUUUAACUCAAUGGCAAACUUGUUAUUUCUUCUUGAUAGUCUUGUUAUUUGUAACUCCAAAUUAAGAUAAUCAAAUUAAAUUCAUCGAUUGAAUAAUAAAUUAUGUACUUUAUUUUGAGAGGAGUUAAAAAAUUAAUAUAUAAAUAAUGUGGACUUUUAUGUUCCCAUCCAUUAUCCAUUUAUAUAUGUUUUCUUUUGUGUGUUUUACACUUAUCACAAAAAAGGGUGUAUUGAACUUAGUAUUUUGUAAGAUUUUGUGGAUUUUAGAUUUGGAGAGAUUUUAAAAGACGGCUAGUGAUUUGGUGGAUUUUUAGAAGAAAUAAAACAAAAUUUAAGUGGUCAUUGAAAAAAAAGUUAGUGAUCAUUUAGUGAUAUUUGAUGUCAAAUUCCAUAAGAUUUUGAAGUAUUUUGUGUGAUAGUCCAAAAUUUUUUUUGCUAACUAUUUAAAAACUCAUAAACGUUUCUACGUGUGAAUGAAAAAUUCAAAAUUUGGAGUUGCACAUUGGCGAAUUCCAUUAAUUACAAAAAAGUAUCAGAAUUAUAAAGUUUCAUUCACUAAUCCAUUUUUUAUUUAACAUUCCAUUUGCUAGUCCAUCCAUUUCGAAAUUUUGCAAUAAUACGGGGGUAUAUUCGUCAUUGUAUGUUAGUAUUUUUUAGAGAAUUGAUAAGUUUAUAAUUUGCAUGUUUUACACAUCCUUUUAUCACCAUUUUGAGUCUAGUUUCAUCCAUCUUUCAUAGCAUUCACCAUCAUUUUUGUACAUUUUGCAUCUUUAGUCGAGUCUAGGACUAGUCUUGCAUACAUUCUGCAUUUUGGAGUUGUUUCAGGUGUUUUGGAGCUAUUGGUGCUCAGAAAGAGGGAAAACAGAACAGAAAGUCACACUUCCACCAAACAUACUCGAUCACCAGUAGCAGAGAGGGAAGCAGUCAGCUCAGCAGUCCAUCUAGACACUUCUACUCGAUCAUAGACGAGACCAGGCAGUCCAUUCUGCCAGAUAUACUCGACCGCAGAGGAGAGGAGGCAGUCCAUUCUGCAAUUCUACUCUAUCGCAGAGGCGACCAGGCAGUCCACUUUGCCAGUCCACCAGUUAUACUCGAUCGCAGAGGAGAAGAACCAGUCCAUCCUGACAGCUGACACACUUACUCGAUCACAGAGGGCAAGAAGCAGCCCGGACCAUUCUGUCAACCAACCUACUCGACCACCAGCUCGACCCUUUGAUCAAUCCGCACUCAACCAGACAACCUGAGCAUCGGAAAGAGAAGAGAAGAGAAGGCCCAUUCGAAGCCCAUUCGAAGCCCAUCAGGAAGCCCACUUUGAGCCGACACUCUUGAUCACACUGUCCAUGGGCCGUAAGUGGGCUCGAAGCCCGCUAUCUUAUCUUAGUAUAAAUAAGUCUCUAAGGGUUUCGCCCUGAGACAUGCACUUUAGAGACACGAAUUUCGCACCAUUAUUCAGCAGCCGCUUUUCAUUCCUACAACUUUGUAUUUCGAUUUUUCUUCUAAGUUAUUCAGAAUUUGCUUUCAUUUUGCUUGUUCAUCUUUCGUUUAUAUGUUAUUGUCUUUAAGCAUGUUGUCUGAGUAGUGAUUAGGAUUUCUGAGGAUGGGAUAGAGUAGUUGUGGAACCCCUGGUCGAAUCUGUUGGUUAAGUGUAGAUUUUUUGAAUCCCUUGUGGAUUAGUUGUGUUUACUGCUUAUUCCUUUCUGAUCAACUGGAAUCCGAUCCCAGACGUUCCAGCGCCCAGAAGGCGUUUAAUGGAACGUUGGAUCUACUAGUUCCAGUGAUAAUCGUCUCUAUCCCAAGGGAUUGGCCGUUUAGAGCGGUUAUUGGCUUUAACAGUCGGUUCUUAUUGUCUGCUUAGUUAGAGAUCGCUAAUGGGAAUUAGGCCUGUGUCUAGCUAUGCUUGAGGAUUUCUAUCACGGGAGUAAAUUAAUCUGUUGUUGAACCUGUUGUCUAGGGAUAGCUUGAUUGAGAUUUGUUAACCAACGGAAUUGAUCAGGGAGACCACACUAUCCGAUUAUCCCAUCCUUAGGGAUUUCUCUGUUUACUUACCUGCUUCAUUCACUUGCUAUUGGAUUUUAGUAUUUUUUCUAUUUUCAACCAUUCUACUCGAUCACACCAGUCUACUAACAGUGAGACUGCGUGAUAGAGUAAACUGGUCCAUUUCUGCAUAUUCACUCUCUGUCAUCGUGUUGUACUCGAUCACAGGGUCCCUUCUGGCAGUCGACCCUGCGAUCGAGUAUAUCAGUCAUUUCUGUCAUUUUUUACUGUUUUCUGCAUCAACACUAGGACUGUUAGAAAACCAACCAAAUUCUGCCUGGCUUGACUUAGCAACUUCUGAUCAUAUCUCAUCUGUCUGCAUCACACCCAUUUGGAUUGACAUCUAAAAUACUACAACGACAGGAUAGUGUUUUAGGAUUAAUUGACUAAAAAACCUACUAUCAAAAAUAUAUACAAACUAACCAUGAUAAUGAAAAGAAUCAAUAAAUUAACUAUGAUAUACAAUGUUUUGUCAGAGGGUAGAUGAAACGACCAUUAAACCUUUCCUUUCAAUUUAUAUGUUUUAUCGUCAUCAACAACAUCUUAUUUCUCACCGUCAUCAACACAACAUCCACCACCAUCCUCAACAUCACCACCAACAGUCAAGAUUUAAUUGCCCACCACCCUCACUCCAACCAAAUCAAUAUUCCUUCUAUUGUCAUUAACAUAACCUCCACCACCAGGGACGGCCCAAACCAUUUUUCAUGCCUAAAGCAAACAAUACUUUAAGCCUACUAAUAAACAAAACUUAAAUGAAAAAAUCCAAAAAAAAAAGAAAAAAGGAACUCGAACCAGUCAUCUCAUGGACGUUUUAGUACAGUUACACGACUAUGCCACAAGUUAAAUUUGAAAUGAUGACCUCAAAACUUUUACAAUAUAUUUGUUAUGCCUAAAGCACCAGAUUCAUGAGCUUUAGCCUUGGACCGGGCCUAUCCACCAUCAUCCUCGACACCACCGCCACCAUGCUCUUGACCACUGCCACCACCAUCCUCGACACCACCGCCACAAUGCUUUAAUAACUAAUAUAGAGAUAUUUAUCAAUAUUUCAUGCUAUUCAAUAAAAUCGAAUAAAUUCUUGCAAUUAUGUUCUAUAUAUUUCAUGCUAUUCAACAAUAUCACAUGAAAUCUUGUAAUUAUGUUCUAUAUAAUUUCAUGAGAUUCAACAAAAUUACGUGAAUUUUCACAAUAAUGUCCAAAUUUCUCAAUAUACCAUGCUAUUCAAUAAAAUUGAGUGAAAUCUUUCACAACAAUGUUCAUAUUUGGCAAUAUAUCAUAUUAUUCACCAUAAUCAUAUUCAUUUUUGCAAUAAUGCCUCCUCAACCCUCGUACAUUUUCUCUGCUACCUAUUGUUCUCUAAUUCUGAAAAAAUAUAGAAAUGAUUAUUUGGUAAAUGUCCCUCUUCUAAAAAAUCAGUCUAUGGUUAAUUUCUGAUAGAAAACAAGUCAAACAUUAUUUUCUUAACUAUUUUACAGUUAAAAGGUUAUUCAGUAAUAUUACCCUAUUUUUUAUUUUCUUAGGUCAUCUUCUCAGUCCUUAAGUAAAUUACUCAUUUUCGCAUCAAAUCGAUUUUGUUUGUUCUCUGCUUUUUGGUUUAGGGUUUUAGCUUUUCAAAGUUAAAACCUUUUUUCCCCCCGAAGAAGAAUCAAUACGACCGAUCAAAUCAAUCCAUUGAAUCUAUGGCGAUGGCUAUGAGACUUCCAGCGAUAUCUAGAGCUGUGACGGAAGUAGCUUCGUCUCCGGUUGGUUUGAGACGACUGUUCUGUUCAAAUGCUUCAAGGUUCUCUUUUCUGUCUCCACCGGCUCGUCGUCAGGCUGAACCUAGCACCAAUCUCUUCCACUCCGGUAACAAACCCUUUUCAUCUCUCAGUUAAUUUCUGGUUCUUUCGAGGGUUUAUCGUUGUUCGAGUAUAUGUUUGAUGCUUUUUAAAGAUCCUUCCUUUAUGAAUUCAGAUUUAGAUUAUCAGGUUCGUCUAAGAUGAACUAUAUGUGUUUAAGAAUUUGAUAAGUUCAAUUAUUCAUUUUUGGUUCUGAUUUCCAGAAAAAUGUCUGCUUUCGAUUGCUUAACUCUAGAAAUGUAUUGUAAGAGUUAAAGAGAGUUUCUUUGCACUCAAUUACUUCAGAAUUCGGUUUGUUCGGUUAAAAUUUGGAUGCUUACGUGAUGAUAUGUGUACCGGAUCAAUGUCUUGUUUCAAGGGUCUAUGUGGGCUGUUUCUAGCAUCUUCAAGGCUUCUGUUUUUGUAAACUACUUCCUAGUAUCAAUUAGUUUUUGAAAUACUGCUUAACAUUGGGCUUUGAUGCAAGCAAUUUUGAUUAGGCUCUUACUUUUGUUCCUUCAUAGCCUCUGUUUCUCACUUUUAUCACAUGGCCAUUAUCACAUACAUACAUCUAAGGAAUGUUAUGUGUUCGAUACUGUGUCUCAGUUUCGUGAAAGUGUCUUUUUGUCAUGUUAUCUUUAUCUUUGUGUCACUGGAUAUUUCAGGGCUUAGUAAGCGCAUCACUUCUGAAAGGUCCUUAUGGAACCGAAUAUUCUCUCGGAACAUGGGUGGUGGUCCGAGAACUUUCCCUGGAGGACUAAACAAGUGGCAAUGGAAACGUAUGCACGAGAAGAAAGCAAGAGAGAAAGAGAACAAGCUCUUGGAUCAAGAGAAACAGCUUUACGAAGCUCGAAUUCGGACCGAGAUCCGAGCUAAAAUGUGGGGUCAUCCAGAUUCCGGUGAGAAAACGGCGAAAUUGAAGCAGAGUCAUGGACCAAUGAGCCCGAAAGAACAUAUCAAAACCUUGGCUGAUCGGUUUAUGAAAGCUGGUGCAGAUGAUUUGUGGAACGAUAACGAUGGUCCGGUGAAGAAAUUUGAUCAAGGGUCGAGAUCAUGUUCGGAUUCAAUUGAUUCUACACCUAUUGAUGUGAGGAGAUUAGUUUCUGCGACAUGUGAUUCAAUGGGUAAACAUCGUGUUUUGGAUAGUAGUAGGAGAGGUUUUUCGAGUAUGAGUAGAUUUAAGAGAAAUGAGAGUUCUUGUGAUGAAGGAGAUGACGUUGAUGCUAAAAAGUUAGAUACUUUGAGUCCUUUUUCUCCUAAAUUUUCUGGUACCAAGGAGAAAGUGAAGAGCUCGACGAGUGUUGUUGGAGUUAUAAGGAACAAAGGUUUGUUUGGAAGAAGGAAGUUUAGGAAGAACGAUAGUUCAACUGAAGAGGAUUCAGAUGAAGAAGGCAAUGAGGGAAAGAUGAUAGGUUGGAUGGAUUUGAGGAAAACAGGAAGCAGUGCGUCGUUAGGAAACCACGAUAUCAAGCUGACGAAAAGAGUGAAUCGUAAUGUCACAGACGAAGAGCUUUAUCCUCCUUUGGAUAUUAAUAGAGUUAGAGAAGAUCUCAGUAAAAAACAAUCUGUGGAUAAUGUAAUGGAGGAGAAGCAAGAGCCUCAUGACUCGAUUUACAGUGCAAAAAGGUAUUUUAAACUCGCUGUGUAAAGGAUUUUGAUUUGUCAAGUUUGAAUCUUGAUGAGCUCUGUUAAUGGUUGCAGAUUUGAUGAGUCUUGUAUAUCUCCUUUGACGCUUAAGGCGCUUUCUGCGUCUGGCAUUGUUAAGAUGACUAGAGUGCAGGAUGCCACUCUCUCUGAGUGCCUAGACGGUCUGUGUUCUUCUAGUUCUUUUGGCUCAAAUGGUUUGCAUUUGACAACGUAUUAUCCUAUAUGUAACGCAGGUAAAGAUGCAUUAGUCAAAGCCAAAACCGGGACGGGAAAGAGCAUGGCGUUUUUGGUAUUUUACAAUCCUUUCUCCUGAGAUUAUGCCUUAGCUUUUGUUGUUUCUUAAGAUAACGUUGUAAGACUGAAAAAACAGCUUCCUGCAAUUGAAACAGUUCUGAAAGCUAUGAACAGCGGUAAGGGCGUUCACAAAGUUGCUCCGAUUUUUGUUCUUAUCCUCUGUCCUACAAGAGAACUUGCAAGCCAGAUCGCUGCAGAGGGCAAGGCUCUGCUCAAAAACCAUGACGGGAUCGGUGUUCAGACUCUAAUUGGUGGUACGCGCUUCAGACUUGAUCAACAACGCCUAGAAUCUGAGCCAUGCCAGGUUUGACCAACCGUGAUUCCCUGUUUAACAGGAAUUGUUUAUAUUUUCUAGUUGUUGUGGUGAAUCUUCUUUUGUUUCCGUACCUUGUUGCAGAUACUAAUAGCAACUCCGGGAAGACUCUUGGAUCAUAUAGAGAAUAAGUCUGGCUUAACAUCGCGUUUGAUGGCCCUUAAAUUGUUUAUAGUUGACGAGGCUGAUCUAUUGCUAGACUUAGGAUUCAAGAGAGAUGUUGAAAAGAUCAUAGAUUGUUUGCCUCGUCAGAGACAAUCUCUUCUCUUUUCCGCAACCAUUCCAAAAGAGGUACAAUUGCUAUAUAGCUAACUUCAUAUAUUCUUACCUUUAUCACAAAAUCCAAUGCGGACACAAACGUCUAAAAUGUAGUUUAAAUUCAGGUCCGUCGAGUCUCACAACUUGUUUUAAAAAGGGAUCACUCUUAUAUCGACACAAUCGGGCUCGGUUGUGUAGAAACUCAUGAUAAGGUAAACUCUUAAGCUCUUCUUUUUGUCUCAAAAGCUUGUUACUUGAAUCUGGUUAUUGAGUUUCUUGCUUUGGUUUUAGGUGAAGCAAUCUUGUAUUGUUGCUCCACACGAAUCUCAUUUCCACUUAGUACCUCAUCUUCUAAAAGAGCACAUCAACAACAUGCCUGAUUAUAAGGUAAAACAAAUCCUCUUAAACGAUUGCUUUUUUAUUUCUGACCUUGGUAAUUCUCGUAACUAUCCAAUUUCAUUCUCGCAGAUAAUAGUCUUUUGCUCAACCGGUAUGGUAACAUCACUGAUGUACACUCUGCUCCGGGAAAUGAAAUUGAACGUUAGGGAGAUUCAUGCUAGAAAACCUCAGCUCCAUAGAACAUGUGUAUCAGACGAGUUUAAGGAAUCAAAUAGACUUAUUCUUGUCACAUCUGAUGUAUCUGCUCGUGGAAUGAACUAUCCAGAUGUUACUUUGGUUAUUCAGGUAAAGCACAAAGCGAACAUUUUCAUGCCAAAAACAACCUUUUAUGGAUAUUUAACGGAUUAGACUUUGUUUUACGUUUUUGGUAGGUCGGUAUACCGAGUGACAGAGAACAGUAUAUACAUCGGUUAGGUAGAACUGGAAGAGAAGGAAAAGGAGGAAAAGGAUUGCUUUUGAUUGCGCCAUGGGAGAGAUAUUUUCUUGAUGAGCUUAAAGAUUUACCUCUUGAACCAAUUCCAGCUCCAGAUCUUGAUUCAAGAGUUAAACAUCAGGUUUGUUCGCCUUCACUGUCAAUACCCAUAAGUGGAGUUUUAUUGCCAAGUGACAUUGAGGACAAUUGAUUUUUGACUAGGUUGAUCAGUCAAUGGCUAAGAUUGAUACAAGUAUCAAAGAAGCAGCGUACCAUGCAUGGCUCGGUUAUUACAACUCGGUUCGAGAAACCGGUAGAGACAAAACCACGUUGGCCGAGUUAGCUAAUCGGUUUUGCCAUUCUAUCGGUUUAGAGAAACCUCCUGCUUUGUUUCGAAGAACCGCGGUUAAGAUGGGUCUUAAAGGUAUUUCUGGUAUUCCAAUCCGAAAAUAAACCGACCCGUGUUGGUACUUAGAUGUAUCGUCGUAGAGAGAAAUGUAUGAACACAUUUAUGGUCAACAUCAUGUUUAAAUAAUUUUGUUAUUUAUUUAUGAAUAUAUGAUUAACUUUUUAAUUACAGGAAUUUUUGUUUGUCUAAGUCAUGUGUUUAUAUAUUUGACUACUAGUGUAAUGGCCUAAAUGGAGAUUAAUUAAUUUUAAUAUGUACAUUACAGAUCCUUAAGCAAAGUAAAAACAUACAUUAUUAUUUUACUAAAAAAUGUCCCACGCGAUGCGUGGGUGAAAUGAAUGUAGUGAAAUAUAUGUCUAUAACUAAUAUAUAUUAAUAUAAUAUUAAAUUAUUUUAUAAUACAUUCAAUAAAAAAUAUCAUAAAUAUUGUGAUUAUGAUAUUUUAGUUUUAAACUAAACAUUUAGUUUAUGAAUUAUAAUCUAAAAUUAUUUUGGGUAUUUAUAAAUUAAAAAUUAUCGAAUUGAUAAAAAAGAAAAAUUAUAAUAUUGAUAUACAAGAUAAGGCUUGUGUUUUAUUUAAAUAUAUGAAAAUGAUAUGCAAUAUUUCUCUGAGUAAAAGAUUUCAUAAUUGUAUAUAUCAUAUUGAUUAUAGUAUGUGUGUAAAUUGUAAAGUAGUUAAUAGAUUUGAAGUUGUGAGAUUGAUAAAGUCUUGAUUAAUGAGUAAGAUUAACAUAUAUGAAUAUUGAUAUAUUAAUACUAAUUGAUAUCAAAAGAACUCUAAAUACUUUAUACAAUUAAUAUUCAAAUUAUUUACUAUUUCUUCCAUCUUUGAACAAUAUGGUAAGAAAGUAUUGAAUUUAUUUACUAAUGAUUUAGUAUAUACACAUGAUUUUUAAUAAAGAAGUUUAAAGUUAUUUCGAUGCACAUAAUCAAAUACUAAAGAAAAUAUACCAUAAUUCGGUUGAAAACUAAAUAAAUUUAAAAUUUAAAGUACAAUGUAACAAGUAACAACAUACAAAAUAAUUUAAAUUAACAGAAUUUCCAACCAAUGAUAUCAAUGAAGAUUAUAUAUUUUGUAUAGUUUCAUCAUUCAUCAAAUCUCGUAGGUUCUAUAUUAUCUUUAUCCAUAUAAUUUCUUUCUAUAUUACCUCAUUUGCCAACAAAUGCAUCAAAAGACGAAUUAUUAUGGUCACUAUAAAACUUAAGAAACGAAAUAUAGUGUAAAUUUAGCAUGAUAAGUAAAAGAUAAACAUUUUUUCAAUUACUAUGAUUAGUAAAAUGAGUUAUAAGUUACUGUUUAGUACAUAAGAUCAAUAAUAAAUCAAAUGUGUACAAAUAGGAAUAAUGUUUGUAUAUUAAACUAUAAACUAAAUGAAAAAGACGAAAAUUAAAGAAGUAGCCACACAUUAAAAUAAAAAGUGAAUAUAUUAAGCAGGACCAACCAGGAAAUAUCAUAUGGAUCCAAUAAACAUUUGGCUAUAUAUGUUUAUCAUUUGGUUGAGUAUUCACUGUUGUUAUUUUUUAUUGAAAAACUAAAAUAAUUUUAAAGAUUAAUAUGAAUUUUAGCAACUUGACAUAAAUAUUUUAUAAACAACAUUGGUCAACUUCAAAACAUGAAGAAUAAGUAGAAAAUGAAGGUAAAAGAUACUUUGUUUCUCAUGUAAAAGUGAGAAGGUACCUUAGACAUUUUUCAUCAAGUCAUUUCUAAAGGAAAUCCACCUUUCACAUAUUCACUUAUGCAUAUACUAUAAAAUUUGACUCAACCUCUUUAUUUCAAAACCUACGAAAGUCACAUAAAAUUUUGUUUUAAAAGAUAUUUAGUUAAAUAUAUAUAUAUGUAUAUCUAUUAAUACUAUGUUUAUAUCCUCUAUUAAAAUAUCGGACAUGUUCAUAAAAUAGCAGGUUGAAGACACCGGGUUCCCAUGUCGAACCACUAAAGUGAAGCUAAAGGCCUUUGACACCAUUUACUAAACUUUGAAACUUUGACUAUGGUUGUGACUCGAAUAGUUAAAACACAAAUAGCUGGAGAAAAAAUUAGAACCAUGACAUUAAUAAUUAAAUAAAAUAUACAUCACAGAUGAGCAUCGAGCAACACAUAUAUGAUUUGCCUACCUAUUACCUUCAUCAUGAACAGAAAUUCUCAGUGUUAUGAUUGCUAAGAAAUUCUUAGUGUAAUAAUUUUUAAGCCACUUUGUAUCUACCAUUGCACCUAUAAAAGGAUGUAUUAGCAAAAACACAUGAAACAUGUUAUAAAGAAGAGAAGUAACAAAGUGUGAAUCAGUAUCACCACAUUUGGACGAUACAAAGGCUACACAAAACAAAUAUUAAAAUUAUAAAAAUGAGAGAGAGAAACUUGAUUUUAGUUCAUUUCUUUGGUGAAAAUGAGAAAAAUAAAAAACAACGUAAUACAGAGGACGAAGCAAACCUUUGAGAUUACCAUUCUUUGGUUUCUCCAAUCCGUCAUACUCAUAUGGUUCGUGCUUUGUCUUUUUUCUCUUUACUUUCAAUUUAAUUAUGUGGAAAGACUUAGCAGACCACAAAAUAUUAUUUCGAUGUUUAAACAAUCCCGAAAGCAACACAGAAUGAUAGAAGCUUAAAAGGAGUUGUAAGAAACAAACCUUGAGGAACCGAUGUUGAUGUUGUUCCUAUGAAGAAUCCUACCAGGAGCAGCGUCACCACCAUCGAUCAACUCUCUAAGCCCCCAAUUCUCCACCUCCUCUUCUUUCACCUCCUUCUUCUUCUCCUUCUCCACAUGGCGGUUAUUAGGAAGCUUCACAGGCAACCUCUCGAAGUAAUUCCCGAUACUUACGAUGCACGUUUUUAUUAUCUUCGUAUAGAAAGAAUGAAGCUUCAACCUCAAGCGUUAACAAAUGCAGAGAAACCAACUUAAAAAAACUGACAUGCAGCGUCUUGCAUUUUAUAAGGUGAAGGGUUACACUAAAAAUGAUAUUAAAUAUGAUACUAAAUAUUGAAAUCAUGGUCAUAAUUACAUAAAUGAUAAUUAUGUUAGUGUAACGUAACUGCUUUGAUUUAUGAAAUAGAACAGUUUAGUUGACUAAAAAAAAACUGCAAUAGUUAGACAUAAUAAAUAAAAGAAAACGUGAUAUCACAUGUGUCAUUAAAUAGAAUAUUAACCUCACAACAUAACUGAAACGUAUUAUGAGUAAUUCAUUGUUUUUUCAUUCAAUUUAUUAUAUUGUAAAUGAUAUUUAUGACUUAAGUUAUAUGGUCAGUUAUGUUGUUUAUUUUGUUUCAAGAUAUACAAAUAAACAUUUAAUCGAUUAUGUGAGAGGCCAAAUUUUUUUAAAACAAAUAAACAAAUGAUCAUAUUGUCAACAAACACAUACCAUAAUCUACUCAUACAUUUUUUAUAUUUUGAAGGUAUUUUAGAGAAAAAAUAUUUGAUCUUUGGUUUGAAAGAUAAAACUAAUAUUUUAUUCUUUAAUUCUUGAGAAAUUAUUUUGUUGAGAAAUUCUAAUGUUAUGGUAAUUAUAUAAAAAUAUUGAUAAAUGAUACAUUUUUAGGAAAAAUAAUUAUUUAGAAAAAGUGCAUUGCAAAAAUGUUAUAAGUUUUUUUUAUUAUAAAACUGUAAUUAAACUCAAAGAAUAUGGAAAAUAGUAUAUUUAAAUUUGAGAAGAAUGACACAUGUCGAAUGAAUAGAGCGCCACUUGUCAGAUUUUUAGAGUACAAGUUUGAGGAAACCUUACUUUAUUAUAUAAGAUGUGGUUGGUUACUUGUUCGUCUUCUUAAUUUUUCGACAAUUAUUAAAUAAAAUUGUGAUGAUUGAAAACUAUAUAAUAAAGACAAAGUUUGGGAAAAUAAAAAUAAAAUAAAGAAACGUGCGAGAGAGUAUAGGUGGUAGAUUCUUUUUCAGCUUGUUCACUUGAGUAUAAUUUUUUUUUUUUUUUUUUUAAACAUUAUAUUAAUAACCGAUACAAAUGUUAUGACCAAAAGUCACACAGUUUUUUGAAGUUCGAUACACAAUAUAGCCAUAAACUAAAAGUAUAUAGAGAUAAUAACCAAAUCAUCCGCUUCGGUUACCUUUUGAGAUCAGCAUAAUAGAACCAUUAGCCACGUCCACGGUUCCCGCGUCCACGAUUUCCGCGUCCACGGUUCCCACGCCCACGGUUACCUCUUCCUCGAGUAGUAGAGGACGCUUGUAUCUCCUUAGCUUUGAUGGAUGGUUUAACCGGUCUUUCGCGCAAAAGACGUUGUCCCGAUGGAGUCAUAAGUUCCAUCAAUUCUGACCCACUGUCUGACUCAACUGAAACAAUUGAGUCUUCAUCUGAAUGAAGAGAAUCCCCAUCAGGAAACGAAGAACCCAAACGACUAAACCUGUUUUCAGCAAGGACGUGUCUUAUCUCACAAUCACUAAGAAUCACUUAUCUUUUGUGCCUGCAAUUUCGAAAACUGAUUCAACUGUGCAAGUUUCCUCAGUUACAACUUCAGCUUCAACAUUUGUAAAGCAAUCUGCCACUCCGGUGCAAUUAUCUUUGUCUUGGAUUGGGCCAGCCUCAAUAUCGAAGACUGUAUCGAUUUGGAUUUUUGAAUUUGUGAUUGGGACAUCAAUUGGGGUCUUGGUUUGAAGAGUGAUUGGCGAUACCAAAUUUGUGGCACUAGCUAAACUUACAAUAGCAGGAGUAAUGAUCUCCUCUGAGACAAUUUCUGUUACUUUUUCAUGUGCCAAAUGGGGUUUCAUACAGCGCGAAGCCUUAUGCCCUAACUGCCCACAUUUUCCACAUUUAGCUGGGAUCCAAGCAUAUUCAACAUUAACCAUCGAUAUAUUGCCUUUCUUAUCAACUGCGGCAAUUCUUGGAGGGAAAGCUUUACUCAACUCCACUUCCACCAAGAUAUUGGCCUCACUCAUUAGGGAAGGGUCAAGUCUAGGUUUGUAAGUAGCCAUAGGAGCACCUAAACCUGAUGCAAUAUGGCUAAUUCCUAGAAUUGAGUACAACCGGUUUGGGAUAUUUUUAAGGGUUACCCAGACAGGAAUAGUUGAUAUUUCAGGAAGAUCAAAUGUAUUUACAGUAGACCAAGGCGCUACAAACAUAAGACAAUCAUCAACAUGCCAUAAGCCCCUCUGAAGAACCCAAGCUCUAGUUGAAGCAUCCGGGAUGUGAAAAAGAAAUUUUGAGUCACCUAAUUUACGGAUAAAGAUUCUACACUUUCUACCCUAAAUUUUAUUGACUACCGCAUGAAUCAAACCACCAGGAGGAGGACUACAUCUAUAGAACUGGCCUAAGACAUAUUCCUUUUGAUUCACAAGACCUUGCAAGAAGACAUGACUUGGAAUCGUUACCUUUGGAAUUCCGUCUUCCAUGAAUUCCGGCGAGGUUGCCCUGUAAAGGUUCCUUGCCGCUGGAUCCAUUUUUGCAGCCCAAGGGAAGCGAACAUUAUCCUCCUUAGUUGCUUCAAGAUGAGAUUGCAUCGGUGCUCCACCAACAUCUUGCUGAGAGGCCGAUGACGAGGUGAACUUUAGCUGCUUUGCCCAAGCUCCUUUUAGAGUAGGGGAGACCAACUUAACAGGAGCAAUGGACUCGUCGAGAGUAGCAGACACUAUUGGCGGUAAGGCGGAAGUAGGAAGAGACACUUCUGCGGAAUAAGACAAUGAUGUAAUACUCACCACAUGUUCAAUUGGAGGCUCGACAGUGACCGGUAAGGUCGAAUCCAGCGAAGAAGUAAGAUUCACGAAGUCAAGAGAAGAAGAGCGAGCAAUUUUCGGCGAGGAUCCAAUUGUCAAGGGUUUCACCAGUGAGAUAGAAGGAGAAAUCACUGAUGGAGAUGGAGAAGGAGAAUUCUGCGUCCACCGAGUCAAGUACGGCCACCGUGGAUCAGGGACAGAGUUGACAUUGGAAGAGUCUACGACUACAACUUUUGGUCCGACCUCUGUUUCCUUGCCUUGAGUUAAAACUGAGACAGAAUUCAUCGAGUGGGAUACUGUGAAGUGAUUGAUUGGAAGUAGGCUCUCCUAAGAAGAUUAAGAGAACAGCCGGCGACGUUUCGCGGUGGUUACAGCGAAACAAAUUCUCAGGGGCUCCUCUUGGCUGAAGAGUAAUCUCAUACACUCUUCUUAUAAAGAGCAUUUUCUUUUUGAUUUUUUUUAUUCCGUAAAAAAAGUACUCAGAAAACUCUAAGAAUAUUGAUUAAUUACGACCCAACCAGGGCAAAUGGAUCCCAAAAUAACCCAAGCCCACUGUUUUCGGGUCAAAUCCAAAUAAAACCCUAAUUCCCCUAAUUCUCUGCGGUAAAAUUGAUUCACAUCUCUUUCUUCCCUUUGUUUUUUGUUUCUUCCUUAUUUCGUCACUGUAAAAUCCAGUAAAACCAUUCUCAAUUCUCGUCAACGACAACAACAUAACUGUUCGUCGAUCUUGGUAUAUCUACAGGAAACUAAGAAAUUGGGUAAGUGAUUUAAUUGUUCGUCGAUCCGAGUUGUUUCAGAUUGGGUUUUGUGAUCGAAAUUGACUGAAGAGUAGUGCUAAUCCAAAUGAUUUUGUUUGUAGGUUUGGAGAAAUGGCUCGAACAAAGAACGCAGGUGUGCCAUUGGCGGCAGAGGUGGUGGUUUCACAGACAAUCAAUGACGAAGUAGUAGUAGCAUCGGCUGCUGAAGUGGAUUCUGAAGCAACAAAUUCAAUCUCUAACGACGAUAGAGCGAUAUGAACUUUAAACUUUACACAAUUAGAAAAGUAUAACUAUGUAUGAAUUUGGUAUAUCUUUAUUGAUAUUGUAACUUAGAAAUUUUAAAAAGUAUAUCUAUGUAUAAAUUAGUAUAUCUAUGCAUAAAUUGAGUAUAUCUUUUUUGAAUCUAACUUAGAAAUUUUCGAAACUAAAAACUAGGUAUAUCUAUGUUCGAAUAUAACUUAGAUAUUUUAGAGACUAAACAAUAUAUCUAUGUAUAAAUUAGGUAUAUCUAUGUGGAGAAGUUCUUCCUUAGGGCUGUGGCUGAUCUAGAGUUGUGCAAAACAUUUCCGUGGGGAAGAUUUGCAUUUGAAGAAAAUGUGAAAGACAUUUUCUAUUUGAUUAAAAAGUGCAAUGAAGUAGUUGGUCCACAAAAGGUGUUUCCUAGUUUUGUUAUGCCUUUGGAGGUAUGUCAUUUCAUUAUGCAUUUAUGAAUUGUUUUAAGAAAGUUAAACUAUGUACAACUGUGUUUUUAUUAGCAGUUAUACUUAUUAGUUUUUGAAAAAUCUUGUAUUGUUUUUUUGUAGUAUCUAGCAUUUGAGGCGAUCCCAGUUCUCAGAAAAAUUUUUUGCGAAGAUAUUGAAUCCGCAGAUCCUCAGUGUUCCCGGAUGUGUAAAAGGAAGUUUAAAUCAAGCACUAUGAAAGGGUUUCCAAUGUCAGAUGUGUAUGACAAACUCGGUACAACUAAGGUUAGUGAUGACAUAUUUAUUAGUUAUCUAUCAUGUAUCAUGUAUGUUCUAUCAUGUAUGUUAUAUUAAUUGGACUUUCUUAUCAUGCACAGGACAUUCAGAGUAUCUUGGCUUCAACUCCUGAUGAGAAGCUACUUUUGGAAAGAAUUAUGGAUAAGGAGUGUGAAGUGAAUGAUGUCGAUGAUCUAAUAGCUGAUGGCUGGAAGAAACGUCUAGUUGAUGAGGAGAGGACUAUAUGUUUUGAACCGUUGCUCAAUGAAGAUGUAGCACACCGGAGCUUUGUGGCUAAUAAAGCUUUGUCUACUGUGGUAAAAGCUCCAAGAAAAGCCGCAGUGGAAAAGAAAGGCAAGGGAAAGGCUGCUGCAGCUCUGACUAGUCCAAGUGAUGGAGGUUUGACUGAGGUUGUAAACGAAAUGAAGAAUUUGAUGGAGAAUGGAUUUAAGUCCAUGAACAAGAGGAUGAAAGAUUUCUGUAAGAAGUAUGAAGAGCAAGAUAAAAGACUGAAACUGAUGGAAGCUGCAAUCAAAUCAAUUCAAUCAGGCAUUGGAACUGAAGACGCUUGUGGUUCAAAGGAGAUUGAUGAUAAAGAAAACGAGCUGGAGGAAGGGAGUGAUGCAGAGACUGAGAUAGACAAAGAGGUGGCUCAAGGUGAUAAGGAGAGAGAGGUUGGAGAAACAGAGACUCAGAUAGACAAAGAGGUGGCUCAAGGUGACAGUGAUAAGGAGGUGGCUGAAAGUGAGAAGGACAAAGUGGUGGCUGAAAGUGAGAAGGAGAAAGAGGUGGCUGAAAGUGAGAUUGGGGUGGCUGAAAGUGAGAAGGACAAAGAGGUGCCUCAAGAUGAUGAGAUGGAUGGAGGUAAGGUGGCUGAGAGUGAUGGAGAGAUGGAUGGAGAGAAGGACAAAGAGGUGCCUCAAGAUGAUGAGAUGGAUGGAGAGAAGGAGAAAGAGGUGGCUGAGCCAAGUGAGAUUGGGGUGCCUGAAAGUGAGAAGGACAUAGAGGUGGCUGAUAGUGAGAAGGAGAAAGAGGUGCCUCAAGAUGCUAAGGUGGCUGAGCCAAGUAAGAAGCGAGGAAAGGCACAUGAGGAUGGAGAUGAUCCUAGUAAAGAGGGAGUUAAAAAGCCAAAGGUGGUCAAGAAGCUGGCAGAGUCGAGGACGGAUGCUAAGCCGGUGUAUCGGAGUCCUAUACAGACGAGGUAUAGGAGAAAAAAGACAAAGAAGAAUGUUUAAACAAUUUCAACUCUUGGUUUGUUUUAGGUAUAACUAUGUUGGUUGUUGAAAACUUGGUACAUCUGUUCGAACUUGGUACUUGGUUUUUUUUUGUAUUUCUCCUUAUGCUUUUGAAAACUUGGUACAACUGUUGAACAUGUUUAUUAGGUUUUUUGUAUAUCUACUUAUGUUAAUUUCAAAACUUGGUAUAACUGUUUCAUGUUCUAUUGUUUUAUUUUGGUAUAUCUACUUAUGUUUUGUAACACUAGGUACAAUUAUAUGUUUUUGUAAUUGAUAAGAAAAGAAUUUUAACCGAAAUAACUAGAUUCAACACAACACUUAGUCUUUAUAAUUAGAUUCAUAUCCAUUCAUCACAUCAAAUUCAACACUUAGUCUACAUAAUUAAACAUUACAACACUUACUCUUCAUAAUUAAACAUUACACCACUUAGGCUUGAAUUUCUACGACAAACACAACAUGCCAACAAUUGCCAUGGUGAUUAAACAUCCACAACUAAAAACGAUUACCAUCUUAAAGUCCUUUCCCUUUUUAUUCUUUUCCAUCGGAUCUCUUUCCAUCGUCUCUUGGUUCCUAUCCAUCUUCAUCACUCUUACUUCUUCUUCAAGAACACCGAGUUGAAAUUCCAACUGUUCAAUCUCAUGUGUAAAAGCCUCAUCUACCCACUUAAACACAUGUUUGUCGUUCAUAAGCUACAUUUUGAAAUUGUAAAAAUUGUUAAAUCACAUGUAUAUCUAUGUAUAAACUAGGUAUAUCUAUUAAGUAUAUCUAUUAGGUAUAUCUAUUAGGUAUAUCUAUUAGGUAUAUCUAGGUAUUUUAGUGACUAGUCAAAUUAUUGUCAAUUGCAUAUCAGAAAUCUAUAAGUGAAACGUGAAUUGAAUGAAAAAUGUACCCAGAAAAACGAAAUGCUUACCCAAAUAAUUCCACUCUUCUCUCUUUUUCUCUCUUCUUCUCUCUUUUGAGUCUUCUCUCUUCUUGUCUCUUCUUGUUCUUUUUCGAUUUGAUUUUUUUUAUUUUUGUUAAUAAUAGGGUUUUAAAAAAUUUCUGCGAAUUGGGGAGAAAUGAAAAUUUAGGGGAAAUUUUUUUUGAUAGUGUGAAAAGGAAUUGAUAGUGUGAACACGUUUCUUAUAGUGUGAAAAGGAAUUAACCGUGGGACCCGCGUACGAGUUGUUCAGAACAAAAAGGGUGGGGCCCGCAAACUCUUUGCACACAGAUAUUCCAAGUUAACAGGUUGUACCUGUGUAUACACAGUUUGACUUUUGUUUUUUUUUAAUUUUAUUAGAUAUACUUAAAUUUAAACUAAACAAAUUUAGUUAUACCAAAGAGUUUUGAUGUUUUAUAAACAUUCCACAUAUUUUCAUAGAAAAAUAUGUCUGGAAAAUUCAAUUUUGUGUGUUUUGCAAUGUUAUGAUGAUAAUAAUUAUAAAGUUAUCUUCAAAGUGUAAGGUGUUUCUUUUAUAACAAAUGAAUUUGGUAAAGACUAAUUUUUUGAAGUUUCAUUAAAUUAUGAUUUUAUUAAUCAGUAGUUUUAAUACUCAACAUAAGGGGUAUAAUUUGUAUAAGAAAUAACAUCACAUCAAAUUUUGUUGCAAAUUAAGCACAUUUGUUACAUUUGUCAUAGUUGUACCUUUACAAAACCAAGUUUAAUCAAGUUUUACAAAACCAGAGAGUACAAAAAACACGAAUUUAGAGACAUACAUAGUUCUACCAUUUAAAAAUUAAGUUUAACCGAGUUUUACAAAAUCUGAAAGUACUUAAAAACAUGAAUUUAGAGCCAUACAUAGUUCUACCAUUAGAGAAUAAAGUUUAACCGAGUUUUACAAAAUCUGAAAGUACUUAAAAACACGAGUACAUUAAUUUCCGCUUGUGUAUUGGCCACUCCCCUGGCUAUCACUUUCGUGGUUUGGAAAAAACCGGCUCUCCAAGUUUCUGCCUUUCACACGCUUAUUCUUGGGGCGACGUUCUCCAACUGAUGGGUGUCUAGUUUCUUGAACUCUUCCCUUUUUAACAACAUGAACCGGAGGAUAUGCAAACAAUUCUUGGAUUUCACUUGGAAUAACUCACUCUGACUUAUGCGGCACCGGAUAAAUGGUUCUAUCAUAUGCCAUAACCCACAUCUCAACAAAGUAAUAUUUCGUGAUCAAAUCAUAUAAACUUUUUACCUCCUCGGAUCUAUCUUUUUGUUUCAAGUGAGUCAUCACAGCCGCUAUUGCAUGUACACAAGGAUACUUGUCCAAGUCAAAACAACGACAAUAACAACUUUUAUUCCUCAAGUCCACCACAUAGGUCUUACCAUCGCGACCAAUGACACUAUAUUGAAGCUCGUAGGUGUUAAGCUCUAUCACCGGUAAUUUUUGUGCAACUUCACAUGUUUCAUGUAUCUCGUUCUCCACAAAAGGAACAAGUCUCUGUAAAUUUGAUCCACUUAAGGCUUCCUUCCUAUUAUUGCAGCUCCAUUCCGCAAAUUUCUCAAUAAUUGCAUCUAUCAUAGGUAAUAGCGCAUACCCUCUCACAUCCCUAAACACACCAUUCAUAGACUCAACCGCAUUACUAGUGUCAACGUUGUACUUUACUCCCGGAAAAUGACAUCUUGCCCAUUUUUCCAAAUCAGUGUUUUCAUCAAGAUAGGUGGCUACCUUAGGGUGCCUUCUUCUAAACUCUGCAUAUUCAUGUUCAAACUCAGACACUGAACAAAUGGAUGCAAUUCUUCUGAACGUUUUAGCAACCUCUUCUUUGUUGUAUGCAACUUUUGUUCUCACAUUCUGUGACAAAUGAUACACACAGUUUCCAUGGUGAGAGCUCGGGUACACCUCAGCCACUGCCUUGAUGAGGCUAGAAUUUCUGUCAGACAUAAAGACCAAUUCCGAACUGUCUGGUAUAACGGUUUUGAGAGUUUUGAAAAACCACUUCCAAGUAACAUCUUUUUCGCCAUCAGCUACAGCAAACGCUAAGGGAUAAUGGUGAUGAUUCGGGUCUUGAGCUGUGGCAAAAAUGAGCACACCUUUAUAUACAGUCUUCAAAAAUGUUGCAUCCACAAUAAUCACUUUUCUCAUGACUUUAAAUCCUUCAAUGGCAGCCCCCAAAGCAACAAAUAGGUACUUGAACCUUUUUUCUUCAUCUAAUACCACACUAGUCUUUGUGCCAGGAUUCACCUUCUCUAACAAAUACAAAUAUUGAUAAACCAUCUUGAAACUCUCCUCGGGACUAGCACGAAUAUCACUAACAGCUAGUUUUUCCCCCUAUUAGUAGUCGAGUAUGACACAGUUGUACCAUGUUUUCCCUGAACAAGGCCAAUGAGACUUUUAGGAGUUGGGGUCUUGUACUGACAUAGAUAAUCUUCAUGCAAUACGGUUGCAACUAAACGUGGUGUACCUCUCCUUUUAAUGCCUGUAGCAGUAUUCGACCGUACACAUGUAUGGAACUUCCUAUAUGUUCGAACCGAGAAGCGAGUUGAAUCCUUAGCCUUCGAAAAUCGUAUGUACCAUUCACACCCUUAUUCAGUACAUUUUACCACAUACCGCUUCUUAUCCGAGUUGAGUAAUGUUAGUCCAAAACAAUUCCUAUUUGCUCCUGUCACAUCAUCGCUAUUUUCAAAUUCUUGACCUAUUACUAGAUCAAGACCAUCAUCCCAUGGACCUUUAAACUUAGAAUGUUGGCUGUCACGUGGUUCCUCAACAUAUUCACGAAUACCAUCAUUCUCCUUACUCAUACUCAUAUUACUAUUAACACCAUUAUCCACAUCUCUAAGAGGCUCCAAAGGCUCUAAAGGCUCCAAUGUCUCCAAAGGCUCAGCAAGUUGUUCUCCUAGUGGCUCAUUUGCGUAAAGAGUUAUAGCACCAACAUUAGCUCUAUCAUCAUUAUCUAGACCACCAAAAUUCUCCUCUUCAUAAUUCACACCAACUGAACUCUUUCCUUGUACUCUCGAUUGUUGCUCGUUUAAGUGAACCAUUUCCAACUCAUACCGACUUCUACAUGCAAGACACUUCUACUUUUCUCUUCAUCCAACGUGGUUAGAUAAACAUAUACAUCAUCAUCAUCCCUAAUAUAUAAAUAUGUAGGAGGUUUAACACCCGUUGGAAUGUAACUCAAUUUCAGCUUCAUCGUAGAUUCAUCUAUCUUCAUCUUUGUGCAUAUCUUAUCCACUAACCACGAAUAAGUAAUCUCCUCCAUUGAUGAUGUACUAAACAAUAUACCAUACAAACCAACUACUUUUGGAUUCCAUUGAUAUGCUUCUCCGGUUUUUGAAUAAUAUCCAUCAUAAUCAAAAUAUAUGAUUAUGCCCAUUCUCCUGGAAAAAACAAAAAAAAAAACGUUAGCUAUACUUAGAUUUUCCUGUUCUAGCAAAUUGUACUUCGAACAGCUAUACCACGCUCAUUUUCAGAAAUACCAGUUAUACUAUUCAAACAGCUAUACCACGCUCAUUUUCAAAAAUACCAGUUAUACCAUCAAUUGUACUUCAAACAGCUAUACCACGCUCAUUUUCAGAAAUACCAGUUAUACCAUAAAUAGUGCUUCACACAGCUAUACCACGUUUCUUAGGUAUACCUAGAUUAUUCUGUUCUAGCAAAGAUUUUCGGACCAAAAACAGUAAUCUGCCUAAGAUUAACUACGAAUCAACCAUUACAGUACAUUAAAAUGUCUUAAUAGACCCAGAAUAUAUAGUUACCAACAUAAUGUCUAUUAAUUUCCAACACCAAUUUCAAAUCUAUCAAAUCUAAUUGAAAUCUACAAAAUUCAAACACAACAACACAAGACUUGAUGAAUUAAGAUGUCCAAAGUAUAAGAAGAGAAUGGUAAAGCUCACUUUGAAUAACAGAAGCAAAACGACGGCGAGCUUGGUCGAUUGGAUUCAACGUCGGAACAAAUCGACGUUGGCUGCAGUCGUCGAUUUAGAUUUUGUGAGGGAGGAAAAGAAAUUCUGGGAAUUUCUGAUAGGUUAAUAUUUUGUGACUUAAAUGGUAUUGGUUUGGAGACUUAACCGUAAUUGGUUGGUUUGGUUCGUCCGUCCGGUUCCGGUUUGUUGGGUAAGGUAAACAAGGAUUUUUAAAAUUCAUUAAGAGUAUAGGAGUAUGUUAGAUUAUAUGAGAGUAUUUAGACUCAUUGUCCGAUUACAGCUCCGUCGAUUUGAUCUGACCGGAGACUAGGUUUCGCCUUCGAGAGAAAAAUUAGGGGCGCGUGUCACACACCAUCUUUCCUUUCCUCUCAACCGCUAUCAAAGAUUGUUCAUCCUGAAAUUUGGUUGCUUUCUUUCAUCAACUUCUACUUUUUUUCUAAUCAGCUUCUCGUCCCUCAAUUCCACCGCCAACAAAUCAUGUUCUUUUUUCUCUGAGAUAGUUGAAUCAUCCACAAAAAUUUUUGAUUUCUUAUCUGAUGGUUGAGAUUUAAUAUCAGAGUGGACAUCCAUCUACUGCAAGUUUACCCACAAGGCAGCAUCAAUGAGUGAAUCCCUGAGUAAAAAAAGAAGUGGAGGAAAUAUUAGAUCUUAUAAACUAAUGGUUAAAACGAAAAAAAUUUACACAUGAACUAAAGGUGAAAAUAAAAAUUACCCAAGAUCUUUAAACUAAAGAUUAAGCAAUAGUGAUGAUCUCCUUAACUUUAUUCAUCCCAAUAAUCUCUCUAAUAAUGUUUGCAAAUUAGAAAAUUGCAUAAAGAAAUAACUUACGUUUGUAUGAAGAGAAAAAACUGUAGAUAAUAAAACAAAUUAUAGCGAUGGCAAUGAUGUACCCAUAAUAUAAUAUCCUACUUAUAUCCUACUUUUUACUUUUUACAGAAGCUUGUAUCCUACUUCCAUGUUUCAAAAUAAAAUAUAAACCUUGUCACUAACAGUUUACAUCAAGUUAUAAAAGAAUACAUUGAUUUAGACAAAUAUCCAACUAAAAUAAAUUUAAUUUUAUAAAAAAAAAAUAUCCACAAGGUCGUUUGAUUCUAAUCCAAGUCAUUAGUAGUUUGUAACGACAAAGAUUAGAGAGGCGGUUUAGUAUAUGUGAUACUGUUUCAUAUAGCAAAGAAUGAAAUAUAGAAAAUUGAAUCAAACGAACCUCUUAUAAUACCAAACUUUUAAAGAUGGUAAAAACUAUAAUGUAGUAGUACAACAGAGCUCUACAUUAGUCUCAUCAGUUCUCCUUCUUCUAAGUAAAUCUUAACAUAGGUCAUGAUAUAAUAGAUUUUAGUGAGACUUCAGAAAAAUCCACAAAAUUGUACCUUAUCAUCUACAAGAAGAAGAUUCAAUCCAGUGAAUUCCCUUAUUUAUCCUUUUUUUUGGGGAAAUCCCCAAGGGCACUUCUCACCUUGAUUUUACAUCGAUCCGUUACUAGAGUUAUAUGAGAGAUAGGUGUAAUAUUGAGUGACAUAAUUGGAGAUUGGAAUUUGGAAUAUGAACCUACAAAUAAAAAGUUGUUUUUCUUAAAUAGAGAAUUUUAUGAGCAAGAGAAACUUAUGCAAUUUAGAUAAAGAGAAUAGACCAUGUGGGUCAGUGGUUCGACACAGUAAUGCCAAAAAUUCUAAAAUUUGCAGACACAAUAACACCAAAUCACUUGAGAGAAGAUAAUUGAACUAUAACAAAAUUUACAAACCUGAGAAAUACG
Molecule: long non-coding RNA, 98083 nt
Filed under: Arabidopsis thaliana (thale cress)
Lineage: Eukaryota; Viridiplantae; Streptophyta; Magnoliopsida; Brassicales; Brassicaceae
Description: long non-coding RNA (ATHA_LNC000688)
Rfam family: Plant small nucleolar RNA R71 (bases 52816-52922)
Source: RNAcentral